RNAcentral lists this long non-coding RNA (98430 nucleotides) under Triticum aestivum (bread wheat). RNAcentral's name for it is "long non-coding RNA (TAES_LNC012766)". The stretch from base 70195 to 70329 matches the Rfam family "MIR1120/MIR1122 microRNA precursor family". Lineage: Eukaryota; Viridiplantae; Streptophyta; Magnoliopsida; Poales; Poaceae. The record is from RNAcentral.
CUGGUCCAUGCUACGAUGACUAUACUGUCUGCAAAGCCCAUUGCCCGUGAUUCAACACAAUUUCCAUGAAUAGUUUUCAUGUAAUAAGGAAGAGAUGAUAUGCAAUAAGUUUUCCUAUCAAUAUUUGCUUUUACAAUUGCUAAAGUGAAUAAGGAUAUGAUUUCCUAAAUUAUUAUGGUGCUUGUACUUAUCCCUAUCAACUGUUUUAUCAAGAAAUACAUUUUUUGUGCAAUGGAGACACAUCGCUGGCACUACAGUGCAGCAUAACAAAGGCUGGCCAGGAUGGUGGUCCAUGGACCACCCUAGAUUUUUUUCACUGGCUUACUUGGGUGUACUUGAGCACAAGAAAGCCCAGAAUAGGAUUGUUUUUUGCUAGAUAAAUAUUAAAUUUAUUUGCGUUAGCACAGAUAAAGAUGUGAUUUCUAAAUUAUUAUUGUCCUUGUACUUAUCUAUAUGGACUAUAUUUUUGUAGAAAUACUUUUUUUGUGCAAUGGAGACAUACCACUAGCACUUCAGUGCAUUGGCAUAACGAGGGGUGGCCAGAUGGUGGUCCAUGGACCACCCUGGGAUUUUUCCAUUGGCUCACUUGGGUGCAUUGGUGCGCUUCCUAAAAAAGUGAAAGCACAACUACGCUCGUUGGUUUUUGUUUUUCUCCUGAUUUUUAUUUUUAUUUUUGUUGUUUUAGGUUCUUAUUAUUUCCUAGUUUUUGGUUUUCUUCGGAUUUUGGUGUUUUUGGACUUGUUUCUUAUUUUUGGUUUUCCCCGGAAAAAAGUUCAUCCAAACCUAUUAAGAUGGAAUCUAGUUUUGAAGAUCUCGAUGCCAGAAACCCAAUGGUGGAAACGAUUCGUGAUUUGGAUGGAUGGUUCGAGAGAUAAAACUUUUUGUAAAAAAAUGAAUCUUUAAAAAAACUGAAAAACUCUUAGCUGUGACAAGUGCUACUUGUCACCACAGAGAAGGUGGGAGUGAUAUUUGCAAGGGAAACGAGGUUUCUCAGCAAGGGAGUGACGCUCAAGUGUCGUCAUCACUAGAUCCAACCAUCAAAGGCUAGAAUCAAAGUUUUCACCUUGAAAAAUAACUCUGAGCAAAUUCGAGCAAUGCCUUCAACAAGGUAGUGAAACAGAAAUAUCGCCAUUGUCAAGUCUAACCAACUUGGGUUAGCCCUAAGUUUUCACUCCGGAGCUCGAGACCGAGAACUGGAGAAGCACCAACAAAUCGAAGGCAAUCAUGUGUUAUCACCACCACUUUUCCAACAUUCCAAUAGCUACAAGCUUUGGUCUAAAAGUUCCACCGCCGCCGCUGCACAACCAUACUCUUUUGCGUUAAGUUGUUGUCGUAGAUUGCAUUUCAUGGCUGAAGGCAAAGUGGCCGGAGUGAGUGCCGCCAAAACUCACAAAGGAGCCUACUGACUUGCAAUGGUUUGAAGAUGUGACAUGUCAGCAUCCAUCAACUGCUUCAGAGAUGAAUGUUUUGAUCAACUACUUUCCUAAUAUCUUUUCUAGAAUCCACCUCCCAUAUGAAGCCAAGUUUUGAUGCAAAGUAGUCUGUCCUCAUGAUGUUCUCUCUCUCACCCUGCUAUUCUACUUCAUCAUCAGUAAAGAACAUAAGCAACGGGCAACCGCCAAUUAUUAAGCACUCAAGUGCUGCUGGAAGACAACAUAAUGUUUUCAGAGUUGACACAUUCUCGAGCUCCAGUUUAGUGCAAUGCCUAAAGAGCUCGGUAUUGAGUGGUAGGCCUUCUAAUGCACUACAUUUCACAAGCUUAAAAGAUUGCAAACUUUCAAAAUAUGAACCCUCAAGUAGCCAACUUGGAUACGCGGCACAAUUGUAACCCUCAAUUUCGAGGCACUGAAGUUGAGGCGGCGGCAUCAAACCUUCAAUAAUCUCCAACCGUAAACUAUCCUGCACACUCGUGUCAUUAUUCGAACUCCAGACAAGGCACAGGGUUCCGAAGUGAUUUUUCUGAUAUAGCUUAGAGUCUAGGGCCUCAUUCUUUCCACUGACAUUCUCCAGAUUUCUGACACUUAAACUGCCACCAUGCUCUUUCAUGUCACUGAGCUGUUGCAACCCAGACCCCUUCUGUUUUUGCACACAAAAUUCUUUAAGAUGUUGUAGCAAAGUUAGCUUGCCUAUAUAACGGAUUUGUGGCAGAGCUACUUCAUACAUCCUGUAUGACAUAUCACUGUACCCUUCAGGAUGCCGUAGCUUGCUUAAAUUACAGAGUUUGUCAGGCAAGCUCUUAACUUUUAUGGUUUAACUGAAGUACCUGUAGCUGACAAAGAGCACAUAAUGACCCAGGCAAUUCGGCAAUAGAAGUUUUGACAAGGUUCAAAUGCCGAAGAUGCUUCAGCACACCUAAAGAUUCAGGUAGCUUGCUACUAUUGUAAAAACACAAAUGGAGCACACGUACCUUCUUCGGAUAUUGCAGAACCUGAUGGAAAACAUCACUUAUAUCAUCUGUAAGUGGUUCAAUGCAGAUAAAGAUAAGGGUUGUACCGAAGUGGGGCUCCUAAACAAAAGGGUUGUUAGGAGUUGGGAGUUGGGACGGGGUGAGCUCACCAUGUUGAUGAGGACUAGCUAAAGAAUGGUUGAGAGGAUUCAGAAUAUACACUGUCACACUGUCUCGUACUGGAAAAGGUAAUCCCAUUUGCAGCAGUAUAGUAUCUUUCAGCUCAAACGUCCAUGUCUUGCGUGGCCUCAGAGCUAGUGUACACAAGACAGGACAGUCGAGGCGGCAUCUCGGUAUCUUGCCUGUCACUUCGUCCGCCUGCAGUUUUGUCUUUCAAAAUUGGAAACCGUGCUACCUCUAGCCGGCCACACUAAUCUCCACAAGUUUUCUUUUCUUCAGUCUCGCACCUUUCUUCAGUAGCAAAUAGCAGAGAACCAGCAGUUGGUUGCAUUCCCGCUAUCCACUCAGCUAAGCUAGAUGGCAGAUCCCUCUGGUGCUCGUGGCGGCGACAUGCCGGCUGAUCCAAUGGUUGAGGCCGUGGAAGAAGCUGUGGCUCCGGUUGAGCAGCACUUGAAGUGGACGAAAGAGGACGAGGAAUCGGAUGCUGCUUUAUCCGCUCCCCUCAUUAGCAGCCUCCAGCAAGUUGACUCAGCAGGGGAGACCAUUGAUUCUGCAGAAGUAGCACCAGCUCCGGUUGAGGAGGAGGAGUACUUGCAGGAAGCAGCGCAAGAGUUUAGGUCCUCUGAGAUCAUAGAUGUAGGUGACAUUUCUAGCUGUAGCCGCGAGCAUGUUGAUGAGGGAUCUGACUUUGCAGAAGGAGAACCGUCUCCGGCUCCGGUUAGGGGUGGUCAUUUGAUGGAAGAAGCAGAAGAGUUCAAGAUUGAUUUCGAUAAGAGAAAAGAGCAGAUGCAUGGGUUCCCUGCAAGCCUACGCAGUCUCGACAGCCAGUACAUCUAGCCGAGGGUCGUUGCCAUCGACCCUUACCACCACGGCAAACCUCACCUCCAGAGGAUGGAGAGGGUAAAGCACGUGGCUGCCAGCCAAUUCCUCCUCGAGUCAGGAGACCUCUCAGUUAGGGAGGUCUAUAACGCUGUCUACCUGGUAUCAGGCGAGGCCCGCCGCCGCUACGGUCAAGACUCUGUGGUGGCAGGUAUUGACGAUGCUGACUUUGUGCCUAUGAUGUUCUUUGAUGCCUGUUUCUUGCUGGAGUUUAUGCAUUUUAUUAGCGAUGAGCAGCUUCCGUUUGAUGAAGCGUUGUCAUACGUUUUCCGCUCCAACCAAGAACUUAUCAUUAGCGAUGUAAUGCUGCUGGAGAACCAGCUCCCCUGGCUGGUUCUGGAAAGCCUGAUGGGAUUUAGCUCUGUGCCCGUGCAAGAGAAGAUGAUAAUUUCAAGAAUGGGGAAAGGUCUCACAAAACGUAGGCAUCAUAUUCAAACCGGACCAGAAGAAAUCCUUUCAAACUUGUAUGAAGAUGAAGAAGAGUACAAGCCGCCACAUCUCCUUGGUCUCCUUCGAUUCUACAAAGCAAGCAACAAGAUGGCCACCAAAGCCAGCAAGAAAGCCAACAAGAAUGAUGUAUUUUCAACACUGAACCGUUUGAAAGCCCGGCUAAUUGGUGCGCAUAAAGAAAUGGAUGUACCAUCAUACAAUAACAUGUCCAUGGAAACACUUAGUCAAUUGUCAAUAUCUCCAGGAGCCACCGAGCUUGCAGAAAUUGGCAUCAAGGUGAAAGCCAUCAAGACGGGAAGUCCCACAGAAAUGGACAUCAGGAAAGGACCCCUCUUUGGCGAUCUUUCCUUCACGCCACUGGCGCUAAACGUAUCAAACGCAUGUUUGCUUGCAAACAUGGCGGCUUUUGAGGUAUGCACGGCAUCAUGGGAUCUAUGUGAUGUUCAAGAGACGGCCGUCUUCUUGUACCUCGCUCUCCUUGGCAUGCUCAUGGACCAGAAAGAGGAUGUGCGCGACCUACGAAGGAAGCAUCUUGUGCAAGGAGAACUCACGAACCAAGAGGUGUUUGACUUUUUCAAGAGCCUUACCAGGCACCUGCCGGUGGGCCUCUCCUUUCUCCUCGUCUUAACGAGCAUUGAGAAGUACCAGGCCAACAGGAGGAUCUGGGUCAAGGCGCACAAGUUCAUCUACAACAACUUCAAAACCAUUUCCGCGGUCCUCUCCGUGGUUGGUGUUCUGGUGGGCAUCUUCAAGACGCUCCUCUCUCUCAAGCAACACCAGUAAAGUCAGACCAUGUUUGCCAUAUUUUCAGUUAUGAACCUUCUGUAAAUCUCUUUUUUAAACAAUAUAUGCAUGUUUGUUGGUCUCAUUUCUGCUACUUAAUUCGUUUCUACUGCCUAAUUCAGUGAAGACUUUGAAAUCUCUUCUUUACCAUGAAGGCUGUCUGGCAGAUAGUUUUUAGAUUGGUACCUUCUGUAACACUUGUACAGUAUGAGUUGCUGGUUGUUCUGUUUUGGGGCCUUCUUCUUUCUCUGUAGUUUGUACCAUCAGUAUGAUAAAAUCUUCUGGUCCGUCAAGUAGCAAUGCCACUGACAAAUAUCAAGCUGAUGAUCUGCCCAAGGGGCACCAGUGCCCAUCAGCAUUGGUCAAUGGCAUCACAAGGGAAGCGACACAACAGGGGAAGAAAUUUUCCGACUUAGAAUCAUGUUUCUGGAUGCGCCAAUCCGUCUCUGCUUCACAUUGCUCUAUUUGCUUUUCUAUGUGUGCCAAUUCUUUUUCCUGUUGAUUACCGGUGCCAUGCAUGUUUGUUGGCGUCGUUUCUGCUACUUAACUCCCUCCCCGUUGCUGAAUCCAAUAAAGACUACGCAAUGUCUGAUGUAACAUUGAGGCUUACUACUGCUAGAGUUUUCAGUUUUGUACCUUUUGUAACACUUGUACACCAUGAGUUUCUGGGUGCUCUGUUUUUCAUGGCUUCUUCUUUUUCCAUAGUCUGUACCAUGAAUACUGAAGCAACAUUCUUCUUGCGGAAUCAGAUAUGUAAUUUGCAGGGGACGGAGCAGUUUUUUUUUUUUGAUAAACAGAAAGCAGUUUUGUUCAUUGGUCUUGAUCUAGAAUUCCUGAUAAUACUUUGAAUCAAGUUCACAUCAUAUAUUAAUGUCUUCACUUCUGUUAUUGUUUCUCAUGCUGAACUGUGAGCAACCUUCAUGCUGAACUCUGAGCAACCUAAGGUAAUUAACAACUGUUUGCUUCCCGCAAAAGGGAAAAGAAACAACUGUUUGCGGCAAUUAUGUCUGAGGAAAAGCAUUCUUCUGAGAAAAAAAAUACACGUGCUCAAUUUAGUACUCGCUUUCCUAAAUUUAUCUUGGUAAAAUAGUAUGGCCUUCAACUACUAAACCACAGCUUUAAGCAUCCAUGACAAUUUCCAAGGUACAAUGUUCUGAAUAUUCCGGUGUCAAGUCAAAUCAGUAGAUCUGUGACAAGUACUACAACCUAGACAGUCGCCUCUGUUCUUCGCUAGGCAUGUACACACAUAAUCAAAUAUAUAAGUUUUAGAGUGGUUGGGCUUUUUUAGAACCGUUCGUUGAUGUCGAUCUAACGGCAGACAAAUACGAAGUACUGGGUAGUACUCCGAUGAAAGUACGCGAAAGUACUAAAACGAGUGGGGCCAGUACUCGUGACAAGGUGGGGAUGCGUUUUAAUCUAGGGGCAGUUUAGUCCUAGGAAAAUUUGCACGCGCCGCCCCUCUCGUCGAAUGCAUAACCGCCGCCAUGGUGAUUCACAUUCCACAAUUACUCAUCGGCGGCCAUCUCCUCCCUCUCCUCCAAGUCCACCUCAGUCAUCUCCUCCUUCUUGCCGCUGCAACUUCGCUCCACUCAGGCAACUCCCCACCCACCCCCACCCCCUCUUACACGGCAGAUCGAGCUGAUGGCCGGCGACGAGAACACCGACUUCGUGCAGAUCGCCGGCGGCGACCAGGUCAAGUUGGCCAGGUUGAGGGAGAUCCGUUCUUGGUUUGACAACACAAGGUAGAUGAACUGGACGGCAAUGGCCACUCUCAAGAAUAUGACGAAGAAGGAGAGGGCAAAGCUUUGCCCCCCGCCCGCACAACUGAUUGACAAGAUCGAGAUCCUCCUCUGGGCAAUGGAGCAGGCCAAUUCGUCCAGCGAGUGGACCAGGCGGAGGUGGUGGGCGUUCAGAUCCAGGGUAGAGCAUCCACUGGAUCAGGAACCCACCGUGCACGAGGUGCCGUUGCAGAUUGUGCAACCUCCAACCGAGUCACCGGAGACUCCGAAGCGCAAGAUGAGGAGGACAGUGGUCGCGACCUCGCUUCCCCGCCGUUCUCCACGCUUCCCUUGCCGCUCUCCUCGUCUGAACGGCGGCGGUAGCUAUGUUUAGAGUAUGCUUCCCCACUCCUCAUCUUCCUACUGCUCGUGCUUACAUCGUGGUGAUACUGAUCGUAAUAGCUCAGAGAGGGAAUGCUAGAUGGCAUUUUAAUCUCAAUGAAUUGCAUGAAUAUUUGAGUACAUGGAUUUGGAGGAUGGAUUAUGAUGUAUGUGAACACUAGGCAUCAUAUGAACCCUAGGAAAAAUUAGUAAUGUUCUAGUGGUAGACACUGAAAUAUUUCGGUACACACCGGUAGGCACUGAAAUAUUUCGGAACUGCCCUAGGCAAAAUUUGUAAUGUUGUAGUGGUGGACACUGAAAUAUUUCGGUACACACCGGUAGGCACUGAAAUAUUUCGGUACUGCCCUAGGCAAAAUUUGUAAUGUUGUAGUGGUAGACACUGAAAUAUUUCGGUACACACCGGUAGGCACUGAAAUAUUUCGUUACUACAAUUUCAGUACACAUCGAUGCACAAUGAAUUAUUUCAGUACUGCAGUUUCAGUACACACUGAAAUAUUUCAGUACUGCAAAUUCUAUACAAAGUUGGCAUUUUGUCAUUUAUGUGUGAAUCAAUCCAUGCAUCAUAUGGCAUAACUUUGUACAUGAGUUUGGGUCAAUUUCAUGUCUAUUUAUUGUUAAAAUUAUUGUCAUGCCAUGAAACACAAGACAAGUCACUGACCCAAGCUUGCAAAGAUGACAUAUCAAUGUUGCUGAUAUGCACGUUUUCACCAAGUCUUGUGUCUGAAUUAAAACUAAGCAUUUUUUCUUGAUGGUAUCCAUGGAUCUAGAACUCCUAUGAAUUUGCUCAUGUUGGAUGUUUUAUUCUCCAUCAUUUGUACUAGCAUUCUGUGCGAUUAGAUGCCAUGACAAGACCCCUGGCAUAUUUAUUUUCUUGCCUCCAACAUCACAUGUGUGUUUUGCAGGAAAGAACCUGGAGUUCACCAGGCUGGCUGAAGUUGUGAGGCUGGGAGGCUGAUGGUGCUGCUACUGGCUGAUCCUUCUUCUUUCAGUUUUUGUUCGUCAUUUAUCAAGCCGUUGGACCAGGGCUACUUCCCUAUGUGCUGUUAAUGUAUUAAGUAGUUCCUUCGAAUUUGUAGUACUAGUUAGUUUGAAUGUGGAAGUACCUUAAUUUUUGGAACGAAAUGUUGCUAUGUAGGACCAAGGGUUUCAUACCUUAAUCUUUGGAUAAUUAAUUAUGUGAACUGUUAGAUGUGGUGCACAACGAAACGCCUCUACCAUUGAUACUAUAGUUCAACAUGUCGGUCCAAUUAGAGACCAGCCACUACCAUAUAGAACAGUUAGCAUUUCAUACUACAACCUGGCACGUACAAAACAUCACACAGUGGAAGCACAUCCCUAAGCACCUUGCAUUGUACAAGGUCUAAGAGACCAGCCUCUACCAUAUAUAACAGUUACCAUGUCACACUACAGCAUAUAAAACAUCACAUUGUGGAAUAAUCAUAGCUAGUAGAGCAUUAGGUACCAGUUAAUAAUAGUUGCAAUCCAUCACAAGCAAUAGUACCUAGAUAUGAGUAGAUAUAGGUACGGUAAUACACGACAAGUACUCGCAAACAAGAGCUGACAUAACAAGUUCAUUUCACAUUGAUACAUGGCCCACCCCAGUUCUAAAUGAGGUGGAUGGUGAUCAUCAUCCUCAAGUCAUGGCGACGGGUGUUCGCAACGGUGAGUAGGAUGGCCUGUCCUACCCGAAGAUUCUUGGCACGAAGGAACUUCUUCCACCCUGCCAUGCUCAAGACAGUCCGACCGUUCGUGUCCACUACAUAGGCACAGCUGGUGAUGGAGCCGUUCUGGUAAGGCGUAGUCCAGCAGCCAUGCCUUCUUCGCCCGGGUCGAUGCCACAGCUAUCAAGUAACCUCUUAGGUAAUUUCUGAAAACAGUUGACAUGAUAUAUGAUCAUGUCACGUGCAAUUAUCAACAAAGCAUACACUUCAAGACACAUAUAUCAUUGGAUUCAACACUGAGCAUAUAUAUCAUCACAUGACUACACUAUACGCCAAGCAUCAAAUUACUACAGUAAUUAGGCAUAUCAUUAGAUUACUUCCUACACUAAGCAUAUCAUCGCAUAUUACUACACUACAUGCAUGUCAUAAAAUUCUUCACUAAAUGAAUUCUAAACUUGGCCUCUCAUCACAGUACUACAACAUGCAUAUCAUAUGAAGUACUACACUAACUAAGCAUGCAUAUCAUGUAAUUACCACACUAAGUAACAUACCAUGAUAUGUCGUUUAACAUUCGUCCUUGUGAGGCGGGUCACGAAUGGCUUCCCUAGGUAGUCUUCACGUAGCGGAAGCAUGUCCCAGAGGUUGCCGAUUUCCUCGUCGCCCAGGCUGAGUCCUUGGGCAUACAGGUAUUCAACAAGUGGGUUCUCAUCAUCAUCUGAAUCAGCACCAUCUUCGUCCUCGUGAACUUCAUCCUCACUAUCCGGAAUGAAAUUUAGAUAGAUAACAGAAAUCCUGGGCCUAUCUCUUCUGAAGGAGAAGCUGAUCAAUUCACCCCCAGUAAGACGCAUGCGGGCGAUGAAACGAUCCCAAUCAUCUCCUCCUAUCUGGGUUAUCUUUCGCCCCUUCUCGACCUGCAUAGUGUAUGGGCCCCCAAGAGCGUCAAAGGUCACUGUGUCUGCGACGAGCUCAUUGAAUGCCAAUCUCACAUUGCAUGGUACGAUCUGUGUAAGAUAAAAACAAAUAGCAGACACAAUACAUUAGUGCAAAUAGCAAAAAAAACAAAAAGAAUGUACUGUCAGAAGGUUCAUAUAAAUUAUUACCACUGCAACAACAAAAGAAGGCUGGAAGUAGAUGCCGAACAACGUGGCAGUAGAAAGGCUGGUCCGGCACCGUGAGUUGCAGCGUCCACAUUGUGCUUCCUCCAUUCUACACAGAACAUGUUGAACUCUAAGUUGAAUUGUACAUAGUACAAUACAAAGAUCAUACAUAUAAUAAAUCAUAGUGAUAACCUAUACUGGCAAUGGCCAAUCAAUCUAUUUUCUAUCAUCUAUGUAAUAAAGCAAUGGCAAUGACAAUGGCAAUGCCCGGUUCAUCUAAACCUGGGAAUAGUUGGGCAUCGAAACUUAAACCAGUCCAAUCCACGGCACACAUCAAAACCAAACCAAUCCAGAUAUUUUCAUUUAGAAUCUAGACCAAACCGAACUAUACAUGCGCGUCAUCCAACCCAGUCCAAACCGUUUUCAACUUCCAAAGGUUCAAACCGUGGACAAAGCCAUAUGCGAGGGCACGUCAUGAAUCUAGAUCAGACAUGGCGUCAAAGCUCGAGAGAGCCGACGAGCCCCGGCCGGCAACUGCGGCUCUUGGAUUUGAAGCAGUACUAGGUGGUAGUGGCGGCUCAAACUAAUUGAUUGAUUUGGUCUCAAACCAUAUAAACCAAAUCAAGAUCCAAUCCAAAAACUAAGUUUCAGUCCGUAGGGAGACGCGUUUGAGGAAGGGAAGAAGAGUGGAGAUCUGACGUACUUGCCGUAGUUGGCGGCGGCCGCGCACCGGCAGCGAAGAGAGGGGUCGUCGGCAGAGGCGGCGGCGCUGGUCGAGAAGGGGAGAAAGAAAGAUGUGGAGUGGUCGAGACAGGGAGAAAGAAAAAUGUGGUACAUGUGGUGGCUCGGUUGUGUGGAUGACAAGGGGACCCACUUGUGAGACCGAUAGCAAUUGAUGGCAAACCGUAGGAGGUGCACGACCGCGUGCACGACCGCCACGUCCCCACGUGGAAUCGGGACGGCCGGGUGGGUGUGUCAAGUCAAAUCGGCACCCGCGGCUUCUCGGUAACUCCAAGAGGCAGGAGCAGUGCCUUUCUUCCCCAAAUCGGGUAGAAAACCCUCAUCCUCUCCCGAACCAUACCACCCUCUCUUCCUUCCUCACCACCUCACCACCCUCUCCUCCUUCGUCACCACCCUCCUCCCUUCCUACGCCUCCCUCCUCCUGUCUUCGACCGACGAUGAAGCGCGGGCGUGAAGAUGCGGCGGAUGAGCCGGAGGCAACCAUCGGAGCAGAGCAGUCUGCUGCCAUGGCUGCAGCCGUGGGUGGAGCGGCUGAGUCCGCCGUAGCGGCGGAAGCUGGCGGUGCAGCGACCGUUGUGCCUGCUCCCGCUGCCAUCGCAGCCGUCGAGGCACCCGUCGGCGAGCACAAGGUCGGGGAAGAUCUGGAGGAGGAGGAGAUGAGAAGGCGUAAGCGCAAGGUGUAUGACAAAAUCGAAGAGCUCAUGGAGGAGAACGCCAUAAAGGAGUUCGACCUAGAUAGCAGGAAGGGCAGCGACUUCGACGAGGAUGCCAUCGACGAGCUAUCUGAGGUAGUACUCUGUUUUUUGCUCAGUUUUUUUCAUGACAUUGGGGUUUUUCUUGUUAACUAGAUGAGCAUCAAUUUCACUUGGGCGUUCUAGUUGUACGUAUGUAGGAUUGUAGGGAUCUAGCAUAGAUCUUCAUGUUGGAUGUGGAUUUUAAAUCUGAUUCACAUUCUGAUUCCAGCAUAUACUCUGGGUUUUUUUCAUGGCAUUGGGGUUAGUCUUGUUAACUAGAUGAGCAUAAGUUUCAUAAGGGAUACAUUAAUGAAAGAAGUGGGGUAAUGAACCCAAAUACAAGAAAAUGUUCAUGGCAGGGAUACAUUAAUGAAAAAAGUGGGUUAAACAAUGGAUAUAUGACAGGAUUCUCCAUUGGCUUCCCCAGGAUAGUGACUAAAUUCUGCAGGUCCUGAUUCAUUAUAGUUUAUGUCCAUGAAUUAAUUUGCACACAUGUUCAUAGAUGAUUAGUUUGCACACAUGUUCAUAGAUGAUCCAUUUGCAAAUUCUAUACAGAUUUCCAUUUUGCAAAGGAAGUGAUCGCUCCCUUAAUAAUUAUGGGCUGACAUUACAUAUCCACUGGAUACCGAAAAAUCAAAACAUCUCAUCUACCCAAUUUUCCACAGUAUUUUAUUUAGAUGAUCACAGCCACAUCUCUCAUCAAUAUGAGCAGUGAGACACCCCAUAGCUCCUUUACCAAUUUCCUUCUGAAAGUUAUCAGGGUCUAACAAUGUUGGAGAAGCAGUAUUGCCGCUGUCAGAAAGAAUAAUUGUUUCUUCAUUCCAGUAGAUAGAACAAACCCCCCUUGUGCGAAACAUGGAGGAGUACAAUGAAGCCAUUUUUCUGAUUCCAAUAAGAAUUACACCUGUAACAAGUAUCAAAUAUCAUUAAACCAAGCCACUUCAUCUAUAAAUGCAACUACUUGGGUUUAGGGUUAUCAGGGGUUAGGGUUAUCAGGGUUUAGGGUUGAGUGUUUACAUGCAAUCCCGGAAAUGCGUGUGUCAGAGAACGUACUUGCAUGUAUAUGUAGUAAUGAUCCCAAACUUUCUUAAUGGCAUCCCAUGACCACAUAGAGAAUGAAUGCAUAAUGGUUUCCAUGUUGGGCAAAAUUUUGAAUGUUUAUACGGUUUAGUGGGGGGGAGGGGUUUAGGGUUAUCAGGGUUUAGGGUUUAAGGGUUUUAGGGUUGACGGAACUAUGUUUGUCUUACGGUGGACGUAGCACACACACCGGACAUUGAUGGAGCGUUGGUCUACAAUGGAUUCCCUCCGGUACCAUCGAUCCGGUCCGUUGACUGGCUCGGCCGACAAACUUCGUGCCACAUAAAGCAUGCAUCCAUCCACUGGACCGGAUCGAUGUUUGGUUGGUUUCAUACAGGUGAGGAACCCAGGUAGUGCUUUCGGGGUGUUGACAUGCUAGGCCGGAAAUGCGCGUGUCAGAGAUCGUACUUGCGUGUAUAAUCCCGAAAAUCUUUCAUGGCAUCCCAUGAGACCACAUAGAGAAUGCAUGCAUAAUGGUUUCCAUGUGGGGCAAAAAUUUGAAUGUUUUUACGGCUUAGUGGGAGGGGGGGUUUAGGGUUAUCAGGGUUUAAGGGUUUUAGGGUUGACGGAACUAUGUUUGUCUUACGGUGGACGUAGCACACACACCGGACAUCGAUGGAGCGUUGCUCUACAAUGGAUUCCCUCCGGUACCAUCGAUCCGGUCCGUUGACUGGCUCGGCCAACAAACUUCGUGCCACAUAGAGCAUGCAUCCAUCCACUAGACCGGAUUGAUGUUUGGUUGGUUUCAUACAGGUGAGGAACCCAGCUAGUGCUUUCGGGGUGUUGACAUGCUAUGCCGAAAAUGCGCGUGUCAGAGAUCGUACUUGUGUGUAUAAUCCCAAAAAUCUUUCAUGGCAUCCCAUGACCACAUAGAGAAUGCAUGCAUAAUGGUUUCCAUGUGGGGCAAAAAUUUGAAUGUUUUUAUGGUUUAGUGGGAGGGGGGUUUAUGGUUAUCAGGGUUUAGUGUUUAAGGGUUUUAGGGUUGACGGAACUAUGUUUGUCUUACGGUGGACGUAGCACACACACCGUACAUUGAUGGAGCGUUGGUCUACAAUGGAGUCCCUCCUGUAGCAUCGAUCUGGUCCGUCGACUGGCUCGGCCGACAAACUUCGUGCCACAUAGAGCAUGCAUGCAUCCACUGAACCAGAUGAAAUGCGCGUGUCAGAGAUCGUACUUGCGUGUACAUGUACCAUCCGUUCCAUCCACUGGCUGGGCCGACAACCUUCGUGCCACAUUGUUCACAUUGUCCAAUUAACACUUUGUAUAGAUUUUUUUGGUAAAAAAUGAAAGAAAUAAUGCAACUAAUCUGAACGUAACGUUUGGCAUGUAUCAAACCAAGUUGCUACUAUUCCUCAAAAAAACCCAGUUAGCCACUAAUUGCGCCAAACAUAUCUCGUAAUUACCAACGAAAAUGGGUUGACAAUUAUAUCUGGAAAUUUUUGGACUGAAUUUAUUGCUCUUCCUUUUUUAGAGAACAAUAAGUUAGAAUGGUGGGCGGCGGGUUGGCACGGGCACGGCGAUGGCUCGGGCUUGUGUGAUAUGUGGUUCGACCCGCGGUCAGUGCACAUGUUUUGGAAGCCCCAAAAAGAUCGCGCUCUUAAAAAAACUUGCAUCGAAGCGCAUUACUUCAAAAUAACUAAUUAACCCUACAAUCACGGAUAUAUACCUUCCCAUUCUACCGAAUAUCUACCCUAUCCUAACCACCCCCAUCUACCUUGUUUCUCCUCACAUAGCCAUCGCCGGGAUCGCGCCAUCGCUUCUCAAGCGACCACGCCGACGCCGGAUUAAAAAGGUCUCUUCCACGGCUUCUCUCAUCUUCGAUUGCAGUGCUGAUUAUUUUUUCCAUUGAUUCGACCAACAAGUAAUUUCCGAAGAGAUUAGAAAAUCCAGCUUUUGCCAUAGUUGAGUAGUUCUGGUGUGAUUCGAGUACAGGAUGUCAUGCAAGAGCUUUUUGAUUGAUAGUUUGUACUAGUUGAUCGUACGAACUAAUUAUGAAUAUUUUUUCACGGUCGUAUUGUUUCGAAUUAGGUGGAUGAGGGUGUGGAUACAGUUUUCAUACUAUGGGUAUAUGUGUUGCUGUAGGGACCAUGGUCUCAGAGGCGUAUAACAACCGUGCGGAGUACGACAAGUCUUUGCAUGAAGCGCGUCGGGAGAUCGACUUGAAGGUGCAAAAGGAUCGCGCUGAGGUAGAUAAGAAACUGAAAAAAGAACAUUCAUACGUGGACAGGAUGAUAAAGGAGGAGCGUCAGGAGUUUUCCCUUAAGAUGGCGAAGAUGCGUCUUGAGAUUGAAGAAAAGUAUAAGAGGGACUGUGAGUACAUGGAAAAAAAGUUUUUCUUAGGCUACAAGGAAAUGCAUCAAACGUUGCAGAAGGACCGGAAGCUUGUGGACAAUAUUAUACAGACAGAGCGAGUCAAGAUGGAUGCCUAUGUGUUGCAGGCACGUGCGGAUAUGGACAGUAAGCUGCUACAGGAGCGGUCGGACAUGGAUUAUAAGGCCAUGCUGGAGAAGGUCCGCUUGGAAGGACAUAUGUUAGAAGACCGUGCGAUCUCACGGCCACCCCGACAACAUGUCUUCAAUUAUUCUCCCCCUGUAAGUAUCUCGCACCGAUUCUAUAUAUUAAGGACCUACGUAUUCUAUGAUACAAACAUCUUCAAUUUGUGGCAACCUUAUGUCGGCGAUUGUAUGUAGGCUAAGCAUCAUGAGAUGGCACAGUCGCCAUUCACUCGAGAUAUUGCGAUAGAGUCACCCGUUCAAUGCCACAUCAGUCCACCCCAACAACAUAUCGUCAAUUGUCCCCUUGUAAGUACCUCGCAACGAUGCAUACCCAAGAUAUGGUAUGACCUUUCAAAACUUGUGUGUAAACCCACUAUCGACAUUUCAUACGCAGGAUAAGAAACCUAUGAUGGCAGAGUCCCUAGUCACACCACAUGAAGGAUACAUUCAACAUAAUAAGGUGAGAAGGUUUGGGAUGGCACAAUCCCAAGUCACUCCACAUGAAGGAUACAUUCCACAAAAGCAGGUAACAACGCCGCAAUGUUGCUAUGCACAUAAAAGUUAUGUUUGGCCCUUUACUCAUUGAAUGUAUUAACUCUGAUGUGAGAUACUAGGUGCUGGUCAUGGAAUUUUUUGUUAGUAGGGAUGAUGAGAUGUCACAUGUCCCGAGAGCAUACUUUGAUGAACACCCGGCAGAAGUCAGAAUUUUUGAACCCGCCAAAGUGACCUACGAUCUCAUUAUGAGUGAAAUGAGAGAUAGUUUUGGUUGCAAACUGGGAGCAGAACUGUACUACUUCUUACCCGGGUCUGCGUGCAAGCUGCCAGAAGGAAUGUUCUUGAUUGCAGGACCAGAUGAUGUACAAAAAAUGUUUUUUGAUCUGAAUGGCAGCAAGACAUGUCACCUGUACAUUGUGUACAAUAGAACUACGGGUUGUUUUCCCGAGGAUGACAUUGAUUCCGAGGUUCAAAUUUUACAUGUUGCAUGCAUCUAGUUUAUGGCAACGUCUUUUUUGAGUUCUUCCUAAUACAAUUCCUAUGGUUUUCUACAGGAAGUGAGAAUCCAAGAAAUGGAGGGUCUUGCUAGAGAGUUGGCAGAGAAAGACCAUGAACAACUUAAGUUGUAUGGUUACAUUGAUGUUAAAGAGAAAAAUAUUGAAGCACAUGGGUCGUCGCCAAGCCCGACGCAAUCUCCAACGACGCAACGCAAGAGGUCACUGGAUUUUGGCAGUGCAGAAGACAAUAUGGAGUAGGCUCAAUUGUUUUUCAACCAGUUUAAGCUUCAAACCAGGAUUAUUUAGUUGCAAACAAACCUUUUGUUUUCUGUUUCACACUAUGUUCGCAAUUAUGGUACAAUUUAUUCAUGAUACAGUUCUUUGAACAACAAUGCAUGUGUUUUAUGAUCAAUCAUACAGUUGUUUCUGAGUUGUUUUUGAGAUGGCAUUGUGUCUAAAGAAGUUUCCAUCUAUAGAACUUGGCACACAGUCGCAUCGGAAUCGCGUAUCACGCGAGAGGCGUGCGUCGCACGGGAGAGCGUCGCACACGAGCUUGUUUUCGGGUAGAAAUCAUAACAUAUUUCGGAUAGAUAAAGUUCACGUCCGCCACCCGCGCAUGCAAACCCACGUCGCCGCCAUUCCCAUGCAUGCAUGCCUCAGGCGCAGACAACGAGACGGCCCAUCCGAAGUAGGCCCAUCCGAAUUAGGCCCAUCCGAAGUAGGCCAUUAGAACCCUCCCCCCACUCCACCUAUUCCCCUCGCGCUGUGGCCUCCCUCCCUCCAUCGCCAGAUCCCCCACUCGUCCCCCUCUGUCCGCCACCCCUGCACGCCGUUGGCGACUCCACCCCCACCGCACCCGCGCCCCCCCAACGGGAUCGGCCGGAUCCAUCUCCUCAACCACCGUAGGACAGCGCAGGUACCCCAGUUUCUGUUGACGUCUCAAUGGUAUCCAUGCUGAUAAUGCUAGGUAGAUCGACUGAGUGUAGCAAUUUUGUGCCACCAAUCCACUUUUCUGGAAAAUUCUUGCUAGAAAACUAUCUGAAACUUGUGAUGCUUGCUACUGUAUAAUAUAGGACUUUUCAAAGUUCUGUUAUGAUUGCACUAUUGGACACAUACAGUAGAUCUGCGUUUUUAGUUGUUAUACUUUAAGUUACCAUUAGUGCUUGGGAAAGGACGAAUUGGAUGCAUUCAGGUCUACAGUUGAUAGUGUAUCAUCAUAAUGUAGGUGCUGUGUUGUGUGAUUCUUCAUGCUGAGAACUUCAGCUUUUUCAGUUAUAGUGAAAGGCUUCUGUAUAAAAAACUACUAAAUGAUCACAAAAACUUCUAGACAACAUUCUGUACGAUCUGACCAAAUCUUGAACUAAAUGAUCACCAAAAGUUGAAGGAUUUUGCAUCACAUCACAACCAUAAGUGUUCUGCACCACCAUCAUAACAAUCACAUAACUACAUAACAAAAGCAAACUUGUUCAUCAUUACAAAAGCAAACUUUUUCAACAUAACAAAAGCUAACUUGUUCAGCAUUACAAAAGCAAACUUGUUCAACCACAUAACUGCAAACUGAGACACAUAAUACCACAAACAACUCAAUAUCCCCAGUAGUAGGGGUCAUCCCAAUGAGCCUCCGCCUCUUGCCAGUACUCCAAACCUUCUUUGAUGAUUUCAAUUUUCUUCCAUGCCUCGUAGGUGACGUACGCAUCUUUCUCUGCGUACUCGAUGAGGUUGUUUGGCAGUGGGUUGUCCCCCUAUAGUUUGUGGUCGAAUUCCUUGUUAAUCUUCUUCUUAAUUUCCUUGUAUAAUGGGUGGAUGAGGCUGGCUGCAAACUCAGCCAAAGCCUGCCACUUCUUUCCAUUUUUUGGAACUCUCCAUUUGCGCUGCAUGUCGACGUACUUGUCGGGGUUGAUCUCCAAACCAGACAAUUUCAGCUUCUCCUUGUCACCUCCAAUGGAGAAGCCAACAAAGGUGUACAGCUUCUUCUCCUGCAGGAGCAGGCGGAGUUCCUUGGGCCUGCAUCAAAUUAAUCUGGUGCAUCAAAUUCAUCUACUUCAAAAACUUCAGAAACUACUAAUUAGACAUAAAAUUCAGAACUAGUAUUGCAUCUACUCCAGAACUUCAGAACUAGUAUUGCAUCUACUUCAGAACUUCAGAACUAUUGCAUCUACUUGAGAAACUUCAGAAACUUCAGAACUAUUGCAUCUACUUGAGAAACUUCAGAAACUACUAAUUAGACAUAAACUUCAGAACUUCAGAACUAGUAUUGCAUCUACUUCAGAACUUCAGAACUAUUGCAUCUACUUCAGAAACUUCAGAAACUACAGAAACUACUAAUUAAACAGAAACUUUAGAACUUCAGAACUAGUAUUGCAUCUACUUCAGAACUACAGAACUAUUGCGUCUACUUCAGAAACUUCAGAAACUACUAAUUAGACAGAAACGUCAGAACUUCAGAAACUUUAGAACUGGAUGUUUUUACCAUUUGGUUGCCGCGGUGAUGUGGUAUGCCAGGACGAGAUCCUCCACGCAUAACUGUAGAACUGCAGCCUUUUGUGGAGGUUCAUCUUCCCUCGUAUACUCGACAUCAACGGCGAUCGACCGAGAAAGCAUGCCGCCGAGCCUCCUCCUGAUCUCGCAGAUCCUCUUGUCGGCUUCGUCUGGAUUGCUGGUGCAUACGACAUCCAGCUUCUCCUUCUUCAGAUGGAUAUCAACCAUGAGCGGCACGGUGUAGUCCUGCUUCUGCCCGAGGACCAGAACGUUGUCGUCGACCACCAGCGGCUCCUUGCCAGACGCCUCACCUUGGUGAUGCUUGGCAGACGGAGGGGAGUUGCUCCAUGAUGCCUCCGCCAUUCUCUUGGCAGACGGAGGGGAGUUGCUCCACGAUUCCUCCGCCAUUGCCCUCCUGGCCAGCGAUGGUGGAGGCAGAGGGGAGUUGCUUGACGGUGGAGGCAGAGGGAGGAAGAUGGAGCGGCAAUGGAAUGAGGGAGGCAGAGGGAGGCAGAUUGAGCGGCAAUGGAAUAGGAGGGGAGUUCCCUGCGUCGUGGGGAGUUGCCAGUGGAGGGGAGUCGUGGGGAGUUGCCAGUGGAAGGGAGGCAUGGGGAGUUGCCUCGAAAACUCAAACGUCCUGCCCUUUGGCCCUCGAAAAAUCUGGAGGGGAGACGUGGGCCCUUUGGUUUGUCCUGUUUCUGAAACAAAAAUAAAAUAACAGCCAUAUUUUGCUCUCACUGCAACCAUAUUAAGAGAUCAAAAAUGGCACCAAAAAGUCACUGCAGCCAUCCUAAAUGCCACGAAAACAGCACCAAAACAACAUCAGCCAAAACAGCAAAAAAUGCAUCCAUCGAUCGUUCUUUAUUUCUUCUAACAUUCCGUGUUCUGUGCAGUGAGAUAGACACAACGCUACAAAUGCAGGCUGACAACGCCCGCGAUUUCAUGACCAUCAGGACAGACGGCGGCUUCAUCCACGCUCCGGUCCCAUGAGUCGAGUCGAAAGUAGUGAUGCUAUGUGUAGUUCUGAAACAUUGAUUGGCUCAUGUUGUAAUUAAACUUUAAUGAAUUGUAUGUCUCUUUGGUUUGGACAGUCGUUAAACUUAGAUGUAAUCGAUGCUAUUUAUUACUAGGACCAUGAAUUGUGCUAUUAAUGUCUUGCUUUUCUCUUCCGAUCCUUUUGUUGCAUACUUAUUUAUUGCUUAUGUAUUGUCUGUUGUUUGGCUUGUGCAUAGAGAUGACGUCGUAUGUCGUGUACAAGGGUAAGGUUCCCGGAGUCUACGACGACUGGGAGGAGUGUCGGAGACAGGUUCACCAUUUCAGCGGUAACAGUUACAAAGGGUACACCACUAGGGCGGAGGCGGAAUCUAGAUACACUCGCUAUCUAGCGGGAGAGAGGAGGGAGCGUUGGAGGAACCGGAUGAAGACCAGUUUCAUCGCGAUGAUGCUCAUCGUGAUGACCGCAACUCUCUUCUAUGUGAUGGUAGUUUAGAUGAUCGAUAUCGACUUGUAAUAUGAACACAAACUCGCUACUCGCGGUCUCGAGGCUUGUAAUGUUCUAUCUUUGUUCGGUCUUUUGAAUUCGGAGACUAAUAUGAUGAAUUGUAUUCGGAGAGCUAUCUUAUAUUGUAUUGGAUGAAUGUGCUGUUGCUGUGUGGUGCUGUCUAUAUUCUGUCCAAUAAUAUAUUUUGUAACCUGUGAAAAUAUCAGAAAUGUGCAUUUUUCCAACCACCUCCAAAUCACCUCAGUUUUGGCACACAUGAUCUCUUCCACAAACUAAACUAGGUUUCCAAGUUUUUGUAUUUUUUAUAUUUUUUUUUGAAUUUAUAAUGCCCUCUAGACUGACUGCUGAAAACAUCGGUCUAUGCCUCAAGGGGGCAUUGUAAAAUAAUUUUUUUCAAAAUUUUCUUGCAUACACAUGUUUUGCACAUGUGGGUGACCAUGUACAAGAAAAUUUGGGUGAUUUGGAGGUGGUGGAAAAAUUCACGUUUUUUCAAAAAAUGGCUUAAGUUAGACCAAAUGGUCCCUCCGGGAAUGCGGGCAUUUUUUCGACCACCUCCAAAUCACCUCAGUUUUGGCACACAUGAUCUCUUCCACAAACAAAACUAGGUUUCCAAGUUUUUGUAUUUUUUNNNNNNNNNNNNNNNNNNNNNNNNNNNNNNNNNNNNNNNNNNNNNNNNNNNNNNNNNNNNNNNNNNNNNNNNNNNNNNNNNNNNNNNNNNNNNNNNNNNNNNNNNNNNNNNNNNNNNNNNNNNNNNNNNNNNNNNNNNNNNNNNNNNNNNNNNNNNNNNNNNNNNNNNNNNNNNNNNNNNNNNNNNNNNNNNNNNNNNNNNNNNNNNNNNNNNNNNNNNNNNNNNNNNNNNNNNNNNNNNNNNNNNNNNNNNNNNNNNNNNNNNNNNNNNNNNNNNNNNNNNNNNNNNNNNNNNNNNNNNNNNNNNNNNNNNNNNNNNNNNNNNNNNNNNNNNNNNNNNNNNNNNNNNNNNNNNNNNNNNNNNNNNNNNNNNNNNNNNNNNNNNNNNNNNNNNNNNNNNNNNNNNNNNNNNNNNNNNNNNNNNNNNNNNNNNNNNNNNNNNNNNNNNNNNNNNNNNNNNNNNNNNNNNNNNNNNNNNNNNNNNNNNNNNNNNNNNNNNNNNNNNNNNNNNNNNNNNNNNNNNNNNNNNNNNNNNNNNNNNNNNNNNNNNNNNNNNNNNNNNNNNNNNNNNNNNNNNNNNNNNNNNNNNNNNNNNNNNNNNNNNNNNNNNNNNNNNNNNNNNNNNNNNNNNNNNNNNNNNNNNNNNNNNNNNNNNNNNNNNNNNNNNNNNNNNNNNNNNNNNNNNNNNNNNNNNNNNNNNNNNNNNNNNNNNNNNNNNNNNNNNNNNNNNNNNNNNNNNNNNNNNNNNNNNNNNNNNNNNNNNNNNNNNNNNNNNNNNNNNNNNNNNNNNNNNNNNNNNNNNNNNNNNNNNNNNNNNNNNNNNNNNNNNNNNNNNNNNNNNNNNNNNNNNNNNNNNNNNNNNNNNNNNNNNNNNNNNNNNNNNNNNNNNNNNNNNNNNNNNNNNNNNNNNNNNNNNNNNNNNNNNNNNNNNNNNNNNNNNNNNNNNNNNNNNNNNNNNNNNNNNNNNNNNNNNNNNNNNNNNNNNNNNNNNNNNNNNNNNNNNNNNNNNNNNNNNNNNNNNNNNNNNNNNNNNNNNNNNNNNNNNNNNNNNNNNNNNNNNNNNNNNNNNNNNNNNNNNNNNNNNNNNNNNNNNNNNNNNNNNNNNNNNNNNNNNNNNNNNNNNNNNNNNNNNNNNNNNNNNNNNNNNNNNNNNNNNNNNNNNNNNNNNNNNNNNNNNNNNNNNNNNNNNNNNNNNNNNNNNNNNNNNNNNNNNNNNNNNNNNNNNNNNNNNNNNNNNNNNNNNNNNNNNNNNNNNNNNNNNNNNNNNNNNNNNNNNNNNNNNNNNNNNNNNNNNNNNNNNNNNNNNNNNNNNNNNNNNNNNNNNNNNNNNNNNNNNNNNNNNNNNNNNNNNNNNNNNNNNNNNNNNNNNNNNNNNNNNNNNNNNNNNNNNNNNNNNNNNNNNNNNNNNNNNNNNNNNNNNNNNNNNNNNNNNNNNNNNNNNNNNNNNNNNNNNNNNNNNNNNNNNNNNNNNNNNNNNNNNNNNNNNNNNNNNNNNNNNNNNNNNNNNNNNNNNNAGGGGGCAUUGUAAAAUAUUUUUUUUCAAAAUUUUCUUGCAUACACAUGUUUUGCACAUGUCGGUGACCAUGUACAAGAAAAUUUGGGUGAUUUGGAGGUGGUGGAAAAAUUCACGUUUUUUUCAAAAAAUGGCUUAAGUUAGACCAAAUGGCCCCUCCGGGAAUGCGGGCAUUUUUUCGACCACCUCCAAAUCACCUCAGUUUUGGCACACAUGAUCUCUUCCACAAACAAAACUAGGUUUCCAAGUUUUUGUAUUUUUUAUAUUUUUUUUGAAUUUAUAAUGCCCUCUAGACUGACUACUGAAAACAUCGGUCUAUGCCUCAAGGGGGCAUUGUAAAAUAUAUUUUUUCAAAAUUUUCUUGCAUACACAUGUUUUGCACAUGUAGGUGACCAUGUACAAGAAAAUUUGGGUGAUUUGGAGGUGGUGGAAAAAUUCACGUUUUUUCAAAAAAUGGCUUAAGUUAGACCAAAUGGUCCCUCCGGGAAUGCGGGCAUUUUUUCGACCACCUCCAAAUCACCUCAGUUUUGGCACACAUGAUCUUUUCCACAAACAAAACUAGGUUUCCAAGUUUUUGUAUUUUUUUGAAUUUAUAAUGCCCUCUAGACUGACUGCUGAAAACAUCGGUCUAUGCCUCAAGGGGACCUGCAUGUGAAUAGUGAUUCAUCAAGGCCUUGACAGCUACUGGCACAGUGGCUGCCGCCUGAUUUGCAUGCAGCGAAGAUGAACGUGCAUGGAGGUUUUUCAAAGAUUUCCAAGCACACCCGAGUGGGCCCCGCUUAUUUAAAAAAUACGUCAGUCAUUAUUGCUCUGUAAUGAAGAAUAUGCAUGAUGAUUAUGAAUAUGCAUGACAACCAUAGUAAGGGUGAAGAAUCAUAGUGCCCAAUUUGUCGAAAUACAUCAUCAUUCUUAAAGUUGGACAUCACAUGAUACACACAGAAAGUGGAAACGAAAGAUGUAGAACUAAUACAGUAACAUGGCAGUACAACCGCACUUCACUAGAUUACUGUCACGAUGAAAUAGAAUGUAAAGACCACGUCACACAAAGCUGAAUGGCACACGACUUUCUCUGGCUCAUCGUCGGUUCAUGCUGUAAGUAGAUAUCACAGUUCAGCCUCGAGAUCCUACACAGAAGAAUAGAAUAAAUCACAUGGACAUCAAUUAUGAGUAAAACACAUGCAAAAAAAAUAUGAACAUAUUUCGUACCUCUAGCAAUUUAGCUCAUUUAGGUCGAUUGUGACCUGGUUUCUUGCAAUAGCCACAGAUAUUCUGUGAUCUUGACUUCUUUGUCUUUGCCUGCGGCCUUUUCUUCAGUGCACCUCGUCCUGGCACAUGCACGGGAUCCAGAACCUUAUCAACUUUCUGCGAGUGCGGCAUCAACGGGCCAAACCUAAUGCUGUUAUGCUGAGCAUUAGUUGACUCCUUGCUGUCAGCUAGUUCAAAACUUCAUGCUUGCCAUGAUGUUGUGCUUGCAAAAGCAUCUUUAGCCGGUGAUAGUCCUCAUCAGAGUGGCAUGCCUGGAAACUUGCGACGUGACUACAAUUCCGCAACUCGCGGUACCUCUGCAGGCUUAGCGAAUAGUCAUACAUCUGGUUUUUUCUGGUAGGUGCGUAUGCACAUUUUGCAUUCAUAGUCCACCUAGUGGGAACGCAACAACCGGGCAGAAUUGUUUGUUUUAAAAUCCCCAAUAUGUAAAAAAUGUGGGAACAUGGUGUGCCUGCGCAUUCCAGCUUACGGAAGAACAACUCACCCUGUGCAAAAGACCUCCUUGCUCUUCAAUGCGCACUCCAAACUUUUUAUCCAUUCUUUCCUGCUUGGACACAACAUAAGUGGAAUCUUCUGAUCCAUCUAGUAUCUCUCUAGUCUGACAUUUGCUGACAGCAUCUAUGCUCCAUAAGACCAUCUUAAAGACCCUAGGUGUGAAAACUGUUACGGCGUGUUUCUAAAGCGGCGAAGCAUUUUCCUCUGUAAAUGGAACGGACUGCAAGGCUUCGACGUCAUGGAUAGCUUCGUUAAUCCGUCGCGACGCAAGGCAACGCUCAUAGUGCUCUAGCAUUUCAAACAACGACAUCUUACCCUCAAGAUGCGUAUGUAGCACAGAGUUCAAGCUCUCACUCCUUUGAUUGCUGCUCAAUCCUAGGAAACAACGCCCCUCAAGAUAUGGAGCACACCAUAACUUUCUCAUCUGAUACAUCUGAUGCAGCCAAGACUCCUCACUGGUUACUUUAUUCCGUUGUAAGAAUUGUAUCCAUUUUAUCUCAUGCUCUUCAAUGGAAGAAGUAUCAUAAAUGAAAGAUCUGAAUUCCUCCUUUACGUCGUCAUCAUGCAGAUGGCGUACAAUGUUCUGCUAAAUGUGCCAUAUACAUAGUCUAUGGUUUGAGUCUGGCCAGACCACCCUUAUUGGUCUCUGCAUUGUAAGGUCCCCAUCUGUGAUCACAGAUAUCGGAUGCUUCUGUGCCAUGCAAUCAGAAAAGGUCCGCAACAUCCACUCGUAUGCCUGGCUUGUUUCAUGAGAAAUUAUACCACAGCCAAAUAUAACAGUGCUACGGUGGUGAUUCAACCCGACAAAAGGCACGAAUGGCAGAUUGUAUUUGUUGGUUCUGUAUGUGCUAUCAAAAACAAUGACGUCUCCGAAAGCCUCGUAGUCAAGUCGCGAUUGACUAUCAGCCCAGAACAGUCCCUUCAGAUGGCCAUGCUCGUCUACCAAGUACUUGAAGAAAAAAUACACAUCUCGCUCUCGCCUCGCCAUCAUGUGCAUGAUCACCGUUUUAGCAUCACCGGCACUGAUUGUCUCCUGCUUAUUAGCAUGGCAGAAAUUGUAAAGGUCCCUCUUUAUGCAUCCAACCUUAUCAAAUCCACCGUAUUGAAAGCACAAAAUAUUCAUAAUACGGUAUUUACGGAUCCCGCAUUUUUUCAUGUCCGCAAUGUCCGCUUUUUGCUCAUCGCUAAUUCGUCUGUGCGAAUGCAGCAGACAAGAAAGAUCCCGUGGGGCUAGAGGAUGGCUGUGCUCAUCGAUGAAAUCCUUAACAAACCACCGACCGGUUUCCUCCUGUCUCGUAAUGACCAAUUUAGCAUUACACCCAACACGAGUUAAACUUCGUGGCCUUCUCUUUCUAUCUUCCAUCUUUCUUUUCAUGUGCUUAUCUUCGCGAAACCCUUGACGACUACACACAAUUUUCCUUAAAAUUAUGUAUUUGUUGGAUCCAUCCCACUCAACGUAGCUUUUCCUCACACUAAAACAUUUUUCAAGAGCAUAUUUCUUGUAGAAUUCAUAGCCUUCAGCCUCACUAUCAAACAUCUUGCUGACAACAUUUACAUACUCGAACAUACUCUCAUCACUUGCAUACGCCAUGUCUUCCUGCAUAUGACAUGUGAGGGAAACCAAUCAUCAACAUCUUUCUGUUUAUCAAUGUUGCAGGUGUAAAAUAGCUCAUAGGCAAAGACAAGUGCAUGGAAAAGACUUUGCUGGUUUGACAUGUGAGGGAAACCAAUCAUCAACGUCCAACUAGUUUCUCAUCUUCCUUUAAACUAUAUUUCAUGCCUAUGCAAACCUAAAGUGAUGAUGACUUUAAUAAACUAAAUUAAGUGAACUAUGGAACCAGUAUCUCAUCUUCCUUUAGUAUAUCUCAUCUCAAACGUCAACAUCUUACUUAAACAAACAUGAUGCGAUUAGCUCAAGAGAAACUAUGCCACGAUGAAGCUUUCCAUUCGUUGUUCUAGUCAGUACCCGGAUCUUGUGGGGUUGAGGUUGUACUGCAUGCACGGUGGAGGGGCGCAACGGCCAAGAGAACGAGCAGAACGCCAAGCCGAAUUCAUACCUUAAGGAUGGUACGCGCGAAGAGAUGGGAUCGCCCGCCGCGGUCGCCGCCGAUUCAGCCGGUGCAGAUCCGGCCUUCUUCUUCUUCGGUAACGGCGUGGGGGGCUGGGGUUGGUUGGGUGGAGGACGAGGACGAUGAAUUUAUUCCUCUCGCCGGGCAGGUCGAGGACGGAGAAGGUCAGGAGCGGGGAGCGGCGACGAAUAGAUCGGAGGAGGAUUCUGAACUGGAUCGAGUAGACAUGGAUCUGGUCCUCAGGUGAUCGGUUCAAGAAAAGAUAUUUCCCCCUGGACCAUUAUGCCCUUAUCGCAAUUAACAUAUUAAAUUUAAUCAAUUAAAAUUCCCCGCAAGAUCUGACGGCUAAUAAAAAUCAGACGUGAUCAGACAUGUAAGUACUGCUAAGUACUCCGAGUACUAACCCAAUCACCGUAAAACAGCUCAAUCAAAUAAGUUACAGGCAGUUUCUAUCAAAUGCUAACACUGGUACCAAGAAUAAGUUCUUGAAAAGUAUUACUACUGUAGUAAAAAUAACCAGAAGUUGUGUCCCUCCCUUAGUUCCUUUGCAUGACUCCGGUAAUUAUCAAAACAGAACCAUUUGAAAACUUACAUGCUCACGAAUGCACGUGUCUGGUCUAGUAUGGCAUGCUCCUCUAUGAUGGUAUCAUUUAUUAUGGAUAAAUGACCACAACUUCUUGCAGCAACCUGGACCCGACAUAUGAGAGGCAUUCAUGACAGGUUUGAACAACGUCCAAUACCGUUGGCAUUGUUGUAAAAAAAUCCAUGGAUUUAAAAAAAAUGUUCACGAUUUUGGGAACCUCAGCUUGCCAGCCGGAUUUCUAAAGUAAAAUCCAUCAAUUCCGAACAAAAUUCAUCAUAUGUGAAAAAAAAUUCAUCAAUUUUGAAAAAAGUUCACGUGUUUUUAAAGCUAAGGUGCUCCAACUCUUAGCUCAUUGAUCCCAACUCUGAAGCUUAGGUGCUCCAAAAUCAAGAAUCACUACAAACAAACACACAUAGAUCAUCAAUUUACUGUGACACAAAGUUUCAGAUAUAAAUUUGAUUCAUAUCUCCGGAAACAAAUAACACAAUUCUUUUAGAUUCUCUACAGGCUCGCAGGUUCGUCAUGUCAUCGUUCACCGGUGUAUCCGUCAUCAAAGGUCAAGAGGGGAGCUUUUGCAAGACGUCCACCGUCGACGCCAGCACGAACAGCGGGUACCACCUGCUUAUGGUCAAUGGCUACUCACGUACCAAAGAACAAGUGCCCAUCGGUGAGAGCAUCAACUCCGGUACUUCCGAGACAGGAGGCCAUGUUUGGUACCUCGAGUACUACCCAACGGCCAACGCUCGGCUUGCGUCGAUUUCAUUUUUCUCUAUGUUUCCCUUUUUCCAGGAAGACGAUGACGCGUUUGGUAACUUUGCACAAAUAAUCUGGUGUGCUAGUUAGAUAUUUCGUUUACUUUUUUUUGAAAAGGAGAUAUUUCGUUUACUAAAAUCUUAAUUAAUACAAGUCCAAUUCAAAAAUUUAUAUAUUAAUUAAAGUUAGAGUUGAAUUAGCAUGCGCAGUUUGGCAGCUUGCCGUAACCCAAGGUGAGUCCGAUUAGGAUUUGUGUGUUAGAGAUGGACUUGGAGUAGAAUAGAGAGCAGAUCAUCUGGCAAAUCAUGGUGGAACUGAUCGUAGUACGGCUUGUUGGCUUCGCAGAGGCCAUCCAUGUAUAGCUGAACUUUUGUCGGCUGAUUGUAACUCUACACUUUUGGAAUAAAACUCCCAUUUCACUCGCAAAAAAAAAGAGAUGGACUUGGAGUAGGACGUGUGUUAGAGAUGGUCUGAGUCCGAUUAGGGCUUUCUAUGUUGCUUGUCGGACGAGCUGUACUACGUAGGGUUAGAGAUAGAUAGAUCGUGUACGAGUAGGACCAGGUUCAAAUUAGUUGGUGUCCGUGUAGGACAUGAUUCGGCCAUGUGUUUAUAUACAAUACUCCAUAGCCACACGUAGAAACAAACGUGAGAUUUUUUGAGAGAUAAAACAAAAUUCAAGAACGACCAGCCGGCGGUGCCAGCUCUCUGUUUCUGACGACGCGCAACGUUGGCGCACAGCGAAGAGAGUAGCGGUGUCUCCGCACGGACAACGAUAGGCUCGUCAUGUCAUCGUUCACCGGCGUAUCCAUCGUUGAAGACCAUGAGGGGUGCUCUUGCAACACGUCGGCGGUCGACCCUGGCACGGACAUUGGCUACCAUCUGUUCAUGGUCAAGGGCUACUCGCGCACCAAAGAGUUGUUGUCCAUAGGCGAGAGCAUCAACACUGGUCCUUUCAUAGUAGGAGGUCAUGACUGGUUAAUCGAGUACUACCCUAACGGCGCAUAUCCGAGCUGCGCCAACUUCAUCUCUCUCUAUGUAUCCCUUUUCCACGACGAUGAAAAACUGGAUGCCAGGGUCAGUUUUAGUCUCGUCGACCAGGUUGAGAGGCAGACACCAAUGUACAUUCAUGCAACUAAUAGAGCUUGCAGGUUCGACAAUGAUGUUUCUUGGGGCACCAACAAGUUUUUGACAAGAGAGGCCCUUGAACGAUCGGCACAUCUAAAGGGUGAUUCUUUCACCAUCCGGUGUGACAUAAUGGUACGCAAGGAUCACAAUACUGAAGAUGCCGGUGGCCACGGCACCAAGGUGCUCCUCUCAGACAUAGACCAGCAUUUUAACAUUCUCCUUCAAACCAAGGUGGGUGCUGAUGUGACAUUUGAGGUUAGUGGUGAGAUGUUCACUGCACAUCGUUGUGUGCUUGCAGCCCGGUCCAAAGUCUUCAUGACACAACUCUUUGGUCCCAUGAAGGAGGACAUUACCACUUCCGGUGUCAUACAUGUCAAAGAUAUGAGAGCAAGCGUGUUCAUGGCAUUGCUUAGAUUCAUCUACACGGACUCAUGCCCUGAGAUAGAGAAGGACUACAUGGAGGAGGAAGAAAUGUCACAAGUUCUUGAAGAAGAACAAGAAGAUGGUACAGUAGAGGAUGAUGAAAACUGGCUACAAUGGCUUCAAGACUUGUUUGUGGCGGCAGACAUGUACGAUGUCGAACAACUCAAGCGCAUAUGUGAAAUGCGAUUGUCUGAUAACUUAAUUUUGAGCUCGGUGAUGUCUACCCUUGCUCUAGCCGAGCAGCACCACUGCCAGGGAUUGAAGGAGGCAUGCUUGAAGUUUAUUCAAGUCCAACCCCCCUGGUGCUUGCAAACAGUAACGAUGAGUGAUGGCUGGGAUCACGUAGUUUCAACCUAUCCCUCGGUUAUAAAGGAGAUUUUUUUCAAGCUUGCUUCGAACCAACGGAAGUGACACUCUUCUAUAUGGUACCGAUGUUCCUUAGUUAUACCUGAAGUGACCCUCUUAUAUACUGAUAAGGGAUCUUCUAGAGAUGUCGUAGUAUGUGUGUUUUGCUUUCAGUUUUCUCGUCAUGUAAAAUUAGCCUAUAUGCCGAAUCAAAAAAAUCGAACACAUGGACAAAUUGUCUCCUCAUGGAAUAUAUGGUAGGCGACAAAUUGAUCCGUAUUGCAGCAAUCUGUAAGAUUCACAGCUAGUCUUUUUAUCCUUGUAUAGUACUCUGUGUGUCGUCUCUUAUUAUUGCUUUGUGCCUUCCGUGUCAUGUAACCCAUUUAGUGAAGAAGAAUGUAUGCUAAAUCAGGAAAAUCCGUUUCUUCAUGGAAUGUAUAGUCUGCAAAUUAAGGUGUCCUCAGUGGUGGCAGCAAAAGUAGGCAAGUUUUGGUGGGAGUUUUUUUUAUUGAAUCCACAAAGGUGCGACUUACAUUCUAGUAGAAAAUAAAAUACAAAUUCAUGAAAUUUUGACUCUUAAUUGGCAUAUAAUAGUUUAAUUACCAUAAGUGUAACACCCACCGUGGCAAACAAACAAGGACGUGAGAAUUUUUUGUGCGAAUAGGCGAAAGCGUCUUACCCUCGGUGAAAACAAGACGAAUAGUUGCAGCUUUUACAACUGGACUAAAAGUAUCCUUAUAGUCGAUGCCAUACCGUUGUUUAAAACCUUUUGCUACAAGUCUUGCUUUGUAACGAUCAAUGGUUCCAUCGAAUUUUUCUCUUAAUCCUAAACACCCACUUGCAGUCAUUGAGGUUUUUAUCUUGCUGUGGAGGAAUCAUGUGCCAUGUGUUGUUUCUUUUUAGGGCCAUGUACUCUUCUUUCAUUGCUUUCUUCCAAUUAUCAUCACUAAGGGCUUCUUCAAGGGAAUAUGGCUCGCCUAGUUCACCUGUGGAACAUACCAACCCAAAUGUUGUCAUAUGUUUGUAAUUUACGGGUGGUAUUACCCCUUGCUAAAGACGGGUGCGGCGUGUCGUAGUUGGCUCCGGCACAGAAGAUCCCGUGGGAGCUACAGCAGCCGAUCCCAAGGUUGAUGCUGGUCACCAGCAGCAGCUGCAGCCGCUUCAGAAACAGAGGCUGGAUCCUCUGUGCACCGGGACGACGUAGCGACGUGAGACGGAGCCACACGCACCGCAGAAGAUCCCGCCUGGUGAGAUUCAUCACACGGCAAUGAUUGAGCCGGUUCCUCGCGCGUGGCAGGCGUGGGGCCCGUGCCAGGCGGCCGUCUCAGAUCCCGCCGCUUGUAGCAGACAAGCUGGACGGGAAAACGACCACCCGUGGGCCCUGGUGAGUGCGGGUCGUCGCCACCAGCUGCGUGCUGCCGCGUGGCGCAGGCGGGGCCGCCUGCUGACGCUCGGUCGGGUGCGGGAGAGGCAGCGUUGGGUGCGGAAUCCGGAGCGGAUCGCCUGGACCGAUCUGCAGGCGGCGAUCCCGGGGCGGAUCCUGCUGGCAGGUCUGCCACGCCUGCGGGCAUCGAUCCCGAGAGGGAUUUGCUCCCCAAAACCUGGCACAUAAAAUAUGGCCCUAUUGGGCAAUUUUCUUCGCUGUUUUCAACUCCGUUUUCUUAAGCGUGGCUCCUUGUAUCAUCACACAACUCAGGCAAAGUGGUGAGAGGGUUAGUCACGAAGCAUAGGCAGCCGAAGACACGAAGGUGGUCAUAUGUGGGUGCAACACCAUAGAGAAGAAAAUGCGGUGUGUGUGGCGCAAUGACACGAGAGGGACGUCGGUUGAGGAGGUAGGUGGCUGUGUGUAGGGCUUUUUAGGGCCAUGUACUCUUCUUUCAUUGCUUUCUUCCAAUUAUCAUCACUAAGGGCUUCUUCAAGGGAAUAUGGCUCGCCUAGUUCACCUGUGGAACAUACCAACCCAAAUGUUGUCAUAUGUUUGUAAUUUACGGGUGGUAUUACCCCUUGCUAAAGACGGGUGCGGCGUGUCGUAGUUGGCUCCGGCACAGAAGAUCCCGUGGGAGCUACAGCAGCCGAUCCCAAGGUUGAUGCUGGUCACCAGCAGCAGCUGCAGCCGCUUCAGAAACAGAGGCUGGAUCCUCUGUGCACCGGGACGACGUAGCGACGUGAGACGGAGCCACACGCACCGCAGAAGAUCCCGCCUGGUGAGAUUCAUCACACGGCAAUGAUUGAGCCGGUUCCUCGCGCGUGGCAGGCGUGGGGCCCGUGCCAGGCGGCCGUCUCAGAUCCCGCCGCUUGUAGCAGACAAGCUGGACGGGAAAACGACCACCCGUGGGCCCUGGUGAGUGCGGGUCGUCGCCACCAGCUGCGUGCUGCCGCGUGGCGCAGGCGGGGCCGCCUGCUGACGCUCGGUCGGGUGCGGGAGAGGCAGCGUUGGGUGCGGAAUCCGGAGUGGAUCGCCUGGACCGAUCUGCAGGCGGCGAUCCCGGGGCGGAUCCUGCUGGCAGGUCUGCCACGCCUGCGGGCAUCGAUCCCGAGAGGGAUUUGCUCCCCAAAACCUGGCACAUAAAAUAUGGCCCUGUUGGGCAAUUUUCUUCGCUGUUUUCAACUCCGUUUUCUUAAGCGUGGCUCCUUGUAUCAUCACACAACUCAGGCAAAGUGGUGAGAGGGUUAGUCACGAAGCAUAGGCAGCCGAAGACACGAAGGUGGUCAUAUGUGGGUGCAACACCAUAGAGAAGAAAAUGCGGUGUGUGUGGCGCAAUGACACGAGAGGGACGUCGGUUGAGGAGGUAGGUGGCUGUGUGUAGGGCUUCAACCCAAAAUGGUGGUGUGAGGUUGGCUUGAAGAAGGAGGGUGCGCAAGACAUCAUUUGUGGUGCGAAUCAUGCGUUCCGCUUUGCCAUUUUGGGGGGAAGUAUGGGGGCAGGAGAAGCGAUAAGCAACGCCGUUGGAGGAGAAGAAGGCGCGAAGAGAUGAGUUGAUAAAUUCACCACCAUUGUCACAAUGUAUGCUUUUGAUGAUUACAUUGAAUUGGGUGUAAAUAAACGUAAAAAAGUGUUGCAGGACCNNNNNNNNNNNNNNNNNNNNNNNNNNNNNNNNNNNNNNNNNNNNNNNNNNNNNNNNNNNNNNNNNNNNNNNNNNNNNNNNNNNNNNNNNNNNNNNNNNNNNNNNNNNNNNNNNNNNNNNNNNNNNNNNNNNNNNNNNNNNNNNNNNNNNNNNNNNNNNNNNNNNNNNNGCACCACAAGAUAGUAUUAGAAACCAGAGAAACUAACAACAAGUGAUGUCCAUAAAUCAUAGUGUAUUAAAUCAAAAGGGGCAUAAGUUUUGCUAAAAGAAGAGGCAAAGGGUAAACGAGGCUGCCGACCAAGUUGGCAAGCACUACAUGGCGUGUGGGGAGCCUUAUUACAAUCUAAUUGUUUAGACAGGGAAGAAAAUAUGUGGACGCCGGGAUGCCAAAGGCGACGAUGCCACAAGUCCGAGGGGGUGGCUGCAAGGAGAGCGGACGCCGGCGCCGGUUUAUUGCCAACGAUGGGGUAGAGAUCGUCGUGGCUAACGGAGAUCGUGAGAACUCGUCGAGUGCGAAGAUCCUUCACAAGAAAACCACACGGGUAAAAUUCAAUAGAGCAAGAAUUAUCUUUAGUGAAUUUACGAACAGAGAUGAGGCUAGUGACUACAUUGGGGGAGACAAGAAUGUUGGUGAGGCGAAAAUUAUGAGGGGAGAGGGUGGUAGAGCCCGUGGCAGUGACAGGAAGAUGAUGCCCAUUACCGAUAACAAUGCUAGAAGGUAAAUGCGAAAAUGAAGAACUCAACGAGGUCAGGUUACCUUGGGUGCCCGUCACGUGCGAGGAAGCGCCACUAUCGAGAAACCACUCGGGAGCCGGGGGCGUGGCGUAGCCGCCGUUGCUGAAGGCGGAGUUGAGCAUGGCGAGGUGGUCCCACGAGGGCUGUGGGGGCUGAUAGUAGGGAGUGGACGGCACCGGCGAGGGUGUCUAUGCAGGAUACGCCUGGGCGUGUGCGCCGGGUCGGGGCCCAAGAACACCGGCGGUGUUCGGCGGAAUCCAGCCAGGGCGGGUCGUCGGGAGAGCCAUCCCGUACGGGGCAAAGUACCCCGUGAAGGGUGAGAACGAAGGCGCCUGCUGACCGCGCCCGGAGUGAUCGCCGCGCCCACGACCACGACCGCGCCCAUGCCCGUGGCCGCGGUCACCACGCCCGCGACUGGAGGAGUGGGGCGGCGGAUGGGGAGCGUCGGAGGCGCGAUCAUAGGAGCGGGCAGCCGCGCGAUCACCCUGGCCGCGACCACCAGAGGAACCGGCCAAGGAACCGCCGCCCGCCAUGGCGAACGCGGAGGCGCCUUCCUCCGCCACGCGUUGUGCCUGCGACUCCUCCGCAAGGACAACACGGGAGAGGACGGUGUCAAAGGGGAGGCCCUGAUCACCAAGGACGACGUGGAUGGUGUCGAGCCGCUUGUCGAGGCCGUGAAGAAACUGCGUGGUGAGAUCCACCUCGGUAACGGCAUGGUCGAUGUCAGUGAGUGCGUCGGUGAGGAGUUUGAGACGGCUGGCGUACUCCGGCACCGAGAGGUCACCCUGCUUGAGGUUGCGGUAUUGGCGGUUGAGGAUCAUGAAGCGGACGUCGCGAUUGGCGAGGAAGAAAUCUUUGAUCUUGUGCCAGAGGGCGUAGGUGGUGGUGGCGCCAACAACGUGGUCAUAAUGGUGUCCGAGAGAGUGGCAUAGAUCCACAGAACGACAUGGGCGUCGAGCUCAAGGUAUUGGGACGGAGCAUUGGGAGGUGGAGGGUGGUCGAGGAGGUAGGAGACACCUUAGCGUACCAGGACCAUCAGGAAGAAAGUCUUCCACUUAUGAUAAUUGUGAUCGGCAGGGUUGAGGAGGAACUUGAUGUGGUUCGUGAUGUGAUCACGAAAAAUGGGGUGGGGAACGGCGGUGGCCGGCGAGGGGGUAAGGGAGGGGCCGUCGGUGGUGAAGAGAGGGGAAAAUUGAGAGGGUGCCGUGGCGGGGAAGGAGCCGCUGAAUAGGGUGGGGGACGUGCCAAAGACGAAGGGAGGGGUGGUCGGGGCGGUGGCCGGGGAGGUGCCGGCGGCAGGCGCCGAGGAGGAGGAGAGGGUGCCCGGCGACGUGGCCGAGCUCGUGGCGGCGGCAGAGGAGGAGGUGGUGUCGUUCGCGGCCAUGGCGAGGGUCCUGGCGACUGAUUCCAAGUUGGAAAGUGAUUUCCUUAAUUGAUUCUGUUUACAUCUCAAAGUAUACAUAGGGAGAGAAAGUCCCGAGAGAUAUGGCACGCAGGCCCUCAGAUCCUACAAUCUAGGAUCGUUACAACGUGCCAGUUAAUGUUACAAAUGGUACAUAAAUAUACAACUUAACACAGCACCCCAUACGUGAUGCAUGGUGUUCCAUGGCCUUGCUGCUGGCAGAUGUCGAGGAUGUUGGUGGCGUCGUACAUAGUGCGCUUGAGCUCGGUCACCCAGCCCUGCACGCUGGUGUCAGCGAUGCGUCUCCUCUCGGCGUCGGCCAGGAACUUCUUGAGAUCCCCAAGCUUGACGCCCAUCUUGUCGAUCUGGCCGGUGACGCCGAGAAGCAUCCCCACCUCGUCCUCCACCACCUGCUUGAGCAUGUCAGCGACAUAGGACGCGAAGGCAUCCAGCACAAUGGCCAUGGUUUCUGUUUCUUGUUCUCAGGCUCAGGCCGAAGGUUGGUUAAUCAACAGUGUGUCUCUGUGUGUGUCUGUUGCCUUGGUUAGUAGGUGGUACUUAGCUUAGGCUCCUUGCUGGCAAGCCUUUGUUCCUUCCUUGAGUGACGGCAAAGCAGUGGCGGCCGUGGCAAGAAAGCAAUUGGUCUCCUUAUUCAUCCAUGCUCGCGGUCGCGGACAGAAUCCUUGCAGUGGACAUGCAUUUCCUUGCUGGCCGCCUGAGCGCUCGGCUUGGGCUAGCUAAUAGGGAAAGGGAAAGUAGUGGCUGAAUCCCACCUCGAUGCACCCACGCAAGAAAACAUAUCAAAGUAUUUUGAAAAAAUUUAAAACUUUGUGGAAACGAUCAUCAACAAAUAUUAGAGAUGCUUGCCAAGUUUGGUGGUCAAAUGACAUCCAAGAAGAACUGUACAAAAAAAAUUAUAAAAAUUUUGGUCAAAAAGUGCACAUACAAUUUGACUAAUUUUGAGUAAUAUUUUUUGUAUAGAGCUCCGCGGAUGUCAUUUGACCACCAAACUUUGCAAGCCUCUCUAACUUUUGUUGAUGAUCACUUUCACAGAGUUUCAAAAAAUUUCAAAAUAUGUUGGUAUGUUUUUUUUUUGCAUGGGUGCGCUGAGGGUGGUUGUAGAAAAACCACUCUCAAUAGGGAAAAGAGGGACGAGAUCGCCGCGGCCGCAGUCUUCCACCGCUCUCGGCUUGCACUUGAUUUCGCUUUUUUAUUUCAGGGGUGUGUAUAUUAAUUCUUUGCCAAGUCAGCUCAUUACAAUUCGGUCUAGCUGUCAACAAGUGAUUGAAUGGGCCAAAUCCUUUGAUCAGUGUUUUCUGCAAAAAGAUUACUAGAAACACGGUGAAUUUUGCAACAAAUCAGCGACUAGGUGGAUUACUGCAAACCUAGCCGCAAUGUGAUAGUUUUGUGCAAUUAACUCUGAAUGAAAUCGUAGAAUCGAAAACAAUAGUUCCUUUUCCCGGGCACGCUGAAUCUUUGCCUACCUGAUCCGAUAGUCAUGCUCUUGAGAGAGAGAAUUUGCAAAUUAGUGCAAGUCAGUGAAAGAUCUAGCUUGCAAUAUCGGAUAUCAAAAAUAAAUCGGAAAUCUAUAUUUUGUAUGCAAUACUUGAAGGGCUAGUUGAAAGGGUUCCAUAGCAGGUAAAUACCACACGACGUAUUCCUCGUCCCUCAUCAAGUUUUCAACUCGUUUCCAUUUAUCCAGCGAAUGCAUUUCAUACACCUUCAAUCAUUUCCAGCAUUGCAAAUGAUUCAUGGGGACUUCCUGCGCAACAACCCGGGAUAGUAAAACACCAUCACACUGGCUUCCUUCCUGCGGCCUCGCUUGCUAUUACAGCUCUCAGACGCUUUCCUCGGCGACCAGGUACCACACCCCUAGUACGUAGUCUCCCUGCUGUCAUGCGCUUUCAGAAGAUAUACCUGCGUUGUUCAGAGGAUUCAUUACAUGCGUGGCCACACUGACGGAUUCCACGCGAGCUGCGGGUUAACGUAACUACUUUGCGCAUAAUGGGUGCAUCGCCGAUUUAUGCACGAUGCAAAAUCGGACGAUGUCCUGAAGUUUGCUUCCUCACAGCAACGGUUUGAUUAACAACAUCGUGCAGAUGACGUCAUGUCUAUAGCAACAUUCCUGGGUUAACAAAUGCAGACCACUGCGUUUCUUUUGCUUCCAGAAAGUAAGCGAUCAAAUGCAUAACUUACAAGGAAUACAAAGAGUUCCAAGUAAUGACUGCCUCCGUCCCUGCUAAUUUCUUACAUGACUUGUAAAUCAGAAUUCGAAUAUGUAACCAAAAACAAGAACUUCAGAAGUAUUGGUCUUAGAAAACUACCACAUUUAACGUUUCUCUAAAAGCUACAACUUUUGUUCUAAAAUUUUGCUAAAACUAUUCACUCGGAAGCAUAUUAAUUGUCGCUCAUCCUCUAUAACACUAAACUCCUUAGUUUUGAAGGCCUCACAAUCAAUUGAGGUCUUCAAUUUGAAAUUGGAUCAUUCAAUUUUGAUCGGGUCAACAAUUUCACAAGGAGCUCGCUCAUUCUCAAUUUUUUAAUACACUAUGCUCCCUAAUUUUAGAGCUCUCCCAUUCCAUUGAGGUGUACAAUUUUAAGCCUUGAUUUUGACUCUGUCAAUCCUUGGUUGUUGCAAUAAAAUCUUUAACUUCAUUAAGCUCUCUAAUUUUGAAGCCCUCUCAUUCAACUUAGGUCUUCAAUUUGGAUUGGAUACACGAUUGAUUGGGUCGUUGAUCUGGGCUUCAUGGUGGGAUCUCUUGGUUAAUGGGUCCCUUGUUUAGUGCCCGGAUUGAUGUGGGCCUUCCUUAACAGAAGGAAGUGCCACCUACGAUACAUGUGGCCAACGAUGUAAGUAACUUUCUCAUGUAUUUGUAUUAAUUAAAAGACGCCCUUCAAUCGCACGGCCAAAAAGAUCCACCCAAACACCAUAAUAAAAUAAGAAAAAUGAUACACUCAUGGACAAUUCACUAUGGAUUGGUCGUACUAAUUAAAUACUCUCCCACCAAUCACUUCCUUGAUUUGACCGUAAGGCCACGCUUCCCCUAAUCUCCAACCAUAAAUUGACACAUCCAUCUGUAACCAUGAUUCCACAAAGUUUGUCGGUACGUGUAACAUCUCUGAUAAAAAGAACACACACUUCAUUGUUUCCCCCACACGCCAAACCAACUAGCACGUAAAUAAUGUUCACAACUUAGAAAAAAUUACCACGUAAAAAUAAAACAUGUCCAACCCCAAGAACAUAAGCGGUGCAGCAAAGCGCACUGCCCUUCUAGUUUAGUACUAAAUCUGAGACAAUUAAUAUGGAUUGCAGGGAGUACAACUUUUAGGUAGUUGCCCUUUUAGGAUUUUUAUAACAUGGAUUGUGACCAAGGUUAUGGAUUCCGAAUGGACGAAUUUUCUCAUGGCUGGGCGAGAUUCUCGGUUACCAUGGUUACCGAGAAAUACCGAACAUAUUUCGGACGAAAUUUAUAACUAAAUUUUGAAUUCAAAUUCUUUUGAAGUAGAUAUAGAAUUGUGUACGUGCUAAGCGUACGUAUUCUAAAAAAUAAACCAAAAAAUGUGCAAAAGAGGGGACUCAAUCUGCCGUCCUCUCGAGGAGAGAAGUAGACGGCUACCACCACGCAACAGCUACGUUUAGUGAUACUCUUGAGAUGCUAUAGUAUUGUAGUAUACUUUGGACGUAAAAAAAUCAAUUUUUGUUUCGUAUAUGUUUCAUUCUUUUCUUAUAGCAAAACCUAUUACUCUUCCUUUUUCAUACUAUCUUGGCAGUUCUUUGCUUUUUUUCAUACUAUCUUGGCAAUUUUAAGAAUUUUAUAGUUCAGAGGAUGGCACUUUUAUUUUUGAGAGGAUGGCAUCUUUAUUUUUAAUGGCAUGGCAGUUUUAUUAGUAAGAACAUGCCAUUUUUAUUUAUAAUAGGAUGAAAAUUUUAUUAUUGAGAGGAUGCCAUUUUUAUUUUUAGUGGCAUGAUAGUUUUAUUAUUUUAGAGGAUGGCAUUUUUAUUUUUUUGUACUGCCACUUUUUUUUUGUACACAAGAUUUUUGGGUGAUAACUUUAAAUGUGCCAACUUUGUGGGUGUAAAUAAAUCGGCUCAUUUAAAAAUUAAAAUUCUUACAAUUGUUUUUUUUUCAAAAUCAGAUUUUUGGGCCAGCACCUUUUUUUCCUACGUGUUGCACAAUUGGGCCAGCUGGACCUCGUUCGAUACAUCACCCAGCCCCAGUGAAUGGAAAUGUUUGCUGGUCCGGAAUUACUCGUCGUAGAAAUGGAUAUACCUAGACAUAUUUUUAGUUCUAGAUAAUCCAUUUCUAAGCAUUCAUUUUCCAUGAGUUGCACGAGAAGUGUAAAAGAAAACUGGGCCUUAGUCUGAAGCCCAGCCCAGCAGGGCAGUUGAUGAGCAACACUGGAGCCCAUCGAUCUACUCCUCAUCCCAUCUCGUCUCUGAUAUUUUUUUUUAUAAAAAAAACUCAUUUCUCUGCAGCGGUGGAGGUGUCCAGCACGGCAGCGAAGCAGCCGCGGCGGCGAGGGCUCUCAGGAAGCUAGGCGCGGCAGCCGGCGAGGGCCAGCCUCUAGCAGCAAAGCGGCGACAAAGCGCACCGACACUCCGAUCCUCUCUGUUCUCCCAGGCAAGGCAUAUGUAAUUUCUUUCCCCCGAUUUCACCUCACUGUCUGUCCCUGUAGAUCGAGAGGCACUAAGAGGUUAUAGCAUCUGAACCUCUGAAAUCCUCAAUGUAUAUGCAACUAGUAGUAGUAUACAACAAGUCAAUAAAUAUAUAGAAUGUAUGUGUACUUUUGGUGCUUAUAACAAUCUCUAUUGUCACUUGUACCCAGGCCGGCGAGUGUCACUUGCUGCAGGAACAAGUUUUAUCAGACUUAAUUGGAACAAGAGGGGUGCUCCGCCAAAAGCAAAGGAAAGCAUGUACAGCUGCACAUCCUGGCUGCAUUAAUUUGAAUAUUUCCUACGUACAAUGUUUGCUAGUUGUGUCUUAACAUGAAAUGGACUAACUACAUACAUCAUGUAAUGGACUAACUACUAAUCAUAAAAAUCAGAUUCAAUGAAAUUUUGUUGAAAUUUUUAACCCUGAUAUCGUCUGCCAAAAUUAAGAUAGGGUUGCAGGAUAGUUUUGACACCUUCUUCGCAUUCCAGUCUCUCCCAGCAUCGAGCAUCAUCAAACCGUACCUCCUUCAGCUUUGGAGGCAAACUGUCCGACCAGAAAGGAAGCCUCUUCAAUGCCAGACUACCUUCAAGCUCAAGUCGCUCUAGGGAUGGGAAUUUCAUACCGUUGUCCCCAAUAGUUUCCAACGAUUUGGUAUAAAUAAGAACGAGAAGCUUGAGGCGAGGAAAUGUUUUUGUCUUGUCCUGUCCAUUGCACAAUUUGUCACCGUGGCACCUCAUAAAUGCUUGCACCAUACCAUCACAGGAAAUUAUAUGAAGUUGUUCAAGGCGAGGCAAAUACAUAACCCAAGAGAGGUGCAAUAGCUGUUGGCACAAAAACAAUUCCAAAUAAGUGAGCCUUUGGAAUAUAAAUGCCGGAGUUGCUCCCAUCCACUUUAUCUCUCUCAAGGAUCUCAUAAAAGUUAAGCUGAGUUUGUUGAGAGCACCAAAAUGGUUGUUUGGUUGUUCCGUGUCAUGUUGUACUACUGUUAUUUCUCGAGUGUCAAAUUCUUCAUUAAUAUCCAAUUCAUUGAUAUCCACUUCAUACAAGGUCCUUCGUGCAAAGUCCAUUGAUAAAAUACGAGUGAGUGCACAUACGUCAUUCAGAGCCAAAUAUCUAACAGGGAGGCUAUCCGCUUCUCCUAGUGACUCAAACUGAGCUAAAUCUCGGACCAAAAUACCAAGCGCUUUCAACUGAGAUAGGGUGCCCAACUCUCGGUAUAGGAAUUGGGUACAUUUUCUUAAGAAACUUCUCAAGUCUAUUACCUGCAAUGCUUUAAGGCUAGACAUGACCCCAGCUGGUAUUCUCACGGAACCAAUACCAGACUUUAGGUACAAGAACUUGAGGUUGAUGAGGUUUCCAAAGGAGGGAGGCACUUCAGUUUCCCCAAAUUGAUUUUCCGACAAAUCAAGGUAUUCCAGCUUUACCAAGGAACAUAAUUCUUCCGGUAUCCCCUUGAGGUUGUUUCCGCUCAAAUCCAGAUAUGUCAGUGAACUGGAAUUCUUAAUUUCUUCAACAAUUAAGCUUUCAUCAAAUUCGUUGUUCCGAAGGCACAAGAUCCUCAAUUUUAAUGGAUCAAGAUUAAACCUGAUAGGAAUUCUGUUGAACAUCAAGGAGAUGCACUCAGCUUUGCUCGAAAGGAUAAUAACUUUUUUGUCUCUGUCACCUGGUGCCGCCACAAUCCAUUUGUCAUUAUUCUCACCACAGUCACAAGAAAUCCAUAAAGCCAUAUCACGAAUCACAUCAUGCACUUUAACAUAACCAUGUGAAUUUUCGAAGGAAGAUCCUGGGCGAACAUCGCUGCCAUCUAGCAAACAUGCAGCUAUAAGGUCAGCUAUCAAACUAUAUGAUUUUCUGAAGGAAGAUUAUAUGUCAUGCUCAUUGACUAGACCUAAGCCCAUCCAGCAUUGAGCAAGGUUAACUUUGCGAAUGUUCUCAUCCUCUGGCCACAGUGCACAAGUCAAAAAACAAUCUCUUAAGGUCUUGUUUCUCAAAUUGUCAUAACUAAACUUCAGCCGCCUGAAAACAUUAGUUUCCAUUCCCAGUUCUAUUGGGUCUUUGUCAUCAGCGCAGCAUGACUGCCGCAUAUAUUGGAUGGCAGUUUCCCAUUGAUACUCAUCUUUCCGAUACAUUGCAUUUCCAAUAGUUAUCAAAGCUAAUGGCAAGCCUUUCAGUCCCUUCAUAAGUUCUCUAGCAAGAGCUUCAAUAUGGGGACUAGAAAGAGUUUCGGCACCAAUAUUUUCUUCAAAUAGCUGCCAUGCCUCAUGCUCCUGCAGAUAUGUGACUUUUAACUCUUUCUUCACCUUCAUUUGGCCACAAACUUUUCUUAAUCUUGUUGUUAGCACCACUUUUCUAUUGAGUUUGUUUACUUUUCCAAGGGGGUAUGGUAUCCCAACUUCUUCUAGAUCAAUUUCGUUCCAGAGGUCAUCCAAUAGUACAAGAAAGCUUUUCGUUUUCAUGUACUCAUGUAUAGUAAGACCAUUAGGACCAAUACUUUUCAGCCUGAGCCUUUCUAUGAUUUGUGACUGGACCUUUUCCACUUGGCACCCUCUGGAGGCAGUUACAAAGACAACAAAAUCAAAGUCCAUGCCCUCUCCAAAUGAGUUAUUGAUGUUUUUGAGAAGAUGUGUUUUCCCGACUCCACCUGGACCCCAAAUUCCAAUCAUUCCCACUUUGGGAUCAUCCUUAAUGUACUGGAGAGCAUCUUGAAGGUUACGGUUCUUAGCUGACAUAGAUGGACCAGGCAUCUCUUGGACAUGAGGUGGCAUUGACUCAACUGCAACAGUACUAGGACAAAUACUAAGACAUUCUCGAACCUCACGAAGCUUCUCAGAUGCCUCCAUGGCAACAUCCUUCUUCAACUUAUAGUCCACAGAGAUUACACGCACAACAUCAAUGAUUUUGGCCACUUUUUCCAGCCAUCUGUCGGCCUCAUUUGUUGAUUUCUUGCCUUCCCGCUCAGCAUUCUUAAUCUUCUGACAUACAUCCUUUUUUUCGCGAUCAAGUCUUCGGUGGAAUCCUCGAGACUUCCCAUAAUUCUUUCCGCCUUCAGGUUUAAAAAUAAUAUGCAUAUAUUAGCACUCAGUAAUGGCAUUAAUACUAUUUAGAAAUUUUAGUAUCGAAGCAAGCACUUACCAUACAUAAUGGGUUAUCCUUUCGAAGGUUUGAUCUCUUUACUGCAUCAAUGACAUCUUCCCACUGCCUUUCAUUUCUGCUUCUUCGCAUCAUCUUCCCGAAAUGUAUCAGCUCUGAUGGUCGGCCAAUUAGUUCUCUCACGAGAUCCUUAGCAAGUACCCCGACGAGGGGAUCAGUAUAAAGAUUCUCCUCACCAAAACUUUGUUCAAAUAGCUGGUGUGCCUCCUCCUCCUCCAAACCAAGCACUUGUAUAUAUUUAUCCACACUCAUCAUAUCACAUAUGGAUUGUGAUCGUGAAACGAUUAGCACCUUCCUCUUCUUUUGGUCCACAACUCUAAGAGGGUGUGGAAUGCCAACUGCUGAAAGGUCUAUCUCCUCACAAAGGUCAUCCACCAACACCAGAAAACUUCUUUUCUUGAGAAGUUCAUAUAUUUGAGCUGUCACAUUAACAUUCUGGUUUAUACCGAACCUGUUUAUGAUUUGAGAUUGAACUUUUUGCACUGUGCAUUCACUCAAGCCCUUAAUAAGGAUAACAAUAUCAAAGGGGCAAUAUUCAAGAAAUGAAUUGUUUAUCUUUGUGAGAAGAUGUGUUUUCCCUACUCCACGUGGACCCCAUAUUCCAAUCAUUCCCACCGUGAGGUCAUCCUUAAUGCACAUGAGAGCAUUCUUGAGAGUACGCUCUCUGCUUGGCGGAAGUUGAGCAGAGUGGGUGGACAAAUCUACGACAGGAGGUGGAGGUGGUACGCGUGUGACAUUAUCUGGUACCGGUACGCUACUGUUAUAUUGUCGCACAACAUCCACCUUCUCAGCCGCUUUCUUGCUGGUUUUAUAGUUUCCCCAGCAAUUCAGGGAGCACCCAAAGCUUCUGCACCUCUAAUCAAAAGACUCGCGGUUUGCCGCUUCUUCAGAUAUGGCUUGCUCCGCCCUUUGCACCCACUCCUCUGCUUCAUCUGUCGGUAUCAGGCCAUUCAUUUCGCCAUCUUCAAUCCUCUAUUUGACGCGAAGCAAGUUGCCACUCAAAGUCUCAGUUUCAGUCCUGUGAUUUGUCACGUUUGUGCGAGCGGUGAAGCAAUACGUGGCAUUUUUGGAGAAGAGCGUAUAGAAUGGACUUAUGACCGUGUUGACAGUAUUUCCGAGCAAGGGACCAAGCGCCGGUGCCUCAAUUGGCAUUUUUGGCACUUGUCCGAAGAAUCAGUACUGCAAGGCAGACAAUUGUUGUGUCUCAAUGAUGUAUAUGGCAAGUAAAAACACCAAUCAAUUAAGUUUAUGAAAAGCAUAGACUGCAUCUGCAUGCAAUGGCAGAUGAAGCGCAAGCUUUGAGAUGUUGAAUACUCAUAAAUCUUGUGUGAUUAUGUUUGAACUUGUGCAAGUUUACACUGUUAUACUACUUGUAACCCAAUAUGUCUUGCAUGAUUGUACAGGCUAACAGAUCCCUAUGAAGGACUUUUCUAUAUGGAAGGUGUAUUAUAUACUCCCUCCGUCUAGAAUUACUUCUCGGAGAAAUGGAUACAUCCAUUUUCCGGCAAGCAAUUCCGGACGGAGGGAGUAUAUGACUGCAUUAGAAAGGAGUUGCGGAAAUAUGUUCGAUUGUGGAGAUAACACUUGUUGUAAUAACAAAUAAACUCGCAACAAAGUGCUUACUGUGUCUCUUAUAAUAAUUGCAGGUAAACAAAACAAUCUUGGUAUAUAUGUUCCUCCAGGAGAACUAAUCUUGGUAUGUAUGUUCCUCGAGGAGACCUAACCGCACAAAUGAAAACAUGGCCACGAGAAGAACUUGUUUGAGUUUUGUUUCUGCAUUCAAAUAGGACACCGAUGUUAGACGAUGAUGGGAAAUCUUGUGUGAUUCUCUUUGAACUUGUGCGAGUUUAUAGUGUUAUACUAUUUGCAAGAACACUGGAUGGGACCAAAUCUAUCUUCUGUAAUUGUACAUGCUAACAGAUCCCUGUGAAGAACUUUUCUAGCAACUGAUUGUAGUAUUCGGGCCAUUCUGUUUAAAGAACUUCUCUAGGAACUCACAAACAUAUAUUUUUUACUUUUUGCGGAAGAACUGACAAACAUAUCAAAAUCUUCUUCUAACAGGAGUUAAUAUAACCAGUGGAGCCUAAAAACUUGAAAUAACUGUUCAUAUCAACAAAAUAAUUAAGGAGUUAACAAGGGAGCAUUACUGAAUUACUUGGUAACAAUAUUUUUUUUCAAUAGUAGCCAGGUGUGUCCUUAGUUUGGUGUUGGUGUGCCCCUCUGAAUAAUUGCUUUUUCAACAGUAAUGGACAAGUUUUUAUCAGUUUUCUGGCAGAAGCAUAUUGAGUAUCUAGAGACUAAAAAAUUCAUCAAGAGGAGAAUUAUCUGCUAGCGUAAGACAAAGUAGAAUAUAUAUCACGGGUGCGGCUAAUCUGCACCCGGGCUCAUCUGCACCCACGCUUAGUAAAAAAUUCAAAAAAAAUACUAGAAAAAUUCAAAAAAUUCCAAACUUUUUUGUGGUGGUAGAUAAUUUGACGCGUGAGGUGCGCCCCAAAAAUCAGCUCAUUUGAGCAUCUGAGCAGCUCUCGACAAAAAAGACAAAAUCAGGGUCUGUAAAAAUGUAUACUGUUCACGCACUGUUUUGACCCGAUUUGUCUUUUUUGCCGAGAGCUGCUCAGAUGUCCAAAUGAGUUGAAUUUUGGGGCGCACCUCACGCGUCAAAUUAUCUACCACCACAAAAAAGUUUGGAAUUUUUUGAAUUUUUCUAGUAUUUUUUUUGAAUUUUUUUCUGAGAGGGAGCAGAUGAGCCCGGGCACCGUUUUGAGUUUUCCAUAUAUCACGCUCUAUAUGGAUGACGUACUAUAACUUCAGCUAUAGCGGAUUGGAGUUCUGAAAAUAUGCCCGCUUGUUAAGAAGUUUGAACAGAUAAAAGAUAAAGCUAUAACAGAUAAAGUUGCAAGAAAGUGCUUACUGUGUCUCUUCUUUUAUCAGGGAAGAGCCCUUCUCCGGAACUUGUUUCAGAAGAAGUAUAAGGUUUUGUCACAAGGGAAACAAAACUAACUCCACGGGAAUUGAUCACAGAAAGAGAAGAGGACACAAAUGAAAACAGGACCAUGAGAAAUUCUUUUUUGAGUUUCGUUUCUGUAUUCAAAUAGAACAAGGAAGACAAGGGUAAUUCACGUUCAAUCAGAAAUGAAGUUCUGAAAGCAAAGAGUACCGAAAAUCAGCAGAGCAGAGCACCUCAACUCAGUUUUUGUGGGAUGCAGAAGAAGCAGAAGAGGAGGGAAAUGAUUGUGGGAGCUGUGGAAGGGAUCCCUUGGAAGUGAGAGAAAGAAUAGUCAACAACCAAGGUGCAGGAAACAAAGAUAGACUAGGUCAAAAUUAAGAUGCUCAAUUAUUGGCCAUUAGUUUAUAUCAGCUGGGUCUAAAAUACAUGGUGGAAGGUAAUAGCCGAAUCUUUCAAGCUUAAGAAGUGCACGUUGGCACCAGUUGGUAGGCUGACACCUAUGCAAAGUCGCAUGCCAAGUAUCCAUUAUUUAUGUUGGAAUUCAAUGAACCUAACAACGAUUCAUCGAUCCUUGAGAUGUGCAGGCUUGCAUAUGCGCAAGUUGUCUGUAUCAAAAUUACAUACCCAGCCCAUUGUAGAAAAAAUAAAUUAACUAGUGCGCUGAACAAAAUAGGAAAAGGUCAGUUGCUUCCAAGGUAGUUUUGCUACUAAUCUAACCAAAGUACAUCGUCCUACAAUUGCCUUGCCUAUGCAUAUAAGUACUAUGAGUAGUUUUAACAUGCUCCACCUUACCCCCUCUUUUCACCGUGAGAGGUAAGAGUACAAACUAGAUCUGAGCGUUGAUCUCAUUAUUUAGUGGCCUGAUGCCAAGUAUUAUGUAGUAUGGUUAUAUUUCUGCUCUGCCAGCUACUCCAAAAAGCGACUGUUGAAAAGCUAAUUAAAUUGGUUGGUGAUUGCUUAGGAGAUUAUGCAUGCAGGAAAAGAUGAAGGGGCCCUUUUUCUCAGUCAAGCAAGUAUAUUCUCUAGCCGACUUGUGCCUAGUGCGUGGAGAAGCUGUGUGUGCGGGGAGGAUGACAACGAAGGGAUGACGACCAACGAUUAUGACAUCUAAUCAUAUGGUGCAGAAAGUGGCUAAUCCAUGCCUCGCGUCGGUCGACCCAAAGUGCUACCCAAUCUGAAAACUACCUGCAAGCAGGCCCAGUAACCUGCAAAACCCAAAAGUGCAGUUUUAUAGCAUUCUGAUGAAAAUAGACAGAACAAAAAAUAAAUAAAUAACUAACCUGAUGUUGGAUCUUGAGGUGUAUCUCUCCUUGUGUGUGAUUUGAGUAAACUUGUGCGGUGAACCUUGUUCUUGUGUGAUUUCUCUUGUGUUCCUUUUGUUAUUUGGGACCCUCCUCAACAAUUUUAUUACCACAGAGAACCACUAUUUUAGCUCCGAUUAAACAACACAAAAAUGUUGUACCCAUACCUUCAUUCGUAGUGGGCUAAUACAAAACAUGGAAUAAUAAUUAACGAAAACCAGGAAUUAAGAAAUGGCAAGGCUGACAAUAAAAAGGCACAUAAAAACAACCUUUGGAUGACAAAGAAGACCGACGGUGCAGAAAACUAUUAGAUCCCUCGGUAGGGUACCUAGCGUAGCUGGAAGUCAUAGAUCGGAGGUCACACAGAGAAUUUACCCAGGUUCGGACCUCCAUAGUGAUACCCUAUAUCUUGCUUGUGUUUGUCAUAGAUGGUGGGCAUACCUCGAGCAAGGGAUUACAGAGAGAUGUAUCAGUCUAUCAAGAGUUGUUUCUAUGGUAGUAAAUGGGAUUGAGAGCCCCAUAGUCUCUGUUCGGAAAUAUAGUAAACAAAAAUCGCCCUACAAUUAUCCAGAAAAAAUAUGAAGAUACAUUAACGGUUUGGAUUUGAUCGUGCCCACCUUUGAGUUGCAGCGAAAGAAGAUGAGUCAUUGUAGAUCUUACUUGGAGUCCCUCGAACCAUAGAUGAAUGAUUCCGCGAACUGCUCAUCAAUAUUCCCUCGAACGAAAUACCGAAAGCACGACCUCUCUAUGAGUUACAAGCGUACGGUCUUUACGAUUCGGCGGCGCUUAGCCGUCCAGAGCUAAUCGUUGCCGAAGAAUUAGAGGGAGGAGAUUAGAACCAUACUCGACUUCUAAUUAUGAGGAUUAGAGGAUCCAGGUCAAGCUGUAAUUAAUCAACUAGGAUCAAUUAGAACUACAACUAGAGAACUAGAGGAGGCUCCAAAACUUAUGUAUCAAAAGUGCCAAAAGCCUCUACUAUAUACAGAUUGGAGGAGGGGGCACCACAAGGGGAGGGAAACUCGGAAAUCACUAAUUGAGGAAUGCUCCUUCCAAAGAUCACUUUUCACUUCCCUAGUUGCGACAAGUGGUGCGCUGCAUGCGCGCCACUUGUCACAACCCGGGAGUUUUCCCUUUUCUAAUAGAUCCGUUUAUUCAAAAUGUUUUCUCUUAAACCAUGCGUCCAAAUUUGAAGCCCUUUUGACCAUUGGAUUCCUCACAUCGAGAUCUUCAAAACUAGAUAUCAUGUUGAUAGUUUUUGAUGAAAUUUUUAUUUAAUGAAAAAAAUUAUGCCUCUUGCAGAAGGAACAAAUAAAAUAGAAAACAUGUUAUUUUUCGUUUCCGAUAGGCAUGGCCGUGCCUCGCACGGAAGCAAAACCGUGCCUCUCGCAGAAGAAAAAAAAACGUGCUUUCCCAUUUUCGAGAUGCACAAGCGUGCCUCUCGCGGAAGCAAAACCGUGCCUCUCACGGAAGGGGAAAAAAGAAAGAACUUUUUUUUUCAUUUCCGAGAGGCACGGCCGUGCCUCUCGCGAAAGCAAACCGUGCCUCUCAUAGAAGGAAAAGAACGUGUUUUUCCCCAUUUUCGAGAAGCACAGACGUGCCUCUCACGGAAGCAAAACCGUGCCUCUCACGGAAGGGAAAAAAAGAAAGCACUUUUUUUUCAUUUCCGAGAGGCAUGGCCGUGCCUCUCGUGAAAGCAAAUCCGUGCUUCUCGCGGAAGCAAAACCGUGCCUCUCGUGAAAGGAAAAAAACACGAUUUUCACGCAAAAAAAAAAUCAAAAACCGAGAUCCGUCAUGUAGUCCCGGUUGCGAGUCGGGAAACAUAGUUGCCGGUGAAAACCGAGUCGACGGCAGGCGAUGGUGGCAUUCUGCGCCGUUAGCUUCAUGAAGACAUCGUCGUGUAACUACUGUCGACCCACUCGUGCUGCUUCGGGGGAAACCCUAGGCUCUUGUCUUCCAGAUCGGACGAUGGUGGCACUGCGGUAUCGUUUCUCUCUUGGGAGCAUCUUCUUCUUGCACGGAGGUGGAGCAGCGCUGGAAGCCAGUGACAGGAGGUGGAACGGCUUCGUCUUGCACGGAGCUUCGGUGGAGAUGUCAAGUAAUGCAUGAUCGACAGGUGCUAUGCUAUGUCAUGCAUGUUCGGCAGGUGCUACGCAUGACAGAUCUUCCAUAUUCUUCGCAUCUGGAUGAACGAACGCAGGGCAGUGGCGCCGUUGUGCUCCAUGGUGGCGUCGACGGUUGGCCGGAUUGGCAAGGAUGAUGCGGAUCUCUCUCUCCUGUAGAUGGGUCAGCGGUUCGAUGAUGAUGACGGCUUCUAAAAUGUGUGCAUGUGGUGUACUCUUUAGAUCUGCUGCACGGGUUGUUGGUUUCAAUACGUUAUGUGGAUGAAUCGGCGACAACACCGGUUUCAGAUAUGGGAAGUGAGAGCACUUCAUAUUGUCAAGUUUAUAGGUGUGAGUGAUGGCUUGAUAUAUAUUCUUGUCAGACAUUUGUUGAAUAAUUAAUAAAGAUGAUCAUAUUUAUCGAUUGAUGCAGAGGCUGGGGUUUUAACCUCCGUUUCAAAAAAAAAACGCAUCCUAGAUGCAGAGGGUAAAUGCAUGCAUGCCAAAGAGAGGCUCUUGGUCGUCGCGCUGAUGGGGCGAGGCAAGUUGGACAUGUGGUGCUGCGGGUCACCGAUGACAGUGAGACCGAGGAUGCUGAAGCGUGGUGUUGAUCCGUGGGGAACGAAACGGUCCCGUCUCCACGUAUGAUCGCUCUACGAACGUUCCCAUUUCGACUCGUCGCCAUGUGCAGCAUCAAUAAUUCAAUAUUCAACUUCACUGCUUGGCUGCUGCUGCUGGGAGGUUUCGUCGUCCAACCACAAGGCAACCGGACGGGUGGUUGAGUUGAUUCAUUCCAGUUAACACGGGUAAUUGCCCCCAUCUCCUCAUUCAUAUAUGAAGCCACCCUGAUAGUUAGGUACGUAGGUCGUUGCAAUCAUUUUGAGGGCUUUGCUCCAUCAUCUCCUCUUGCCUGCCUUUUCUCCUGUACUUGGACCUUCGUUUUCCCUCUGAAGCACUGCUCGUUUGGGGUGCUCCAUUGCCAAAGCAAGAGCAGCAGCAGCAGCUGGCGUUACACUUCAUCCAGGUGAGUGCUCCAGCUCCAUCUUAAUUUGCUCAGUGCUUAAUUUAGGAACCAGUCGGACUUUUAGUUUGUUGUCUGUACAUGUUCUUUUGAACGAUUUCUUCCCCAAUGGCAUCGGUACUCUCACCGGCGACAUGUUCUUUGUCAUGCGGUGCCACCACUUGAUGUUGGUGCAUCAACAGCUUGCUAAUCCCCCCCAUGCUCUCCCCUGAUGAUGAUAAUCCAGCCUCUGCAGUUAGGCUGCCAAAGUGCCCAUGCCCAUGUGGUACUGCACAACAUCUCCAUCCGCACACCUUCGAUCACAGCCCGUAUCUUGUCUUCAGGCAGAUGGAAUAUUUUAAAUAGUGAGCUAUGCCAUUUAGCGGUGGCUCAACUAGAAGCUAUGAAAAGCUAUAGUGGAGCUAUAGCAAAGCUAAGUUCCAUUUAGUGUUUUCCUUAAAAUCAUGAAAUUUUGAAAAAGAAUAAGCACACAAUCAGUCAUCAUAUAUGAUAUAUUCUAUAUACUUGACAUAUACAAAUGUUGGGCUAUUCGCACAUCAAAACCCGAGCACCAAUCGGGUGUCAUAAUUCAAUAACCAAAGCUUUGCAUUGUAUAUAUCAUAAACAAGAAGAAAAAAUAACGCAGAAUGAUGGUUUUUUGUAUAGCGGCUUAGCGGGCUAAAUGACUCUAAAUUUAGCACUAUGACAAGAAAUAGUAGGCUAUUAGCGUCAUUUCAAAUUUAGCUAUAGAGCUCUCAAAAGCUAUGGAUAUAGCUAUUUAAAACAUUGGGCAGAUCUGACAACAAUUUUGCAAUAGUCCUAGCGUCACGGAUCAUGCCUCCCUGUUGCUGUUGGGCACUAUCUGGAGGUGGAGAUACUCUAUUUUACAAUAUUCCACCAUUUGGCAGCUUAAUUCAUCCUAUUAACGUUACCGAUGAGCAGGCUGGUCAACACGCCGCUUUGAACCACCAACUUCACAUGUAUACAGCUCAGCAACGCAACUUGCCCGAAUUGACUAUUCCCCGUCUUAAUAAUGACAAUGUAGUUUAAUGCUCCUUGACGGAGUAGCCGGUAUCCAUCACAUGCUCUUCAACGUGGCAAUCAGUGUUUCUUACCCUUUCUCCUACUUGUAUGUGUGAAACAGCAAAAGUGAUUUGUGAAUGAACUGUCUAAUUCCAUUGAUUGAAGAUUAGGGUAUGUAUACCCCAUGUACUGACGUUUGAUAAACUAGAGAACCAAUCAAAGCAUGGAUUAACCGGAUUUAAUUAAUUCUUAACUGGAUGUUCUCCUUUUGAAAGCAAUGCUUAGACUAGUCACAAUGGGUAGUAACUUAGACUAGUAACAUUUACUAGUCUAUGUUCUUACCUCUAUAGUGGGGAGUAACAUACGUAUGAUGUUAUGCAACACUUCAUUUAUUAGGUUGUAGACUCAUCUUGUCUUGAUAUGUGUGAUGUUACAGUAACUAGCUAUGUUACCACAUGCCUCUCUUUCCUCAUUAAUUACUCGCCACAUCAUGUUUUGCCUACAGAUGUGUGAUGUUACCACCUAUCUUAUUACCACUGACUGUGGGUAGUCUUACUAGCUUGGGUCUUUCUGAGCAGCAACCACAACCAAUCAGCGAGGAAGGGUCUACACCAUCCUCAAAGUUGACCAAUAAUGACAGUGAUAUGGUAGUAUAAUGCUCCUUAACGUGGUAAUCAGUACCCAUCCCAUGUACACAUCACCCACCCUUAAAUGAAGCUUCUUGAUGUUCAGAGACUAGCCUGUUUUGGUCUUGUUAAUUGUAUCUUGAUUCGAGAUUCAACAGCUGUGGAGCACACUUGCCCACAUCUCUUGUAGCUUGACCCUAUCUAUUCAUUUAUAUGAAGCAAAUGGUAGUGGUUAUGGGUCGGUUCAAUCCCUUCUUCCCCUUUCUCCUACUUUGAUCUUUUCUCUUUGAAGCAAUACUAGCUUGGGUGUUCUGUGAGCACCAGCUAGCUAGCAUCCGUAAUCUUCUUCUAGUUAGUGCUCGAUCAACACUUUUGGGAAUCACUCAGCCAUUCAGUUUUAUAGUUUGUAUGUAUAUGUUUUUCUGAGAGUUCUGCUUUAACAUUUGGAUCCAGGAAAUAUGGCAUGUUUUUGCAUUGGACGGUUAUAUAGCCUUUAAUGGGUUCCACGUCCCCAAACAAUUCAUGAUUCAAGGUUCUUGUUUUUACCAUCAUUCAUUAUUCAAGGGUUGUAGGACUUUAUGAUAUCUCGCCCAUUAGUCCAUUAUUCACGAUGGCCUUGCUAACCCUAAAUUGUUUUGUGUUUAAAUGAUGACAUUGUAAUCAAUUAAUUGUGAGAAAUAUAUAUCGAAUGCUUUUGACCAUUGCUCAUUAUUGUCUUUGUUCAAACAAAUUGUUUUGAUUUUCAUGGUACAACUUCCGUAUACUAAUGGAGAAAUUAAUAACAUCUUGGAAAAUUUCAUACUCCUAAGUUUGGUAAUACCUAUUACCUCCAACCACAAGGUAAAAGUGGAUGGUCCACAAUAGUUGGGAGCACCUUAGAAUUUCUCUACUACCGAACAAUCAGCUAGCAACACAACUUCACACAUACAGCUCAGCAAGACACAACUUUCCCAAACUACAACCAUAAUUGAAUAUAGGAGUACAUCGUUAGCAUUGACUAAUCCACCUCUACCCAAUAAUGACAAGAUUUUCCACAAAGUCUAAUGCUCAUUAACGUUCUACUUGCUAGUCAUCACACGGGUCACAUGUACUCAUCACCUCCAUCAAACGUAGCAAAUCAGGGUAGGAGGGAGUGAGGUCUGCAUCAUCCUCGGCAUUGACUAAUCCUUGUUUAUACCAAAUUAAUCAUUAAUUUUAACUGUUUACUCCCUUUGGUUGGGUUUAUAACUCGGGGAUGGCUUUUAACACCUUCAAUUUGACUAGUGAAACUGAUGUUGUUAGUCACACAUAUUUUGUUAGUCCAUUGAUUGAAGGCUUAAAAGCUCAUGCCGGACUUAUAAACCCAACAGAAUGGAGUAUCAUAUAUUCCAAAUUAUAAUGUUGCCAGGCUUGCUUAUUAAUUUUUUUUGAGAAGGGGGAGUACCCUUAGCCUCUACAUCAAGCAAUGCAGACAUCCAUUUUUAUAAAAAAAAUAGAGCAAGAAAGUACGAAACUCGUCUCAUGUUUGUAAACAAAAGCAAAAGAUAAAACCAGAUGCCACAAACAGAACAAAUAGGACACGAUGCCUAAACACAUAUCGUAUUAUUGUACCCCCAUCCAAACAUGUAUGUAGCUCGUGCUACCAUCUCCCAGCGGUUGCACCCAAAGGCCAGAAGCUCCCUAACUUCCACACGACUGAAUAAUGACAACCUACAGAUCCACCAGACGCCCAAACGAUAACCUGCAAAAAGUUUGUGAUAUUGGUUCGGUUAAAAACAACAUCAUUCCGACAGUUCCAGAUAACGGAAAGUAAUGCAUGUUACUAGCUGCGUUGGGAUUUUCCCCGAAGAGAAAGGUUGAAGCAAUAUAGUAGCGAAUAGUAUUUCCCUCGGUAGGGAACCAAGGUUAUCGAACCAAAAGGAGAACCACACAAACACCCGCCAAUAGUACCUGCAUAUAUAAAAGCAAAUACUUGCACCCAACGCGGGCAAGUAUUAAAUCUGGUAAUGGUAGACAAAUAUAUUGCAAAGUAAAAUAAAAGAAAGAAAAUUGCAGCAAGGUAUCUUUGAUUUUUAUAAUAUGAUUAACGUAGACCCGUGGGCCAUAGUUUUCACUAGAGUCUUCUCUCUUAUAAAAAUAAUAUACAGUGGGUAGACGAAUUACUGUUUGGCAAUUGAUACAAAAGCGCAUAGUUAUGACGACAUGCAUUCAUGGCGUGAUCAUGUAUAUAGACAUUACGUCCGUGACAAGUAGAUCGACUCCUGCCUGCAUCUACUACUAUUACUUCAUCAAUCGACCACUAUUCAACAUGCAUAUAUGGUAUUAAGUUCAUGACAAACAAAGUAACAUUUUAAGCAAGAUGACAUAAUGUAGACAUAAUAAAACCAAGCAAUAUGAUUAAACCCCGUCGUUUUCCCUUUAGUAGCAACAAUACAAAUACGUCCCUCGCUACCCCUUCUGUCACGAGGUGAGGACAUCACAAGAUUGAACCUACUACUAUGCACCACUUCCACUAAUGAUCAACUAAUCAACUUGGCCAAAGAAAACACAUAGAUUGGAAGCAUUACAUAGCUAUAACAAUCACACAUAAUAAAGUUCAGAAAAGACUCAAUUACUUUCAUUGAAUAUUCCAACCAUAAACCGACAAUUCACCGGAUCACAACAAACAAACCGUAAAAGAAGAUUACAUCGUAUAGAACUUCGAGGAAAUAUUGUAUUGAAUAUCAAAGAGAAAGAAGAAACCAUCUAGCUAAUCACUAUGGACACAUAGGUCUGUGGUGGACUACUCAUACAUCAUCGGAGGUCCAACAAGGUUGAUGUAGAAGCCCUCCGUGACCGAUUCAUUCCUCCUCCGGUAGAGUACCAGAAAAGGCCUGCAAAUGGGAUCGCAGAAGACCAGAAACUUGUGGCCGCGGAAAAAUAGUUUCGGCUGGCUCUCUUUUGGUUUUGGGAUUUAUGGGAAUUUAUAGGCUUAGAAUUAGGUCAAACGGAUAUACAAUGGGCCCAUAACCUCAGGUGGCGCACCCCCUGGGGGCGCGUCAUGUGAGCUUGUGGCUCUCCCGUACAUAUUUUGGCCUCCUCCCGAAGUUUCUAGGGGCCCUUCUGGCUGAGGAAAUACCACCGUAAAGUUUCAUCAUGUUUGGACUUUGUUUGUUAUGGAUUUUGUAUAAUAAAAAAUAUGCAGAAAACAUCAACUAGCACUGGACACUGAGUUAAUAGGUUAGUUCCUAAAAAUCAAGAUUGAUAAUAUAAUAACAUGAAACAAUCAAAAAUUAUGGAUGCGUUGGUGACGUAUCAAUGCACAAACUCCCACAUGAAUUUGUGUUGUUAUAUUAGUCUUCAGCCCAUUUAACCAGUUACCAAAUGAAUUGGAGAUGCUACUCGGCGGUAAAAAUUAAAUAACACAUGUAUUCUUUGCCAAAUAACCCAGCUAGUGGACAUUUGAAAAAAAAUGUUGAAUCGUUUCCUAUCCUCCCACCUUUCUUUUGCCAAGUUGUGCUUAGUAAAAAAUCACUCUCUUGUGCACAAACAACAUAAAGAUCUUGAUUUUUAACACACCUUAAUUUUUCAAAUAUGGGUCGACCUAGGGAUUUGUACAAUAUUAAUGAAGUCGAAUACAUAGAUUUGACUUAAUACGCAUGAAAUUAAAAAUUUCCGUCCGAAUGUAUUUGGCACAUUAGAUAGAUUGACCUCCAUCAACCUACACACAAAAUGUAGCCAGCUAUCCCAUCAUUCCCUCAGUAGUACAUGUCUGCACUAAACGUUUAAGGGAAAAUAACCUAGAAUUGUACUCACAAAGGCGCUUUAUGCUGCACAAUAUUUUAAAGCAUUGUAUACUGUAAGGCUAGACGCAUCUCCACAACCAAGUAUGCUCCCAGAAUCUAGUUGUGCGACAUUCGCCAAUGAUAGAUUUACUCAUGUUAAAGAAAGUGAUCCUUGUCUUCAUCAACCUCUUUCAAAAAGGAGAAUCAUUCGGCCGUGCCAUAACAUGUGCUAGAGUUUUCGAAUGUAGAUAAUUGUUACGCAAUAAUUAUAUCCACACCCCAUCCUCAUGUACCAAAAGCCGAUAUAACCAUUUACUAAGUAGGAACUUGUUCUUUACUUUGAGAUUUUCAAUACCCAAACCUCCUUGGUAUUUCGUUCUACUAAGAAUGUCCCACUUAUCCGGUUUGUACUUGGUUGUAUUCUCAUCAUUUUGCCAAAAAAAUCUCGACAGAUAAAAAUCUAAAUUUUUAUAUACCCCUACGGAUGCCUCAAAGAAAGAUAAUAGGAAUAUCGGCAUGCUUGUAAGCACAGAAUUAAUAAGAAUAAGCUGACCCUAAAUGACAUAAGCUUGCCCUUCCAAGAUCUUAGCUUUUUCUAAAAUCGAUCUUCAAUGAACAUUCAUUCUUUGUUGGUCAACUUCCAGUGAUGAAUUGGGAUCCCUAGAUAGCUAAUUGACUAAUAUAUCUUUUUUGGCCCUCUGUUCUCUCAUAUAUGCAGCCUGAUAGGUUGUCUCACUACUAGGAAAAGGGCUAUAGAUGUGAUGAGCACUAAUGGCGCACUGUACAUGUGGUGCGCCAUUACUAAAUACUAAUGGUGCACCAUGUGUUGGUGCGCCAUUAGUGUGCAAAUACUAAUGGCGCAUCCCAUCCCACGGUGCGCCAUUAGUAAAAAAAAAUUAUUUAUUUUUUCAAAACUACUAAUGGCGCACCGUGGGAGUGGUGUGCCAUUACUAGUUGAACUAGUAAUGGCGCACCAUCCCAUGGUGCGCCAUUGGUAAUUUGGCCCAAACAUUCCCCCGAAUGCACACACCCCCUGUGGACCGCCUUUUCAGUUUCAAAAAAAAUAAAAGAAAAUGAUAGAAGUGUCAAAAAAUAAAAGAAAAUAAGAUUCCCAUGUGAUAUGUGGUCUAGUUGUUAGGAAAAUUUACAAACAUGAAUUUUUGACUUUUUUGCAAAAUCUCUCGAGAAUUUGUAAAAAUGGGCAUAACUUUUGCAUACGAACUCGGAUGAAAAAGUUUUUUAUAUGAAAAAUCAUCUACUCGAAAAGUUACAUCUGAAUUUAAUCGGGGGAACCCCGUUAAACAUUUUCAAAAUCCUCAAAAACCUAACAGAAAAAAGAUACGGGGCUUUUAAGAUCUGGAGAGGCAAAAAAAUUCAAAAAAAUUCAAACUUACGAAUGGCGCACCUGCCCAUGGUGCGCCAUUACUAUCUUCCCGCCUUCAAAAUUCAAAAUAAAUCAAAAAAAAGUAAAAAAAUACUAAUGGUGCACCUGCCCAUGGUGCUCCAUUAGUAUCUUCCCGCCUUCAAAAUUCAAAAAAAAUAAGUAAUGGCGCACCUGCCCACGGUGCGCCAUUACUAUGUUGUAUAUAUGGCUGGGCGUGUCCUCUCCUUACCUCUUCAUUCUUCUCCUCCACUCCACCUGUCCUCCACUCCACCUCUCCUCCACUCCUCCACUCCAUCUUCCCUUCUCUCUUCGACCAUACGACCCUCCUCCUCUCCGGCGACCUCCUCCUCCUCCUCCUCUCCGGCGACCUCCUCCNNNNNNNNNNNNNNNNNNNNNNNNNNNNNNNNNNNNNNNNNNNNNNNNNNNNNNNNNNNNNNNNNNNNNNNNNNNNNNNNNNNNNNNNNNNNNNNNNNNNNNNNNNNNNNNNNNNNNNNNNNNNNNNNNNNNNNNNNNNNNNNNNNNNNNNNNNNNNNNNNNNNNNNNNNNNNNNNNNNNNNNNNNNNNNNNNNNNNNNNNNNNNNNNNNNNNNNNNNNNNNNNNNNNNNNNNNNNNNNNNNNNNNNNNNNNNNNNNNNNNNNNNNNNNNNNNNNNNNNNNNNNNNNNNNNNNNNNUCUCCCUCCUCUCCGGUGAGCUCCUCCUCCCUCAUCUCCGAUGAACUCCUCCUUCCUCAUCUCCGGUGAGCUCCUCCUCCCUCCUCUCUGGUGAGCUCCUCCUCCCUCCUCUCCUCCCAUCCCCUCAUGGUUUCUUCUUCCUCCUCUCCGAUGCUCCGGUGAACUCCUCUCCGGCGACGUCCUCCUCCUCUCCGGCGACGUAGGCGAGCGCCUCUGCGGUCACCUCCUCCUCCUCCUCUCCGCCGAACUCCUCUCCGGCAAACUCCUCUCCGGCAACAGAACACGGCAAAAGAACGUACAAGAUCCAAAAACGGGAACAAAAUUUGAAAUAAUAUCAUGCAAAAACACGAGCAAAAAAACGAGCAAAAAAUGGGCAAAAAAAUCGCGAUCCAGAUCCAAAUUCAAAAUUCAAAAAUAGCAAUGGCGCACGGUGGGGGUUAGACGGUGCGCCACUACUAUUUUCCCGCCUUCAAAAUUCAAAAAUACUAAUGGCGCACCGUGGCCUAUACUAAUGGCGCACCAGCGGCCUAUACUAAUGGCGCACCGUGGCCUAUACUAAUGGCGCACCAGUGGUGCGCCAUUAGUAUACCAGAUACUAAUGGCGCAUCAGUGGUGUGCCAUUAGUAAAAAAUACUAGUGGCGUGAUACUAAUGGCGCACCAGUAGUGCGCCAUUAGUAGGCAAAACUGGUGCGCCAUUAGUAAGCCUUUUCCUAGUAGUGUUUGUCAAUCCACUAUCUUCUUGCCCCUCCAUUUUUCGACAACCUAGAAGCUACCUAUGACCAUGCAGUUCUUCCAUGCUAGAAGUGCGCAAUCCAGAUCUUUGUUGAAUGGUUAUUGAAAAAUUAAUCGGUCUCUCAGUUUCUAUACAGUCUUUUGAAAUUUAUGUUUUGCAUUGUAUUUUUCCUUACAUGGAAAGGUUUGCUUUAUAUUGUAGAAUGAAUAAUAUAGCAGAAAUGGAAGCCUUGGAGCGUGUAUUUAGUGAUGCAAGUGCAAAGCCGAUCAAACUAUCAUAUGGACUUCUCGAAAUUAUUACGGAGAAUUUUUCGAACGAAAUUGGCCGUGGUGGGUUUGGAGUUGUUUACAAGGUAUGAUUUCUUCUCGACUAUCUCCCAGAUAAUAAUUUUUCACUUAUGAAACUAGUAAAGCAAAAUUCCUGGGCUGAUGAUAAUACCGUGAGCAAAACAGGGAUAUCUACGAAAUGGGGAGGUUGCUGUGAAGAAGCUCUCCAAUCCGCAUGCUUUGCCUGAUAGGAAAUUCCUGGAUGAGAUCACGUGUUUAAAAAAGGCAAAGCACACAAAUAUAGUAAGAAUUCUGGGUUAUUGUUCAGAAACGCAGGGGGAGUUGCUUGAAAUCAAUGAAAAACAUAUAAUGGCAGAGAUACAGAAAAAGUUGAUCUGCUUUGAGUAUGUUCCUAAUGGAAACAUUCAACACUAUUUGAAACAAGGUAUGGAGGGUACCAGUUGAUAUGUUCUUCUAUUCUAUUCUAAGCAUAUGGAAAAUAGUUGUGCCAAUUUUGAUCCACCGAUAUUAGCAUGUUGUGCAUCCGGCGACUUCAGACGUGCGAUCGAGUAGCAUCGUUCACUCUAAGAGUCGCACACACACACGCACACAUGCACGCACGCACGCGCGCGCGCGUGCACACACACAAUCAAAUAGGAUUAAACUCUAUCUUUGUUGUUACAAGAUAACUGGAGGUAUUAGGUGUGGGUACUAAAGAAGGAAAAUGUGGUAUCUAGGAUUUGGGCCUAAUUCAAUAUGUGGCUUCCUUAACUAUGUCAUUAUAUCUCACUAGUCUGUGUAGCCAUGACUCAAUUCCCCCUUUAUGAUAGUAUGUUGUGCACAACUCAAUGAAAUUAUUAAGGCCAAAAGACCGAACCAGAAAUGUGCUCUGAAGUUAAACUUCGUGUGGUAAUUAUUCUGUAUGGUUGCCCAUGUCAUCUAAAACACUAGCAUACACGAUAACAUCCCAUCAUUAUUGCUAGACAUGCGACUAUAAGUAGCACAUAAUAUCGACCAAGGGUUCACCAAAGCACAUCUAUCUACUCCUUAUGAUGUCUCAUGAUCUAGACGUGUAUUAACCCAUGGACUGAACAACUACAGUAACAAAAAUAAACAACAUGAGAAGAGUAAGAACUAGAGAUUAAUUAAAAAUACCAUUACAGAAAUUUUUGCUGAAACCUUGAUAUGGUGAUCAAUGGACUCGUAAGUAACUUACUAUGAGUGGUGAUCCGAACAGCACUAAAAAGUGCCCCCACCAUAAAUGGAGAGUGAUCAAUUCUGCAAACCAACUUGAACAUGUCAGUGGAAAAGAUCCCAGCGCUAGCUAGGAGUCGACAACAAGGGUCACCAAUAGUAGACCUCCGUCCUAUUCCUCUCAAUGUUAAUCCUCUCUAUGACAAGCCCGUCAGAACGGCCUGUUAGUUGAAUGUUACCACUGACGGCCUCCUUGUAGCAACUCAUCGAUGGUACUUUCUAUAGGUAAAAUGAAAGAAAUUAGCGACCAACGAUCAUAGAAGAGUGAAUCGUGAGAGGUGAUAGGUUGUCCCAGGUGGAGAAAAUGCAUGCAUUUGUCUAUGUUCCUCAAGAACUAUAUAGCAGUGCAGCCCCAGCAGCCCUCACAUUCUGUUGGAAAUAUGAGCAAUUUACCGAAUGAUUUUAUUGACAGAAAUACUAGAUAAAGCAUGACUAAUAUAGCAGAGAUAAAACAAGUCAUGCAGUUCGAGAUAGAGAAGGUAAAUAGCAUAUGUAUAUAUGAACUAGAUCCGAACACAUCUAGAACAGACACUAGAACAAGAAGUUGUGACAGAGCCUCUAACCGAAAGAGUAUGAGAACGUAUGGAACGGGAGCAGAUGCACCGGUCUUCGGGUCGGUGUCCUCGCCAGCCAUGUCGUCGAGGAGGUUGUCGACGUCGAAGUCCGGGGCGUCCGUGACGAAGAAGUCAGUAGUCGCGCUGAGCGCUCCCCAAAAACCUUAUCACCCUUCUUUCGUACAGGACUCAAAAGGUGUGGUUUCAGAGGCCUACUGUGUCUCUCUCAAGAGGAGCGACCUCUCUUAUAUAGGCACAGGAGAAGGAGGCGAACAGGCUGCGACGGCAGGUGAAGCAACAGAGGGAGACGACAGGAGGUGAAGCAACAGAGGGAGACGAAGUGAACAGACUUCAGCCGAAGAGGCGAGCUGUUCGGAUUCAGUGUCCACUACAGAAAAACGUUUCAGCUCCCGCUUGACCUUUCAUAUACCCGUCAUGCGUGGCAAAAAUUUAGACAUCGGCUCGGCUCAUUCCCGCAACUCGCGGCGCGUCGUGACGAGACGUGGCGAGGCGGGCGACGGAGGAGGAGCGCGCGUGGAUGUCCCUCUUGUUCUCAUCCUCAUACAUGUGGAGAAAGAGUCUCCCUUAUAAAGAGGUCCAACUCCCUCUAAACAAGCAAUAUGGGACUAAACUUUAGUUCCACCUCUUGCCUUGCAUGAAUGGGCUGCGUGGGCCUCUAGGAUUUAUUAGGAAUUUCUUAAACUGCUAUUGGGCUAGGCCCAAAAUAGACAAAAUUCCAGCAAUCCCCCACCAGAUCCCAGAGGCACACAAAAUUUGCCUUUGGUUCCAAAACACUGUUUUAUAUACCGGUACUACAGUGGAAAUUGUUAAGUUGAACUUCCACCUAGAACUCUAUGCUACACUAGUAAGCAACUUGGACAGUGAACUAUGCCUUGAACUGCAAGUUUUCUGUGAAUCUAGCUUCACAUAAAGCCUUGACCGAUACGUGGCUACCGUGGGUCUUCCCCGCCGGUGGAGCUUAUGCGUCAUACUCCAAGACCUUUCAUGAGUUUACUAGAGAGAACCUGACUCUCAUAGAUUGCGACGUUUAACAAUCAGACUCAUAUAGGUGCGUUCUUCAAAAGAUAUUUUGCAGGACGACAUCUCUGCUUCAAUGAGCCACUUAGAACAUAUUAGGAUAUAAAUCAAUCUGCCAUGCAGAUUACGAGAGUAUUGCAUCUUCAUGGAGUGGUAUUAAUAGUAAGGAUACUCUCCUCUCAGUUGACCAAUAGCUUGUCUUCCACAUCUAAUUCACGGGAUCUUCGAUCACAAAGAAUAGGUUACCACUGUGAACAACUUAUAUUGUAGGUCUCAUACCCAUCUCCCUUGAUGCAUUAUCUAUCACAUUACGUGAUAGACCCUUAGUAAAAGAAUCUGCCGGAUUCUUAGACGUUUGGAUAUAAUCCAAUGCAAUAACUCUGGGGUUUUUCAUUUUCCUGAUAGACUUUAACCUUCUUUGAAUGUGUCUUGAUGACUUCAUGUUAUCCUUUGAGCUGCUCACUUUCGUGAUCACAGUUUGAUUGUCAUAGUUCAUAAGGACACCCGUUACAGGUUUCUCAACAACCGACAAGUCAUUCAAGAGCCGGUGAAGCCAAUCUGCUUCGACCGUAGCUGUAUCUAGUGUUGUGAGUUCUGUUUCCAUUGUUGACCUCGUUAAGAUGGUCUGCUUGCAAGACUUCCAAAAAACAGCGCCACCUCCAUGAGUGAAUACAUAUCCGCUCGUGGCCUUUAUCUCAUCAGCAUUUGAGAUCCAGUUUGAGUCACUAUAUGCUUCAAGCACCUUUGGGUGCCCAGUGUAGUGAAUUCCAUAAUUCGCAGUGCCUUUCAAAUAAUGUAAGACUCUCUCUAGAGCUUUCCAAUGCACAUCUCUUGGUUUUGAGACAAACCAACUUAGUUUGCUAAAAGCAAAAGAGAUGUCAGGUCUUCUAGCACUGGCUAAGUACAUGAGCGAGCCAAUAAUCCGAGAAUACUUCAAUUGAUCUCUAGCAAUUCUUCGAUUCUUUUGAAGCAGCACACUAGCAUCAUAUGGUGUUGGAGAGGGCUUGCAGUCACUUUAGCCAAAGCGACUCAAGAUCGUUUCCACAUAGUGAGAUUGAAGCAAUGUAAUCCCACCGUCAUCAUCUCUCAACAACUUGAUGUUCAGAAUGACAUCAGCCACUCAUAAAUCCUUCAUCUCAAAACAACGAGAUAGGAAAUCCUUGACCUCCUUAAUAACAUUCAGAUUUGUUCCGAAAAUCAAUAUAUCGUCAACAUACAAGCAAAGGAUAACUCCCUCGCCCCCACCAUGGUGAUAGUACACACAUUUGUCAGCUUGGUUUACAACAAAGCCAACAGCUGACAAAUGUGUGUACUAUCACCAUGGUGGGGUCAAGGAUAACUCGCCUCCACCAUGGCGAUAGUACACACAUUUGUCAGCUUGGUUUACAACAAUGUGAGGUCAAGGAUAACUCCCUCCUUAAAGUUCUUUCAAACUUCUCAUGCCACUAUUUGGGUGCUUGCUUGAGUCCAUACAAAGACUUCAACAACUUGCACACUUUUCCUUCCUGACCAUCUAGUACAAAUCCAUCUGGUUGUUCCAUAUAAAUUUCCUUGUCCAACUCUCCAUUUAGGAAAGCAGUCUUAACAUCCAUUUGAUGAACGAGAAGACCAUGUGAGGCAGCUAGUGAAAGUAGAACUCGAAUAGUGGUCAGUCGAGCCACAGAUGAGUAAGUACCAAGAAGUCUUCAACUUCCUUUUGGGUAUAACCCUUAGCCACGAGCAGAGCCUUGGACUUUUCAAUAGUACCAUCAUUGUUGAGGAAAUCGUUAACUGGUAACUGCUCGGUUGGCUAGCGAGUAGGGGAUUAAUAUGCUAAUCCGCAAGUUAAUCGGCCAUUUAAUCAAUUAAUCGGACGAUUUAUCGGUUUAUCGGCUACUCGAUGACCCUACGAGUAGGGAUUAAUCGGCAAGUUAACUGGUUAAUCGGAUGAAUUCUUGAACAGGGAGUACCAUCAGGCCUAAGUUUCUUCUUGAAUACCCAUUUGCAUCCUAUAGGUUUGCACCCAUAAGGACGAUCAGUUAUCUCCAAGUUUCAUUUGCCAAGAUAGAAUCCAUCUCCCUACGAACCACUUCCUUCCAGUAGUCAGCAUCUUCAGAUGCAUAGGCCUCUAAAAUAGAUCUGGGAGUGUCAUCUAGGAGAUACACAAGAAAAUCAUCACCAAAGGACUUUGCAUUCCUCUGUGUCUUGCUCCUAGUAGGAACUUCAUUGUUCUCCUCCACAGGACUUUCAAAGUGUUCCAUCGAAAUGGCAGGUUCGAUAGUUGUAACUGGUUUCUGAUUCGAUGAACUAGGCAUCUCCUGAUUAGAUGAGGUAGUCAUAUCCUUCAUGGGAAAGAUAUCUUCAGAGAAAGUCGCAUCAUUCGACUCCAUGAUCGUACCGACAUGCAUGUUAGGUACCUCAGAUUUUACAACCAAGAAUCUAUAACCAAUGCUAUGAAAAGCAUAUCCCAGGAAAACACAAUCCACAGUCUUUGGUCCAAGCUUGCGCUUCUUUGGAAUUGGCACGUUGACUUUCACCAAACAACCCCAGGUUGGUAGAUAAGAGAGUUUUAAUCUUUUCUUCUCCCAUUCCUCGAAUGGAGUUAUCUCUUUAUUCCUUGUGGGAACUCGGUUUAGGACGUGGCAUGCAGUCAAUAUCGCCUCCCCCCACCAUGCCUUGGAGAGACCUGAUGUGUCUAACAUGGCGUUAACCAAAUCUGUUAGAGUACGGUUCUUUCUUUCUGCCACCCCAUUUGACUGAGGUCAAUAGGGAGGUGUCCUCUCAUGGAUUAUACCAUGUUCUGCACAAAAAGCAUCAAAUUCAUUGGAAAAAUACUCUCCACCACGGUCGGACCUAAGCCUCUUGAUUUUCUGAUCAAGUUGGUUUUCCACUUUAGCUUUAUAGAUCUUGAAAAAGUUCAAAGCCUCAUCCUUAGAUUUCAGAAGAUACACACGAUAGUAUCUAGUGGAGUCGUCAAUUAACGUCAUGAAAUAUUUCUUUCCACCUUUUGUCAAAACACCAUUCAUUUCACAUAGAUAUGAAUGUAUGAGCUCUAGUGGUGCAAGAUUUCUCGUUUCCGCAGUCGUGUGAGACAUACGAGGUUGCUUAGCUUGCACACAAACUUGACACUUAGAUCCCUUGACAGUGGUGAAAGUAGGGAUUAAGUUCAACUUCGCUAGUCGCGACAUGCAACCAAAGUUAACAUGACAAAGACGUGAAUGCCACACAUUUGAUUCACUAUUGUUGCAAACAUGAUUAACAACUUUAUUGCAAACGUCUGUCAAGGAUAAAUGAAACAGGCCUCCUGACUCAUAGCCUUUACCAACAAAGGUUCCAUACUUGGAUAUUACAAAUUUAUUCGACUCAAAGACAAGUUUAUAGCCAUCUCUACACAGAAGAGAUCCGCUAACAAGAUUUUUAUUGACGGAGGGGACAUAAUCCACGUUCUCCAGCUGCACGAUCUUCCCCGAAGUAAACUUCAGAUCGACCGUGCCAACACCACAAACAGAAGCACUUGAACUGUUGCCCAUCAGCACGAUUGAAGUCCCCGCGGUCUGAUAAGACGAAAACAUGGAAAUAUCACCGCAUAGAUGCACAUUAGCACCCGUGUCAAUCAACCAAUCAGGAGAAUGACAUACUGAAAGAAUAGUGGGAAAUAUACCAUACCCAACAUCCUUCAUUUCAGUGUCUCCAAUGACAACAUUAGCGGUCUUGCCGCCUUUCCCAGGAUGACGCUUAUCAUAGCGAUUAGGGCAACUAGGAGCCCAAUGAUAAGGAUCCCCACACACAUGACAAACACCUUUAUUCUUGUCAUUCUUCUUUUUGAAGUUCGUGUGUUGCAUAGCCUUGUUCUUCCCAUCAAACUUUGCUUUACCAUCAAACUUGCCCUUGUUCUUGAACUUGUGGGACUGGAAGUUCUUCUUCUGUACCAGAUUGGCACUAGAUCCUCCCUCAAUACGUCGAGCACGUGUGUACACCUUUUCUUCCACAUCAAGAGUGCCAAUGAGAUCCGGGACGGAAAACUCCUGUCUCUUAUGCUUCAGUAAGGUAGCAAAGUUCCUCCACGAAGGAGGAAGCUUAGUGAUGAUACCUCCGGCAACAAACUUGUCCGGUAGCAUACAACUGAAGUGCUCAAGUUCUCUAGCAAAUGACUGUAUCUCAUGAGCUUGCUCAACCACGGAGCGCUCGUCAGUCAUCCUGUAAUCAUAUAAUUGCUCCAUGAUGUACAGCUCAGUGUCAGCAUCCGAGACCCCAAACUUGGCCUCGAGUGCACCCCGCAUAUCUUUUCCAUUAUCAAUUGACGCAUAAGCAUCAACUAUGUUCUCACCAAGAACACUCAAGAGAGCAGCCUUAAACAGAGUAUCCAUUUUCUGAAAAGCUUGUGCCUGUUGAGCAUCAAGCUCUCCUUCAGAUUUGCCAAGAGUGGCGUCAUAGCAACUCAUUUUUUGAAACUAUAAGACUGCUACCACGCACCACCUCUUAUAGUGGAUACCCUCAAACAUAGUAGGUCUCAUGGAAGCAACAAAACCACUCGGGGUAAAUUGCCUAUAAUAAGGUUUUUGGAUUGUUGUAAAUAUGAGCAAUUUAUCGAAUGAUUUUAUUGACAGAAAUACUAGAUAAAGCAUGACUAAUAUAGCAGAGAUAAAACAAGUCAUGCAAUUCGAUAGAGAGAAGGUAAAUAGCAUCUGUAUAUAUGAAUUAGAACCGAACACAUCUAGAACAGACACUAGAAUAAGAAGUUGUGACAGAACCUCUAACAGAAAGAGUAUGGGAACGUACGGAACGGGAGCAGAUGCACCGGUCUUGGGGUCGGUGUCCUUUCCAGCCAUGUCGUCGAGGAGGUUGUCGACGUCGGGGAAGAAGUCGUCGUUGGCGAAGUAGUCGUCGGAGUCCGGGGUGUCCGUGAUGAAGAAGUCGGUAGUCGCGCUGAGCGCUCCCCAAAAAUCUUAUCACCCUUCUCCCGUACAGGACUCAAAAGGUGUGGUUUCAGAGGCCUACUAUCCCGACCUGCGGUGCACGCCGCAAGUCGGGAUGGGGAAGAUCGUAGCAGCAGCGCAGUGCUCAGGAGAGGAGCGACCUCAUCUUUAGGCGGUAUACCAAAAGAAAGUGAAUAUCAACCACUAGUCAUCUGUAUGGGGAUGAUGGUGGGUAGGGUAGUAGUAAAUAUGGGGGGUGGGGGAGGGGAAUCCCGGGAGAAAGCAAUACAUUUGAUUCAUACUUGUGGUGUCAUGAAUACUAGAUGACACAUGACCUCUUCUCAAGCUUGAUAAAAAAAUCGUGGAGAUUAUCUUGAUCAAUUUAUGUUGCAAGACAUGUGGACAGGAAUAAAGAAUCUUCUGCUUGCUUUUGCAGAGAGACAUCAUGGAGACGAUUGGCAUGUACGCUACCAAAUGAUUGUAGGGAUUUGUCAAGGGCUGCACUAUCUGCAUGAGAAAUACAUUAAUCACUUGGAUUUGAAACCUGAAAAUGUUUUGUUGGAUGCUGAUAUGAAGCCAAAAGUUACAGAUUUUGGUUUGUCAAGAUGCCUAGAUCAAGGACAAUCUAUUAUUACACAAAACAUACUUGGAACACCGUAAGUUAAGGCGGUCUCCUGACAAUCCCUGGUCAUUAGCUUUUUUCAUGCAGUGAUACUUGAAAUGAACUAACACACUACCGAUGCAGGCGGUAUAUUGCACCAGAAAUCAUAGACAAAGGAGAAAUAUCAUUUAAGUCUGACAUUUACGCUUUUGGUAUUAUUACCAUAGAAUUAUUAACAGGGAUCAGCAAAGCAAAUCUUGACAAUGUAAGGAUGAUUUAACUUUGCCUUCUAGUUGGCUUUUUUUAACUAUGUCAAAAUUUUACUUAUUCAUACUACAGUUAUAUACAAAUUUGUAGUAAAUUUUAUUUUUGACCACCUGGUUGUGACUUUCUAACAACUUCUAUCACAUUUUUAAAAUAUUUAGUCCACACCCUGUGUAUUGUGAGAAACUAUUUUACUAAAACAAGUCAAGUGGGACCAAGCUUUUUAGCUUUGAUAAUCCUUCUUACUACUUUAGUUUUGUAUUUAAGGUAACCCUCAUUUAGUGUCUUUUGAGAGAAAAGUUAUGAGAUAUGGUUGCUCUACCAUCUAUCCUCAUUAAAUAUGGUGUCACAUCAGUAUUUUUACCUAUGAAACCGUGGUAAGAUACUACUCCCUCCAUCGGUAUAUAUAGUGGUCAAGUGAAAGUGAAUAUGGCAUAUUUUCUUGAUGUCGUACUAUUUGGGAAAGUGCUACCAUCAUUCCGUCAUGUUUAAACCUGAUUUGCAGUGGGAUAAAUUAUUAGACAUGGACUGUCCACGAAUGAGGAGGUGCAUUGAAAUCGCUCGAAAGUGCACCGACCCUGACAAACGCGAAAGACCCACCGCACGUGAAGUAAUCCGUGACCUGGACGAGCUGGAGAGCAUGGUUCCAUGGUCCUCCAUGAACCAGGUAUGUAAUUAAGAUUGACCUGGGCGAGCUGUUUAAGAAUUCUUCACGUUCAGUUCACACUUCACACAUGCAUCCCUGGCCGCGCAGUCAACCAGGGAAUGUAUCUAGUGCACCGGGGCAAUCGGUGCUGCCGGUGCACCGAUCCCCCGUUACACAUUCAAAAAUGUUUAAAAAAAAUCCAUAAAAUUUUACGGCAUUGGCACAACAUCAAUGUAUGUUGUCCUAAAAAUUCAAACCAAAAUUUGAAACAUUGCUCGAGAUACAAAAUGAUAAAUUUGACACUGAAUAGUACAUAACACAGGUUGGGCUUCAGUUUUGGCCCAUUAGCAUAUUUAUGUCAAAUUUGUCAUUUUUGUAUCUUGAGUGAUGUUUUGAAUUUUGAUUCAAAUUUUUGUGACAACUUAUAUUGAUGUUGUGUCAAUGCACUAAUUUUUUUUCGAACAUUUUUGAGUGUGCAACGGAGUCCGGUGCACCGGUAGCACAAAUUGCCCCGGUUCACCCGAUACAUUCCCCAGUCAACCAAGAUGUAUAAACGCAGGUCACCCCCACUGUUGUCCCUGGAAAUGAGGUACUCGAUGUGUACCCGCUGGAGCUCAGGUUUCCCUUCGUGCCAAACAAGGAGAUGCGUUGCCACUUGACCACGACCACCAAGACAGAUUGUUUUGUCUUCUGUAUGCUCGUACCUGGAGUUCCGGAUAGAUACUCGGGUGACUUGGUAGGCAUUGUACCUGGAAUGUGCACUUCCGUUACCCCAGUAGUAAGGCAGGCGGAAGAGGAGCUUCCCUCAGGCACGGACGAGUUGGAGGUACUGUUCUGGCUCACAGGGUGCAAUGAUCCCGACAAACUCGCACUUCAGCUAUCAGCAUUAUCAGUGUACCCUGGUUCGCCCUCUCAAUAUGAAUUAAAGGCGGCAUUCCAUGAGCUUGGGUGGGAGCUACACCGGACGACGUUGACAGCGGUCGUCGUCGCCCCCGAGGAUGAUGAUCUAGCUGUGAGUAUAUGCCAUGCAUGCAUAUGUUGCUAUCUUAUUAGCUAGAUUUUAUUAAGUAUUAUUUAAUUAUUAAUUAUGUCAUUAUAUCAGCUAGUGGUGAAUACUCCGUGCAAAGAAGAAGAAUUUUUUUAUUCUAUCGAUUGCAUGGAUGUGCAUCCUACGGAGCCCUGGUGAGUAAUUGUUCUACCUACGUGGAAUAUACAUAUACUUCACNNNNNNNNNNNNNNNNNNNNNNNNNNNNNNNNNNNNNNNNNNNNNNNNNNNNNNNNNNNNNNNNNNNNNNNNNNNNNNNNNNNNNNNNNNNNNNNNNNNNNNNNNNNNNNNNNNNNNNNNNNNNNNNNNNNNNNNNNNNNNNNNNNNNNNNNNNNNNNNNNNNNNNNNNNNNNNNNNNNNNNNNNNNNNNNNNNNNNNNNNNNNNNNNNNNNNNNNNNNNNNNNNNNNNNNNNNNNNNNNNNNNNNNNNNNNNNNNNNNNNNNNNNNNNNNNNNNNNNNNNNNNNCGUAUUUUUAGAUCCUCAAGUUGACAAUUUUAUAAAAAGUAAUCUCAAAUUGACCAAUAAAACAUGGAUUAUGUCAUAAAAAAUAUAUUAUCGAAUUUAUAUUUGAAAUAAUGGUAUAAAUUUUAUGUCGUAACCUAUAUUUCGUAUUGAAUAUUUUACCAUUCUUUGGAACUAGCAUUUGUGAGGGCACCAUCUUUAAUUUGUUGUGCUUUGUAAAAUAAAUUUAUUUUUAUAUAGACUCCAAAAACAUGAAAUUUCAAAUUACUUGGUUCUAUAGCCACCGUGAAGUUAUGUUAGGUAAAAUAUCAACUAUGGUCAAAAGAAUCUAGCGAUACCACCAAAUUCUUCCAAUAAAUUAGUUGCGUCGUCAUAUGUUCGGAUAAUAUUUUUAUUCACAUGACUAACAAAGCAGAGGAAAAAAAACUACGAUUGCAGCACAUGCAAUUAAUCUUAAAGAAUUCAAAACGAAUAUCAAACACAAAUGUGUAUUUGAUUACUUCAUGUGCCGGAAACACAUAUGAACUCAUGAGCUGAAAUGUGUUUUCCAAAAUGCUUGACUCAGAGGAAACUUUCCCCUUAAGUUAAUAAUAGUGAUAAAAAUAAUAAUUCUUAAGAUUCAAGUCCUAUGUAUUGGACAAUCUCAAUAGAAAACUUUUGUCGGAACAAAUAUUGUUCAAAACACUUUUGAUAUUACCCUCGUUACAAGUCCACUUAUAUAUACGGUGGCGCUAAAGUGAGCCUGAGCGCAAAAGCGCUAAUCCUACGCUCCAGCCAGUGCCACUCAACCGAACCAACUAAUCAUUUUCCACCUCCUAGUAAAAUCCUUCACACAAAAAAGUAACGAGAUUAAAUUUGUUACCGGGUGCAUGUACCUCUCUCCAUGUCAAGCCGUACAAGCUAUUUACGUGAUGCCUUCUAGUAAAAUCCUUGUCAAACAUAGUCAAAUGAAUAAAUUCGUUACCGAAUGCAUGCACAGUACCCCACCCCGCCCCGUGCUACUUAUUCACCGUAAUAACUUGUAGUAAAAUCCCUGGCAAAUAUAGUAACGAAAUAAAAUACUUUGCCAACUGCAUGCAUCAAUACUCAUUCCCACCACUUACUAGCUAUUCAAUUAAUUAUUCCUAGUAAAAUCCUUCACAAACAUAGUAAUAGAAUUAUUAGUUUUACUGUCACUAUGCACCAAACCCACCACGCUCACACUAGCUAUUCAUCCUAAUGCCUCCUACUAAAAUCCCUGUAAAACGUAGUAACUAAAUUUUUACAAAAUUUACUAGAAGCAUGCACCGGGUUUUCCAUUACUGCAAUCUCUUUCCUAGUUACGCUCAAAUUUAAAGAUUUAAUUUGGUUACUAGCUGCAGCAAUGUUCACAUGGUAAUCAAACCUAGAAAAUACAGUAACUGGUUUAAGUUUGUUACUGGAUGCGUGCAACAGAUAAUUGCAUCGCCAACAUCUUCCUUUACUAUAUGCAUCACGGAACUAAACAUGGUAAUAAACCUUGAAAAUAUAGUAACUGCUUUAAUUUUUUACUAGAUGCAUACAGUGGUUCACCGGCUCGCCACCAUUUUACUUUGCUACUAUAUGAGUGACUCAAAGUACACAUAGUAAUCAACCAUGUAAGAGAUAGUAACACAAUUAAUUUGGUUACUGGCCGCAUGCAGCAGUUCACCGCCCACAAUCAUUUUCUUUUACUAGUAGUAACGAAUCAUGCAAAACACAGUAACAUAAUUAAUUUUUUUACUGGUCGCAUGCAACAGUUCACUGCCCAUCCUUUCGUAGGCUACGGGGCGGAGAGAUGUGCAUGGAAGGUAGUAACCUGUCGCCCAACGUCCUGAUUCAUAGGUCAUUAAUUGUUUGUAGUAAUAUACUCCCCCCGUCUCAAAAUUCUUGUCUUAGAUUUAUCUAGAUAUGGAUGUAUCUAACACUAAAACUUAACUAGAUACAUUCAUAUUUAGACAAAUUUAAGACAAGAAUUUUGGGACGAAGGGAAUAGAUAGAAGAGAUGGUAAUGGAUGAUAAUUGUUUACCAAGCAAUAAGAUGGUUCGAUUCCUUGGCCUGGUAAACAUAGUAAAUCCAUUCCAUUAUGUAGUAAUGAAUUACUACAUGCUACUAAUUGUUAGCAGUAAAAAUGGUGGAGUGGAUGGUAAUAAUGAAACAAAUUGUUUUACCAACGAACAAAUUAGACUACCCAUAGUGGGAGUAACAUAUCUAGAUAAAAUAGAUGGUGUGGCAAACAAUUAAUAAAGAAAGAGAGGCAUGUAGUAACAUAGCUAGCGAAAGUGCUAUUGUGAGCUCGAGCUCACAGGCACCCUUUGCUACAGUACAAACAAAAAAAUAUUUAAAAAGUUCAAAAAAAUCUGAAUUUUUUUGGCAACAAACAUUGACAUAUUUUUCACAUGCGUACAAAUUUUCAUGACAAAAUGACAUUCAUGCAGGUCUCAGCAAAAAAAAACAAAAUCGAUGCUCCAAAAUGCUUCCAAAAACAGUUUUUUUGGAGCAUGAUUUUGUUUUUUUUGCUGACACCUCCACAAAUGUCAUUUCAUCACGAAAAUUGGCACGCAUGUAGAAAAAACAUCAAAGUUUCUUGACAAAAAAAUUCAGAUUUUUUUGAAUUUUUUUACUAUUUUUUCGGAUUUUACUGUUCAUCCGGGAUCACUGGUGCCCGGGAUCAAUUCCUCCGCGUCCCAUAGCUAGUUACUAGUCCUAUGAGUAACAUCACACAUACCAAGACUAGAUGAGUCUAUAACCUAAUAAAUGAAGUGUUGCAUGACACUACACAUAUGUUACUACUCAUUGUAGGUAGUAACAUAGACUAAUAACAUAUGUAUGUUACUAGUCUAAGUUACUCUCUACUGUGGCUAGUCAGAGAUGCUUCAAUCCUGGCGUGCAUGGUAAACGUAGUAAAACUAGGCUCCUAUGUAGUAACGCAUUACUGCAUGUGCCUAUUGUUGAAACAUACACGACCCUGCUCUCUUAACGCAUUACUUCAUUCUAUUAUGUAGUAACAAAUUACUACAUGCUCAUUAAUUGCUAGCAGUAAAAAGGAGUAAAUUGUUUUACCAACGAACGAAUUACAGAUGCUUCAAUCCUAAUGCAUGGUAAAUGUAUUACUGCUAAGAGUAACGCAUGGACCAGAAUGUAGUAAUUAUUUUUCAUGAAGAAAUGGGAACUGGCAAAGCGAGUUGACCAGUAUUGCGUCGGUUGUGUAUAAUGCCUCUGAAAUGUGUAUGCUAAGUUAGCGCGUAUUCUGGCCGGUUGGAUCGAACUGGCCGGAGCGUACGCUAAGAAGGAAUGUGCACAAGCUGUGUGUGUGUGUGUGUGUGUGUGUGUGUAGAACAUACCACAUACAACCACCUUUGUUAAAAAUGCAUGAAAAUAUCUAUGAUUUGGUUCCCGCCCUUGAGUCAGAAGACAAACGUAAACUAAAUAAGCUCGACUUGGGUUGAUCUAAUGGGAUCUGCUGAACGCAGUUUACAACCAAUAGCACUAUAAAGUGUCCACCCAAUCCCACCACAUAAAAAUCCUAUUUAUAUAGAACAAUGAGACUGCAAAAGUGAUCAACUAUGAAGCGUGCCGUAUAGAGCGAGCAAAUCUGACAACAACGGUGUUAUCAACGCGAUAAUUGAGGUAGCAACCAACAUUGGCCAUAGGAAGUGAAUCAGCGUCAUGCAUCCUCUUCAAAUAUUUAUUUUAGUCUUGAAAUGCAACAAUAAGAAAGAAUAAUAAAAAGAGAAGGGGUUUGAGCAGGAGCAAUUGGAACUGACCCAUAUGUAUCCAUGCAAUAAUUCUAAACUGUCAUUCUUGGUGAUGCUAACGAUGGUGGUGUUUCCAUCCAUGCAGAAAUCAUUCUAAUGCCAAAAAUAAAAGGUGUGUGGAUUCCAAAUUAACCAUGUGAGGAAACAAACAAAAACAAUAAAUUAAUUACAAAGUUUUCCCUAUACAUUUGUGCACAUGAUUUUGGUUCCACCUUUAGAUAAAUAUUUUUUCUUUUAAAAAACUGGUUUUUAUGAUUUACUAAUUUAUCAAAUUUUAGUGUUGACAGACGAACAAAUCAAAUGAAGCAGAUAGAAAUUUACCUUCAUAGAAGGAAAAAUUAAAAAAAAAACAGAAUCAAAAACGGUGUACCGAUUUGUUAAAUUUCAGAGCUGCCAUUUAGAAAGAACAAACCAAAUGAAGCACCUAGAAAUGGCUAACUCAAAUUACCUUCUUACAAAGAAGACUGAAACCGUUUGCACAUUUCACGAUGAUAGCACACAUUAAGUUUCCUAAUUCCUCAAAGUCUAAAACCAAUGAGCAUAGCAGAAACAAUUACAAAUUUCUUCCCCUAAUUUUGAACCUGAUUUAAUGCUUGCCUAGGUAUAAAGUUGCACAAAUUAAUUAAUAGCGGCAACAAACCGGUACACCUUCUAUAUCCUCUCAGAUAAAUGGUAGAUUCCCACAUUGAUCCGUGCCGCUUCUAGCCUUACAUCUAUAAAAUAGAUCACUUUUAUUGAGUCUGCUGCCUUUUUGGUUGUCCACUUGGAUUUUUUUUCUUACAGAACCUUGGGGACCGUGAUAAGAUUUGAAGAUCACUAAGACUUGAUUCUGCAUUAUUUGAUUUAUAAGAUUGUACAUAGGAAUGAUAAAUCACGCUUAUAAUAUCACAACAAAAAAAGGUCAACGAUGACAUGAAUCCGGUAGAAAGGGAUAGCAAGCUGAAGCUAUUUAAAUAUGUUGUCAAAAUAAAUUUUGUAUAUGUAAUGCAUGAAGCCACGAACAACCUCCACGUAAAACUACGACAAUUAGAUAUACAUGAGUGACCACUUAAUUGAUAUUUGAAAUUAUUGUGAUGUUAAUUUCAUGGCCCCGUGAAAGUAUGAAAACCUUAAUUUGCCUAUAAAACAUUUGGGUAUAUACAUAAUAAUCUUGGGCAGGUAGCAACCCUAGUACGUGGGAGCAACUUGGAAGAGCUUUUCUUCCUUGUUCAUAUGUAGUGGUCUCACAAUUUACUGAGGGUCUAAAAAAUCGUAAAACAAAACUGCAAUAAAAUAUCUACCACCACCUGACUAACUUUCCACAACUGAUUUACAUAUAAAGUGGACCAGCCGAGGGCACAAAAGCGAGUUAUGCGGCGGCAUUGAGAAAUUAUAGAGAUUGUGUGAUACAUACCUAGCAGUCUACAAUUGAUCUUGAAGAGUUUGCAUGAGGCACGCCGUGCAUGCGCAGCAACUAGGAGACGAUCUUGUGCAUGCAUUGGGAGGAUUGAUUGAUCUAGGAGGGUUGCAUGCUGUACGCACAUGCGUGGGGUCCAAGAUUCAGACCUGAAACAAUCUUUUGUACGGGCACUGGGAGGAGGUCGACCAUCCUAGGAGAAGCAAAUACUGCGGCCGGCGGCCGGCGGCGACAUGUGACGAUCAGGAUUGCCUGGUAUGAGGGAGCGCGAGAAUUCCAAGGGCAACAUAGGUGCUCUACGGCAGAACCGCAGCCUUGGGAGGGUUGGACUUAUUAGAGCAAAUACAGCCGCGUCCCCAAGAGCCCCCCGGGCCAUUUUUUAGGGCCGACGCCGAAAAAAUGGCCCAACCGCGUCCCCAGAAGCCCAAUUUUCGUCGGAUCGGGCAGAAACUGGCGCCGGCGGAUUCAGACCGAACCCGGCGCAUGGGGCGCCCAGGGGCGCCGGGGGAAUUAAUUUUCGCGCAAAGGAACGGAGGGCCCGCCGAGUCAGCGACCCCCACGCAACGUCGUCCUCAUCGCCUUGGUUUCCCGCGGGGAAUCCAUGCCAAGGCUGCCGCCGGUCAGCCUUCUAUUGAUUCCUCCCGGGCGGGCAGAGCGGCGACACGCCCCCUCCUGCCCACGCGUACACACGUUUGCGGCCCUCCGACGCUAUAAAAGCCGCCCCCCUCCCUGGCCGGUGGACGCACCCGCCCGCAGCACCAUCCUCUCUCGCCGCUGACGCCCUCUCUUCCCCUCUCUCCCCGUCUAGCCAUCGCGUGCACGCUGUCGAUGGGUGAACGGUUGCCCGGCAAUGGGGCUGCGGCCAACGGCUUCGGCCGCCGUUCUCAGCACGAGUCGGAAGCCCACCUCCUCCACGAAGCGAAUUACCCGGCGCCGUCGGNNNNNNNNNNNNNNNNNNNNNNNNNNNNNNNNNNNNNNNNNNNNNNNNNNNNNNNNNNNNNNNNNNNNNNNNNNNNNNNNNNNNNNNNNNNNNNNNNNNNNNNNNNNNNNNNNNNNNNNNNNNNNNNNNNNNNNNNNNNNNNNNNNNNNNNNNNNNNNNNNNNNNNNNNNNNNNNNNNNNNNNNNNNNNNNNNNNNNNNNNNNNNNNNNNNNNNNNGCAACCCGGCAUCGAACACCCCGGCUACUUCCACGCCGAGAUCUACCGGGUUCAUGCCUCGCUGACGGAGGAGGAGCGAGACCACCCGGAGUACUUCACCGACGACCACGCGGACUGGGUGGCGUACUUCCAACACCGGCAGCAGGAGCGGCUCGCCUCCAGCAACAACACGCCAGUGGUACGGGGCGUAACAACAGUGACGGUCACCGCCUGUGGUGGGGCGCCCCCGGCCACACGCUCCACGCCGUUCUCGAGUUCCUCGAGCGCGGCAACGAUCUGCCGCUCGAGUACCUGGCGGCCCCGGCCCCCCGCCGGAGUUGUGGCCCAUGGCUACCGGGGCAUAUGCUGGGUGGGUCUUCCUCCUCCUCCUCCUCCUCUCAAUCCUCCUCCCACUCCUCCGGAUCGCCGACGCUCUUCAGCGUCAAGGCCGAGCCCGUGGAAAAGCCACUCGACUGGCGCACCCACGGCGCCGCCCUCGUCAUCAACGAGGGCGGCCGCACCUCCUCAUGUCCUGCCCCCCGCCUUGUUGGGCCGAGGACGGAGCCGGGGCUCGGCCCCGUGAAGACCAGGCACGACGACAAGGCCGCCAUGAAGUGGGCGCGGGAGGACUGGGCGCGGCUGAAGAUGGAGCGCCGGCGCCGCGCCCUAGAGGACAUCGCCGCUCGACGCCGUGGCCGCGACGAGGGAGGCGCCGUCGUCCUCGACGACAGCGACGACGAGGCGCCGCCGCCGGCCAAACCAGUCCGCCCGGGCGACCCCGGAUAGGGGUCCGGUAGGGACGGCCGCGGCGUGAAGGAGGAGAAGGAGGACGAAGGUGGCGGCGACUUCGGCGUGUUCAGCCAAUUCUUCAGCAUGUAGGCGCGGCAACAGCAAUAUUUUCUUCUUUUUAGUUGACUUUAAGUUUCUAUAUGUAAAAAAACCUGUGGAACGCCUAAAUAUCGCAGAAUCUUUGUCGUGUUUGCCGAAUUUUGGCCGAGUAUGUUUUUGAAAAUAUUUUCAAAAAAACGGCGUCUGGGGGCGGCGGCUGGGAAGCUGAUCACCCCCAUGCUUUUUUCUAGCCCCUAGGGGGUGAACGGCUGGAGAUGCUCUUAGGGUGACGGCCUUGGGAGGGUUGAACGUAGGAGGGCGACGGCCGAACCGCAACCUUGGGACGGUUGGAAGAGCUACGAAGAUCUUGGUUGCUUUUGUCCUUUUUUUUCUUUCUUCAAGUAAAAAAUACGAUCUGGUUGUAGAAUAGGAGAGAGACAUGGUGGUGAAAAACUGCUUUAGUGGCAUUGGUGGGUAAUUUCUUUUCAAUAGAUCCAUAUCUAUUGGUUGUCAUUUUUGUAGACAUUAAAUUGACGGCCAGAUGUUUCUGAUUAACGUAGGAUUUUCUAGAAAAAUCCUCUAUUUUUGACCCGUGUAUUCUUUUAGUAGAUAAUAGAUAACUCAAUCCAUAUGGAGUAGAAAAUAAUAACAAUAGAGCUAGUAAUACUAAUCAUGCGAUUGCAUACUAGCGUAGAACCAACAGAUCUUUGAACUUGACGUGUACAACAAGCACAUAAAGCAAGAGAGAAUGAAUAUAUCAUACCCUCUAGUCGGGGAGGAAUGGACAAAUGUGGCCUUUUUGGUCGCAUUGUAGUUGUCGCCCAUGCUGAGGUCAGCAAUGUCAUGGACGUAGUUGAAGUUGUUGAAGCUGAUGGACGAGGCGAGUAGUCAUGGCGAUACGCUUCCCAAAAAUUGAAUUUCCUUCAAGGGUGCUGUUUAGGAAGCCUUUCUUCCGUACAACUCUUAGUUAAUAAAAAGAAUUAUUCAUUCCAGCUGACAAAAAUAAAGAGUUGUUUCAAAGACUACCUCUCCCAUACAACUCAUAAUUAAUUGGAAAUUAUUUAACCAUUCAAAGUGGAAAAAAGUCGCACAUACGGCAUUGGUCUUUGCCCGGCUAACCUCGUUCCCGAAGCACGCCGCACCAUGAGGGGCGCUCGCGUAUCACUCCUCUUCUCUUGCUCCAACAGACGCAUCAUCCAUUUUGAACAAGCGCAUCAUAGAUUUUAGGUUCCUUAUGAUGGAACCGGCCCACCCAGGCUGAAGUCCUAGACUUGCAUGGGUGCUCGCAUAUUUUCUAGAUGCGUUUCAGGCUGCUGCCGACUAUUCUUUCGGUGCUAUGACUUGUCCGUCGACUAUAGGAUGCUUUUGAUGAAUUUUUAAUUUCAAGAUUUGUUGCUCGGUCUCUCUAUCACAGAUGCUCAUAGUGAUAAGGUGCACGUGUAUGUUCAUAGGUUAGAGUGUGCUCUCAUGUUGUGAGCGCCUUCGUCUGUACAAUUUUUUCUUUUUCAAAAAAAUUAUCCACUUCCUAUGUAAGACGGGACUCUCAUUCACAUGAUGACACCAUACAUGGUUCUAUGAGAUUUGUCCACAAAAUAAAAUGAUAUAUGGGCUGAAAGCUGAUGUAUAUUUUCACAUUAUUUUGACCAAAUUCUAUCCAAAAAAUAUGUGUAGGCCUUAUGAACACGAACUGAAAAAGUAUGGUAAUAGUUUCUCGUUAACUAAAUUUUCUAUUAACUGUCACAGGGUUGCAAUCUUUGCUAAAAAUAGAAAGGGUGUUUACCUUUGGAACUGGCAGACCAAUGAGAAAAUAGGAGAAUGUAACUCUGGUGUUGAUAUAUUGGGAUCUGAUUGUGAUGGAGAGAUGCUCGUGACCAAAUUUAUCUCUAGAAAGCAAUGGGUCGUAAUCGGGAACUCAGACGGGUUUAUCCUUGUGUGCACGUGUCCUUCAAUGGACCAAGUCACACAUUUCAAAGCUCACCGUGAUAGUCUCGGUUUAUUGGCAGUUCACCCAACUCGCCCGUUCCUGUUGUCGUGUAACAACAUGAAGAUGAAGAUUUGGGACUGGAACCGUGGCUGGUCUUGUAUUGGAAAAAUUCAUAGCACUAGCCGGGUGACACAAGUCAUGUUUAACCCCAGGAAUACUAACGAUUUCGCUACUCACCAUCAUGAUGGGAUUGUCAAGGUUUGUCUUCCUUAUCAACCUUUUCAUUCUUCAUUUACUCGCUUGUAUUAUACUGUAAUGAAUAAUCUAACUCAUUAGUUGUCCUUGUCCCGGGUAUCAUAAAUAAUAUAGAUGUGGAGAAUUGAUCAUCCCGACCCCGUCGGCACAACGCACCGCCUACAUGACAUGUAUGAGACUGCUAGCAGCUCUUUCACUUACACGGGUGAUCGGUAUUUCAUUGCUGCCAUCCACAACAGCAAGAAUGUUGCGCUGACCGUAAGGGCAUUGAUACCACUGACCGUAUAGAACACGUGGACUAAAACACACACGUCACUAAUCUGUGUACAUCUUUUUCCCCCCUUUUUUGUUGGGUUGAACCAGAUAUGGGAUUUGCAGAAAGAAGAACAUGUCUACACACUCACCACUGACGAGGUGACUGCUGCCGCCGUUUGCCAUCCAACACUUCCAGUAUUAGUUACGGUUUCAAAUGGCGGGACUAUUCAUGUGUGGGACUCCACUACCUACAGGUAUGUAAUACUACUCGUACAUCUGGUUUUAUUUAUUUAGUUUUCAAAACAACACUGAUCCACGAAUUCAGUUCAGACUAUUUUCCAGUACUACUAGACUUGAUCUCCCUAUAUGUCCCUUGGUGUGGAAAUAUAUCUUGCUAUCCCAUGUAUCUAAUUGUGAUAUAACAUUCUGGGCAUUAAGGUUAGGGUCGUUUCCUUAAGAAACAUUCAGUACAGCCUGAAGCACGUACACACACUCGUAUCUUUUUCCAACCGGGCCACCACCCCUUUCCAUUAGCACACACUCACUCAUAUAGUGUAACUACAACAUAUAUAUGAUAUAUUAUGAUGCUAGAAGAUGCAACUAACCAUGGACUUCUGACGUUUACAGGCUUAAGAAGGUCUAUGAGAAUUGUCCAAAGGACCCUAUUCAUAUCGGUUUUACAGGCUCAGAAAGGUAACCGAAUUUCUCAUCAAGUUUUUACCUGCUUAAUAUCAUGGCUUCUAUGAAAUAAUAAAUCUGUAUGUACACAUAAGGGGACACUAAGACUAAGUUGGACAAAACAAAUUUUACAUUAAUUGGAUAUGUACUAUCUUUUCCAAGGUUUUUGUCUGAAUGUGUUGUGUUCCACAAACCAGGAAUUUCGCAGUAUCAUUCCCAUGAAUCUAUGAAAGUUCUUGUAUCAUGGAAACAGUCUCUACGCAGGUGUAACUUAGAUAUGUAGAAUUACUGAAUGGUCCUUAGUAAAUCAUAGAGUAGGAUCGUGGCAAUUAUAUAUAGCUAGCCUUUUAGUUUUCGCUGCCUGUAUUAUGUCUGCAGUACUAAAUUUUGCCUUUUCUCAAACAUUUAAUCCGGAAUGUCUCAAUCAUGUAGGCUUGUGAUUGGACAUAGCAAGGGAAUAUCAGUAUUGGAUAUUGAUCUGGAAUAGGAGGUGGAUCUCAGUGAUGCCUGCACAGAGUGUAGUGUUCCGGUUAUAUAUCUCUUUGAAUUAGCUCUCAUCAAUUCAAAUUCAAAAUUUCAGUUUAUAUGUAAGUUUAUUUGCCGCAACAGGCUGACCUAAUUCCCUAUGUAACUGCUCUGCCUCUGGAUUGAAUUACAAUUACACCAUCAUUUUGGUCGACGUAUACUGUAACUCACUGAUAUUGUGAUGAUUGCAUCCAUAAAUUGCUGCACAUUCAUUCCGUAUGCAUUUAUAUUUUGUCAGUUCUAGUACUCCCUCCAUUCCAAAAUAUAGUGCGCCCGCGCUUUCCGAGGUCCAACUUUGACCGUAAAUUUAACCAACUAGACCAACUGCGGCGGGAGAAAAAAUUAUAUAAUUGAAAACUUCUUUCGAAUACGAAUUCACUGAUAUAAUUUUUGCUCCCGCCGCAAUCGGUCUUGAUAGUUAAAUUUACGGUCAAAAUUGAAGCACGUGGAUAGAGGAAGCACUAUAUUGUGGAAUGAAGGGAGUAUCAAAUAGGGGCGGCACUGCGCAUCUGCUUUUUCUUUUGCCAGUGGCAUCGCUACUAGCUGUGGAACAGCACUUUGCUCGUCAAGCGGCCUCCCUGCUGACAUGAAAAGUUGAAGGAUCAUCCCUCUGCAGUUUGGCCGUCCACAUCUCCAUCCCCAUGUACUAGUACUGAAGGGGCCGCACACAGGUAAGGUAUACUCCACCCCUGUCGCCAGGCCUUUAGCCUGCACGUAACCUCUUCAUCUAGUGGCGGAGACCCAAAUAUUUUCUUCCGGCAGACCCAGACACCAACUUGGCAAUUGUCCGAGCGUCACUGGUGAUGUCUUCCCGUCAGGGUAUUCAACACCAAAAACUGUGCUCCGUGUAAGAGCAUCUCUAGCCGACCCCAUAAAGGCUAUAGAGGAGUAAAAUUUGCAUCCGGCACCUAGCCAAAGUACUAAACUGAAUAGUGGACGCCUAAAAAAGUAAAAAUACUCAGCUGCGACCGCGCAGUGUAUGACAGCUGUUGACAUGGCCACCAGUCUGGACACCCAUGCAAACAGAGAAAGGCAAACAGAUUCCUCUUCACAUUGUCCUUGGAUUCAUUUAGCACGAUGUUUUUGACUUAUUUCUGUUUUUCUCGUCUACAUUUCCUACACAUUCAAGAGUUUGUAUUGCAAAUGAUUCACUGGGGCGGGGCCUUCCUAUACGACGACUUAAAAUAGUACAGCAGCACUGCGCUGGCUCCCUUUAUUGAACCGUCCCCUACGUUAGCGGCUGUAGACAGAUAUCUGGGAUGCUUUCUUUGGCCACCCGGCCGGUGCCACAGCCCUACUCUGGCCUUCACAAGAUAUACCUGUGUGGUUCACAUUAUUUGUUAACGACGCACGUGAGCAGCAGCAGAGGAACAAUUGCAGAUGCACAUUUGUGAUUUGCUUCCCGGAAGGAAGUGAAUCAAAUGCAACACUUGCCUACCAGUAAUUCUGAGUUUCUGACACUCUGAAGCGAUCAAGACCGCGCCUCUUUCGCAGCUAACUUAUCAGGUGUCCGUUUGUUUCCCUACAAGCAUCCCAUAAUCAGAGCAUCUCUUGCGUAUGUAGCUUGCCACCAAGACCCCCAAAAGCAGUUACAUCACCAGCUCACCAUAUAACUGUACUAGCAAGUGCAAUCAUAAUUCCGUGAGUAUUGAAACGGUGAAAGUUGAUCUGUUUGGUUUUUCAAAACCUUGACCGGAUGUCAGUACAACAAAAACAGGUGGAAGCAGGUGCUCCCUUUGUGCGAUGCGGAAAACGUCUUACCUCGCAGAGAGGGGACGCGUACAUGUUAUAUGCAGGGGUGCGAAACCCUGGUAGCGCAUACAGUUGGGAUCGAUCUCAUCCGGGAGAGAAGAUCUCGUACAGGUACAGGAGGUUACAACUUGGAGUCCAAGCUAGCUAGAGAUAGAAUUAUGAGCUAGAGAUAAACCUCCUAUCCUAACUACCAAGAUACAUACAACUCCCGCUAAGAUACGUCACAUGUGACGCGCACAAUGAAGGUACACAUACGGCUUGUUUAACACCCUCCCUUAAUCACAACUUCAUCAAGUUGAGAUUAUGCUUGAAGUCGUCAAAGCUUCUUGUAGGCAAAGGCUUUGUGAAUCCAUCUGCAAGUUGAUCUUUGGAGUGCACAAAGCGUAUAUCAAGUUGCUUCUGAGCAACUCUCUCUCUGACAAAAUGAAAGUCUAUCUCUAUGUGUUUUGUUCUAGCAUGGAACACUGGAUUUGCAGAGAGAUACGUAGCUCCAAGGUUAUCACACCAUAAACAAGGUGCCUAUUUACUUCGUAUGCCAAGUUCCUUCAACAUUGAUUGAACCCAUAUGAUCUCUGCUGUGGCAUUUGCCAAUGCUUUGUAUUCUGCCUCUGUGCUUGACCUGGAUACGGUUGCCUGUUUACAUGCACACCAUGAUAUCAAAUUAGGUCCAGAAAAUACUGCAAAACCACCAAUGGAACGUCUGUCAUCAAGACAACCUGCCCAGUCAAAGUCAGAGAAUGCACUGACUAAAGUGAAUGGUGAUUUGCUGAAGUUCAGUCCUAAGCUCAGAGUGUGCUUAACAUAUCGAACUAUGCGCUUUGCAGCUGUCAGAUGAACAUUAGUAGGUGCAUGGAGGAACUGGCAGACUUUAUUAACAGCAGAAGAAAUAUCAGGCCUGGUAAGUGUGAGAUACUGAAGGGCUCCUACCAGACUCCUGUAUUUGGUGCUGUCUUCUUGACUUAAGGGCUCGCCUUCUGCAAGGGAUAGCUUUUCUGAGCUGGACAAUGGAGUAAGAGAGGGUUUACAUCCUUGUAGCCCAGCUUUCUUGACCAAGUCAGUGGCAUACUUUUCUUGAGAGAGAACAAGUCCAUCCUUGUGCUUUUUCACCUCAAUCCUAAGAAAAUAAUGCAAAUCACCAAGAUCCUUUAAAGCAAAGUCUGCACUCAAAUCCUUAAGAAGUCCUGUGAUUGCUUUAUCAGAUGAGCUAGUCACAAUAAUAUCAUCAACAUAUAUGAGAACAAAUAUGCAUGUGUUGGACUUGUUGUAGAUAAACAAUGAUGUGUCAGACUUGGACGGAACAAAACCAAGUGCUUGCAUUUUGUGACAGAGGCGAGCAUACCAUGCCCUUGGAGCUUGCUUUAGUCCAUACAAUGCUUUAUCAAGCUUGCACACAUAAGAAGGAGCAUUCUUACUCUCAAACCCAGGAGGUUGUUUCAUAUAUACUUCCUCUUCCAGAACACCAUGGAGAAACGUGUUCUGAACAUCCAGCUGUCUGAGACUCCAUCCUCUAGAGACAGCAAUAGAUAAGACAAGGCGAAUAGUGGCAGCCUUUACUACUGGACUGAAGGUAUCCUCGUAGUCUAUGCCAUACCUCUGUUUGAAGCCUUUUGCAACCAAUCUAGCCUUGUAACGAUCAAUGGUUCCAUCAGCUUUCCUCUUUAUCCUGAAAACCUACUUGCAAUCGAUCAAAUUUUUACCUUGCUGUGGGGGAACCAGGUGCCAUGUUUUGUUUUUCAUCAAUGCCAUGUACUCUUCAUGCAUGGCUUUCUUCCACUUUUCAUCACACAAUGCUGCUUCAAGGGUGUUAGGCUCAUCUGGUUCACCUGUGGAACAAACCAUACCAUACUUGGUUAUAUGCUUGUAAUUAACAGGUUGAAUUACCCCUUGUUGCAGCCGUGUACGUCGUGGUUGGGAAACAUCAGGAUCGGUGGCCACAGAAGAUCCUGCAGGCUGCUCAUGUGUGACUACAUCUGAUCCCGAUGAAGAUGCUGCUUGAUUUUCUGCGCCUAACUGUUGAAGCGGAGUACGUGAGUUUGCCGCAGAGGAUCCCGCUUGAGCAUGUGCAUGUGCAUGCAGAUCAUCAUGGCGUGAUGAUGGCGUAUCCGCCUGAACCUCCACGCCGGUCGGGCCCUCCCUGCGUCGCGCGUCACCGCGCCGCGUGUACGUCACCGGAUUGGUGGCGUACCUCGUACCGCAGGUUGACAGGGACCGGUGCGGGGCCGCCUCCGCCCGACCGCACGGGGAUCGAUGCGAGAACGCGUCCGCCCGACCGCGUCCGUCACGUGGAUUGAGGGACAGCGUGGCGCGCGCGCCCGCGCCUGGGCCUGCUCCCGCAGCUGUCACGCCUACUCCCGCGGCUGUCGCUGCCCCGUCAGCAUGGAGAAAUCCCGAGGCGCCUGUACCUGCCGCGUUCGCAGGAACCGAUCCCGAGGCGGAUCCGGUUCGCUGCAGAUGGGCAGAUCCCAAGGCGGAUCUGUUUCCCUCGGGGAGGCACAUGAAAUACGGCUCAAUAGGCGCCGUUUUUUCUGCAUUUUCUGCAUCUGCUCCUGUAGUUGCCGCGCUGCUUUGUUCUGUUGCAUCAACACAAAACUCAUGCACAUCAUUAGAUGGGUUAGUCAAUAGAUCAUCAAUAUUUUGUCCCCCUUGAUCAAAACUAGUGAGAUGAGAGGGCAAAAGAAGGAUUUCUUUGCGAAGGAGUGCACCAGCAUUGGGAUGGAGGUCAGCAAACGGAAAUUCUGUUUCAUCAAAGACCACAUCUCGUGAGAUGUAGACACAGCCAGUGGAGACAUCUAAACACUUGACCCCUUUAUGCUGUGCACUAUACCCUAGGAAGACGCACUGUUUUGAGCGAAACAUGAGUUUGCGGUUGUUGUAGGGACAAAGGUUGGGCCAACAUGCACACCCAAACACACGGAGAGACUUAUUGUCUGGUUUAUUACGAAGAAGUCGUUCUACUGGAGUUUCAUUGUUAAUGACACGACUAGGUAGCAUGUUGAUAAUAUGAACAGCUGUGAGAAAAGCUUCGUCCCAGAACUUGAGAGGCAUGGAUGCCCUGCUAAAAGAGCAAGACCAACCUCGACAAUGUGCCUAUGCUUGCGUUCGGCAGAACCGUUUUGUUGGUGAGCAUGCGGGCAGGACACAUGAUGUGAGAUGCCAAGAUUUUGGAAGAACGAAUUUAAUUUUUCAUAUUCCCCUCCCCAAUCAGAUUGGACAGCAACUAUCUUGCUAUCAAACUUUCGUUCAACUAGUGCUUGAAAGUUUUGGAAAACUUGAAACACAUCGGAUCUCUUUUUGAGGAGAUAUAUCCACGAGAAUUUGCUAUAGUCACCAAUAAAACUGAGGUAAUAUGUGUGUCUACCAACGGAGGUAGGGGCUGGACCCCAUACAUCGGAAAAAAUAAGUUGCAGAGGUUUAGUAGAAACACUAGUUGAGAUGGGAUACGGUAAUUGAUGACUUUUAGCUCGCUGGCAUGAAUCACAAAUUGUUUCAACAUGACGCUCACCAACAAAUGGGAGCUUAUUUUUCCUAAGCAACUUUUCUACUAAAGAAAAAGAGGCAUGUCCUAGACGGUCGUGCCAUCGUGUGGACGAAAGCUUGAUAGCACCACAAGCUUGUUUAUUGAAUCUUCGAAACUCCGAAAUCAACGGAUAGAGCCCUCGAACACAUCUACCUCGAUAGAGGAUUUUCCUCGUGACCUGAUCCUUAAUCAAGAAGAAAAAAGGAUGAAAUUCGAGAAGAACAUUAUUAUCAAGGGCAAUUCUAUGAACGAAAAGAAGAUUUUUGUGUGCACUAGGGACAUGCAAGAUUUUCUUAAUGUGUAGUUUUCGACUAGGGGUACGAAAUAUAGAGUGACCAAUGUGACUUAUACCCAUACCUUCUCCGCUAGCAGUAUGAAUUUGAUCUUUGCCGCGGUAUUUUUCCUUCAUGGUGACCUUCUCAAGCUCGUUCCUGAUGUGGUUUGUGGCACCGCUAUCGACGUACCAAUUGGUGUCAAUACCGUAGGAACCAUCAGCGGCAGCAGCUACCUUGUCAUCAUCUUGGGAGUCCUCAUACUCAUCAUAGCGGUACCAGCAAUCCUUAGCUAUGUGACCUGGCUUCCCGCAGAUUUGGCAUCGCGGGGUUUCUGGACGCGUUCGGUUUCCUCCACCGUGCCCGCGCCCGCGCCCGCGACCACCCGAGCGCUGAGGAGAGUGGCCGCGAUCGUUGCCGCUGCCAGCAAAUCGCCCUUUGUAGCGCGAGGAGCCACGUGAGCGGGAGCCACCACCCCGGCCGCGCGACGCCAGGUUUGCAGAAGAUUUGAACCAACCGCUGGAUCCACUGAACUGUGCCAUGCGCUGGUCGAAGUUCGACAGCAUGGCGAAGAGCUCAUCGAGGGUUGCAGGAGUAACACGGGCGUCGAGGGCCGAUACCAGUGGCUGGUAGUCCGCUCCAACCCGUGGAUGAUGUACGAGAGAAGCUCGUCGUCCUGGAUGGGCUUGCCCGCCGCGGCCAGCUAGUCGGCAUAGCCACGCAUGGCGGCGAAGUAGGAGGCAACCGAGAGGUUACCCUUCUGCGCGUUGAUGAGGGAGGUGCGUAUGUUGUUGAUGCGACUCGCCGAUUGGGACGAGAACAUGGCCGCGAGCAUCGUCCAGAGCGCGCCCGCCGUGGUGACCGUGGUCACCGUGACCAGGACCUCCUUCGUGAGGUUAUUCAGCAGGUAGCCAAGGACCUGCUGGUCCUCCCGUACCCAUAUAGGGUGGAGAGGGUUGGGCGAUGAAGUCUCCUUGCCCUCCUUGACGGUGACGAGGAGCUUCGCCGGCUCCGGGUUGGUGCCGUCGACGUAGCCGAAGACGCCGGCGCCGCGCAGCUGAGGUGUGAUCUGCGUGCGCCAUAGCACGUAUUUCGUGCGUGAUAGCUUCUCUGUGACCUGAUUGUUGAGGCUUGGAGAGAAGGCGCUGGAGGAAGACAUGGCUAGGCUAGAUUGGUUUGACAGAAGCUCUCGAUGGGAAAAGGAAAGGCUCUGUUACCAUGUGCGAUGCGGAAAACGUCUUACCUCGCAGAGAGGGGACGCGUACAUGUUAUAUGCAGGGGUGCAAAACCCUGGUAGCGCAUACAGUUGGGAUCCAUCUCAUCCGGGAGAGAAGAUCUCGUACAGGUACAGGAGGUUACAACUUGGAGUCCAAGCUAGCUAGAGAUAAACCUCCUAUCAUAACUACCAAGAUACAUACAACUCCCGCUAAGAUACGUCACAUGUGACGCGCACAAUGAAGGUACACAUACGGCUUGUUUAACACCCUUUACAGAUAUGACUUCGACUUAGUUGUUAAACCCUCCAAUAAAAUCCAGUUUCCGACGAGGUCCAUCUGACAUUGCUGUUUCUUUCACCUAGGUCGCUUAUCUUUUCCUAAUUCUAGAUAUGACAGUUAGUUUGGAACAUUAUUAGAGUUGCGCUCAUGCAUUACUAUAAUUAAACAGGGUUCCUCUAAACAACUGAUUUCACAUAGUAGCACAGAGCAGGUGCAAAAACUGUGGUGGACCGAUCCGGCAGGUCAGGUUCUUCCAGAACUGAGACCAUCUAUAUCUCAACACAAAUUCGAGCCGAGUUUACAAACCAUAACCCACAAUGAGGUGAAGUUGUAUCUCAGAAUUUCUGAUGCAGUACAUUAUACAAACAAUCUGCCAAAUGCACUACAUACAAUGCAUCACACCGUGCAUCACUCGGAAAACAGAAAAACUAACACCAUGCCGUCAUAAUUAAGCACAAAACAGAGUAUUUGUAUUUAAGAAUGGUAAACAUGCAUUGUCAGACUUUACUGGUGUUGUUUGAGAGAGAAGAGCGUCUUGAAGAUGCCCACUAGAACACCAGCCACGGAGAAGACAGCGACAAUGGUUUUGAAGUUGUUGUAGAUGAACCUGUGCAUCUUGAUCCACAUCCACCUUUUGACCUUGUAGUCCUCCAUGCGCAAAAAGAAGCGGAUGUACGAGCUGCCCGCAGGAAGGUGCUUAGAAACACUUUUGAAGAACUCGAGCAUCUCUUUGUUUGUGAGUACUCCAUGCAGAAGAUGCUUCGUUCGUAGCUCGUGCACAUCCUCCUCACGAUCCAUGAGCAUCAAAAGGAGGGCGAGGUACGAGCAGACAGCCAACUCUUCAUCAUGACGUAGAUCCCCUGAGAUCGUGCAUAUCUCAAAAGCCGCCAUGUUUACAAGCCAACAUGCGCCUAUGUUGCUCAGCGCUAGGGGCGUCAUGAAAAGCUCGCCAAAGAGGUGGCCUUGGUUGAUGCCGAUUUCUGUGAAACUUCCAGUCUUGAUGGCUUGCAGCUUGAUGCCAAUUUCUGCAAGCUCGAGGGCAGUUGUAGAUAAUGAAAUUGUUUUUUUCUUGGUUGAUGGUAUAUGUCUUCUCAUAGGGCCGGGGUUAGGCUUAGCAACCGUUCGCGCGUUCAAGAGUUUCAAUGUUGAAGAAAACAUUUGCUUUGCCCUGAUGGGGGCUUUCAAACGAUUCAAUGUUGAAAAUACUUGAUUGAAGCAGGCCUUCUUGUUGACUUUGAUGGUUGUCCUGCUGCUUGUUUUGUUGAAUCGGACGAGACCAAGGAGAUGGGGUGGCCUGUACUUCUCAUCCAAGUAUGAAAUGUUUUGUUCUGGUAUAGUAUGAUACAUGUUUGUGAGACCUUCUCCCAUUACUGAAAUUGUCUUGUUCACUUGCGCGGACACAAACCCAAAGGUUAGGAUGGUUUCCAUAACUAGCCAAGGAACUUGGUCCUCCAGCAACAUUACAUCAUUAUAGAUAUGCAGUUUGUUGGAGUGAAAAACAUAUAGCAACUCUGGACAUAGAAGCUGCUCAUCGCCCAUAAUAAUCAUAAACUCAAGCAAGAAACAAGCAUCAUAGAACAUCAUAGCCUCAAAGUCAGCAUGACUUAUACCUGUCACCGCGUCAUCAGCGUAGAGGCGGUGGGCCUUGUCCGCAACCUUGACGACAGCCCCAUAGAUCUCCUCAAGCGAGUGGCCUGACCCAUUGAUGAAGUGGUGGGCAGCCACAUGCUUCACCUUCUCCAUCUGCCGGAGGUGGGGUGAGUCAUGGUGGUAAGGGCCGAUGGCCACGACCCUUGGCACAAUGUACUGGCUGCCGAGACCGUGUAGGCUUGCAGGGAACCCGCAGGGAACCUAUGCAUCUUAUCUUGUCUCUUGUGGAAAUCAACCUUGAGGUCACCUGCUCUACUUUCCUCAAGUACUGCUCCUCAACCGAAGCCGGUACUGCUGCAUCUGUAAAGACCACGAUGUGCUCAUCAUUCAACUUGCUGGCGGCUACAACUAGGAACCACCGGCACAUCUGUAAUCUCAGAGGGGGAAGCAGCCUUGAACUCUUGAGCUGUUUUCUUCAGGUAUUCCUCAACCGGAGCAGGUACUGCUUCUACUGAUUCCACGGCUUCCAUCCUCGAACUAAUUUGCUGGAUGGGUUAGGAGUGCCACACAGAUGUGUUAUAUCCCAGAGGAGAAAUCAAAUUGCUAGAACUAGCAUCGUUUCCAAACUAGAAAAGCAAAGUAUCGACGAACAGAUUAACAAACAAGAUGCGAAGAUGGCACUUCCACUGUCCUGUUGGAGUACUAUACUAGUGCAAAUGGUAUUAGCUUUUCCACUACGAAAAAAUGUAUAUUCUGAAUCUAAUUAACCACUCUUUAGCUUGUCCCCAUCAGCAUGGUGAGCUCGCCUAUGCUAACCACCCUUUCCGUUUAUAAGUUUGCUAAUUCCAAGGUAAUUCAGGGUUAGCCAAGGCCAUCCUGAACCGUAGAGUGUAGACUAUUGGCAAAAUAUCAUAAAGUUCUGCAGCACUUGAAUUGAAUCAUAAAUUCUUUGUAGAUGUGGAACAGUACAGCUGUUUGUAGAACUGACCAGUGCAAAACUAAGUCAUAUUUCUUGCAUCCCAACAUGAAAACAAAAUUAUCAAAAUAACAUACAUAUAAAUGAUGACUGAUUCUAAGAGUGCUCAACAAAUUAAGUGCUUAGAGCACUAACCUGGAAGAAGAUUAGAGAUAUCCCAUCUAGCUUCUGAUCAAGAGAACACCCAAGCUGGUAUUGCCUCACAAGGAAAAAAGCAAGCAAGGGAAAGGGGAAGAAGAUAUUGGCUUGACCUCUCGGUGCCAGGUUGCUUCCUAUAAAUGAAUAGAUGGGGGCAAUGUUGGAAGAAAUGAGGUCUCAAAAAAAAUGUUGGAAGAAAUGUGAGCAGGUAUGCUCCAGAUCUUGUGACCUUAGAUUCAAGAUUUUCAUUCUUAUUAUUAAGAGACUAGCUAGUCUCCAAAUAUUAAGAAUCUUAAUUAAGGGUGGGUGAUAUGUACAUGUGAUGGUUACUGAUUACCACAUUAAGGGCAUUAGACUAUCAUUAUCAUUAUUAAUUGACAACGAGGAUCAUGAAGACCCUUCCUCCCUUAAUGGUUAUCGUUGGCCUCCUCUAAGGUGAAAGAAGAUAAUAACGGGAUACAUGCAGCCCGCAGCCGGCCAUAUGUGAAGUUCUUCUCCCUAGUUUCAAAUCGGGCAUAUACAAAAGAAACGGUUUAAGAGCUGGCCUAGAACUUACCAAGAAGAAGUGUAGGGAUGCCAGCUAGUUUCUGCUCAGAAAAUACCAAGCUAGUAAGUAUUGCGGGGUGAUUGAUGAUCGUUGUUUUAUAUAUAAAGCGGGGCAAAAGCCUUUUCGGUAAGUAGGAGAAAGGGUAGGAAGUGGCUGGACCAACCUAGCGUACCAGGUUGCAUAUAUAGAAAUGAUUUUAAUUAGGUGUGCGUGAAAUUGUUUCAUUGGAAUCAAGAUUAAUUAAGACGAGCAGACAGUCUAGUCUCUUUACGUUUAGCAGCUCAAUUCAUCAUAUUGUCAACCUUACCGGUUACCACAUUAAGGAACAUGUGGUGGUACCAAUUAACACGUUAAUGAACAUUAGACUAUGGGCACGUGAUAAAGUAUUCCGGAUGUAUUUAAGAAGACCAAACAUAGUAGUGUCUUUAAAUUUAGCAGGAUAACUUACCCUAGGGCCUACGGUGGGUCUGUUGUUGGAUGUGAUGGCUACCAACAACCAUGCUAAGAGACGUUAGACUAUUAUUAGUACUCCCUCCGUUCCUAAAUAUUUGUUUUUCUAGACAUUUUAAAUAACUACUACAUACGGAUGUAUGUAGACAUAUUUUAGAGUGUAGAAUCACUCAUUUUGCUUCGUAUGUAGUCACUUUUAAAAAUGCCUAGAAAGACAAGUAUUUAGGAACGGAGGGAGUAGUAAUUAUUGGGUAGACGGGGAAUUAUUCAAUGCUGAUGACGGUGUAAACUAAUCCUCCAUGAUUGUCAUUGUUUGAGCUUCUCAGAGGUGAAAAGAGAUAAAAACCAGGUAUACAUACUUGCUGAGCAUAUAUAUAGAAAGAUUUAAGAGCCGGCUGGAGCACUAACCGAGUAGGUGUAGAGGUGCCCGCUAGUUGCUGGCUGCUGCUCAGAAAAGACCCAAUAUUCCCGCAAAAAAAAAGACCCAAUAUGUCUAGUACUGCUUCAGAAGGAGAACAUCCAAGUAGUAGAAGAAAGAGACAAAAUGCACCGAUUACUGCGUCAAGGAGCGGAAACAUGUCGUUGUUGGGUCGACGGGGAUUAGUCAAUUCGGGCAACUUGCGUUGCUGAGCUGUUUUAAGUUUGAAGUUGGCAGUUUUCAUUGGUAUUGGAAGAGCGACCUAUGCUAGUUAAUGUUCACUUGUAGUGGUGAAAAUGUUGCCUGAAGAACAGCUGGCAAUAUUUUGUUGCACAGAUGCUUGAUUUGCUAUCCUGAAUCCUGAUGCACGAUUUAAACAAGGAGGUACAAUUCCCAGUGAAAGUAGGUGUUUCGAAGAAAGAAAAACUCGGAUCGGUUGGUAAUGAAAUAGUACCUGAGAUUUGUAGUCAGAAUUAAACCCCGGUCCUCGUCUACCAAAGCUCUGCUCUUGAUAAGGAAAGGCGCUACAAUGAAUGGUUGGCCCGCCAUCUCUUCUUGGAAGAAAGGCGAUGCCGGCCGGUGUGCUCAGCAGCGUGCCACCGCUGCGUCGACGAGGCCCACUGCCAUCAUCUAUCAGCUAGCCUGAAAGAAGCCUGGUCUGCCAUGGCCGCUGCGGCGGGAUGCGGAGGAGCAGGUCGGCGGGAGCUCGUCCGCCGGUGGUCUUGAGGUGAGUUAUUUACCGAAAACCAUCACACUUGAGGUUAGGGUAACAGAUUGGUACCACAUUUGAAUCAGGGCAUAAAAAACCACCGGUUGACUAAACUUCUCUCACGAGCAAGACAUGAUCAUACCUUUGUACUCUUUGGGUGUUAAUCACAUAGCGAUGUGAACUAGAUUAUUGACUCUAGUAAACCUUUUGGGUGUUGGUCACAUGACAAUGUGAACUAUGGGUGUCAAUCAUAUACAGAUAUGAUUAUUGGUGUUAAAUCACAUGGCGAUGUGAACUAGAUUAUUGACUCUAGUACAAGUGGGAGACUGAAGGAAAUAUGCCCUAGAGGCAAUAAUAAAGUUAUUAUUUAUUUCCUUAUUUCAUGAUAAAUGUUUAUUAUUCAUGCUAGAACUGUAUUAACCGGAAACAUAAUACAUGUGUGAAUACAUAGACAAACAUAGUGUCACUAGUAUGCCUCUACUUGACUAGCUCGUGAAUCAAAGAUGGUUAAGUUUUCUAGCCAUAGACAUGAGUUGUCAUUUGAUUAAGGGGAUCACAUCAUUAGGAGAAUGAUGUGAUUGACUUGACCCAUUCCGUUAGCUUAGCACUUGAUCGUUUAGUAUGUUGCUAUUGCUUUCUUCAUGACUUAUACAAUGUUCCUACAACUAUGAGAUUAUGCAACUCCCGUUUACCGGAGGAACACUUUGUGUGCUACCAAACGUCACAACGUAACUAGGUGAUUAUAAAGGUGCUCUACAGGUGUCUCCGAAGGUACAUGUUGGGUUGGCGUAUUUCGAGAUUAGGUUUUGUCACUCCGAUUGUCGGAGAGGUAUCUCUGGGCCCUCUCGGUAAUACACAUCACUUAAGCCUUGCAAGCAUUGUAACUAAUGAGUUAGUUACGGGAUGAUGUAUUACGGAACGAGUAAAGAGACUUGCCGGUAACGAGAUUGAACUAGGUAUUGGAUACCGACGAUCGAAUCUCGGGCAAGUAACAUACCAAUGACAAAGGGAACAACGUAUGUUGUUAUGCGGUUUGACCAAUAAAGAUCUUCGUAGAAUAUGUAGGAGCCAAUAUGGGCAUCCAGGUUCCGCUAUUGGUUAUUGACCGAGAAUAGUUCUAGGUCAUGUCUACAUAGUUCUCGAACCCGUAGGGUCCGCACGCUUAACGUUAUGAUGACAGUUUUAUUAUGAGUUUAUAAGUUUUGAUGUACCGAAGUUUGUUCGGAGUCUUGGAUGUGAUCACGGACAUGACGAGGAGUCUCGAAAUGGCCGAGACAUAAAGAUUGAUAUAUUGGACGACUAUAUUCGGACACCGGAAGAGUUCCGGGUGAUUUCGGAGAAAACCGGAGUGCCGGAGGGGUUACCGGAACCCCCCGGGGAAGUAUUGGGCCUUAGUGGGCCUGAGGGGAGAGAGAGGGCAUCAGCCCAGGAGGUGGCGCGCCCCCUCCCUUGGGGAGUCCGAAUUGGAGUAGGGGAGGGGGGGCACGGCCCCUCUUUCCCUCUCCCUCUCCCUCUCUUUCCUUCCCCCUUCCUCCUUCCUAGUUGGACUAGGAAAGGGGAGUCCUACUCCCACUAGGAGGAGGACUUCCCCCUCCUUGGCGCGCCCCAAGGGCCGGCCGGCCUCCCCCCUUGCUCCUUUAUAUACGGGGGCGGGGGAGCACCCCAAAGACACACAAGUUGAUCUACGGAUCGUUCCUUAGCCGUGUGCGGUGCCCCCUUCCACCAUAUUCCACCUCGGUUAUAUCGUCGCGAAGCUUAAGCCCUGCGCCGGUAGAACAUCAACAUCGUCACCACGCCGUUGUGCUGACGGAACUCAUCUCCGGAGCUCGGCUAGAUCGGAGGCCGGAGAUCGUCAUCGAGCUGAACAUGUGCUGAACUCGGAGGCCCCGUACGUUCGGAGCUUGGAUCGGUCGGAUCGUGAAGACGUACGACUACAUCAACCGCGUUAUCAUAACGCUUCUGCUUACGGUCUACGAGGGUACGUGGACAUACACUCUUCCCUCUCGUUGCUAUGCCAUCACCAUGAUCUUGCGUGUGCGUAGGAAAUUUUUUGAAAUAAAACCCAACAGGCUCAGCUUCUUCCCGCAUUACCGGCUCAGCUUCUUCCCCCAUUGUUGUAUCAUCGUAUUCAGGGAACCCAUGGCCAGGAUAGUUGUCAUCGUCCUCUUCUUCUUCAUUGUCUUCCAUCAUAACCCCUCUUUCUCCGUGCUUGGUCCAAACAUUAUAGUGGGGCAUGAAACCGGACUCAAAUAGGUGGACGUGAAUGGUUCUUGACGUAGAGUAAUUGUGACCAUUCUUACAGCUAGCACAUGGACAAGGCAUAAAACCAUCCGCCCGCUUGUUUGCCUCAGCCGCAAGCAGAAAAGUAUGCACGCCCUCAACGAACUGGGGAGAGCAUCGGUCAUCGUACAUCCAUUGCCGGCUCAUCUUCAUUACACAACACCGAAUAGACCAAAUUAAUACAAGUUCAUACAUAAAGUUCAUACAACACUUAAAUGCAACAAACAAAUAACUCUCUAGCUAGAGCAUUUAAAUGCAACAACAAAUGCGAUCAAGAUCGCAACUAAGAUAACAAUUGAUCCAACAGCAUAAUGAUACCAAGCCUCACUAUCGAUGGCAUAUUUUCUAAUCUUUCUAAUCCUCAAGCGCAUUUUCUCCAUCUUGAUCUUGUGAUCAUCGACGACAUCGGCAACAUGCAACUCCAAUUCCAUCUUCUCCCCCUCAAUUCUUUUCAAUUUUUCUUUCAAGUACUCGUUUUCUCUUUCAACUAAAUUUAACCUCUCGACAAUAGGGUCGGUUGGAAUUUCCGGUUCACAUACCUCCUAGAUAAAAAUAUCUAUGUCAACUUGAUGGGCAGAAUUUGUCAUAAACACGAAAUGCAAAAAAUAGUUUUAAAAAAGAAUAUACCACAUCCGAAUCAUAACAAGGAUGAGGGCCGACGGGGACGGAUAUCAAAACCAUGGCACUAUGUAUAACAAACAACGUACGGGUAAGAUAAUUAUUAUACGAGUAACUAUAUAUCCAAAUCACACAAACAUCAAUUUUUUAUAUAAAAUUUCAUGAACAAGAGGCUCACCACAAGGUGGUGCCGGCGACGGGACGGUGGGGCGAUCGACGGUGGUUACGACGGAGAUUUAGAAGGCACUAAGUAAACCACACCUACAUAUGCAAACUAAGUGUUAUUUUGACCUCAAAUUGCAUAUAAAUCAAAUACUACCACAUAUAAUUCCUCCCAAAUUACUAAAACCCACAAUUAAUCACUAAACCAAUGCAAGAGCUAAUCUAGCAAUGAGAGAUGAAAGGACAAAGUUGCUAACCUUGGUGAUCAUUUGAAUGGAUGAGGGCCUGCAAAUCUUGACAAAUUUGGGGCAAAUUUUGUGAUGAACUCGAGAGGAAGAAGGGAAGAACAGAGGAGAGGGAGAGGGGAAAGGGGGAAGAAUAGAGUGUGGGUGGACGAAGGGUUUAUAUAGGAUGACCUUUAGUACCGGUUCGUGGCACCACUUUCUUUAGUGCUGGAAGGGCCCCACUCUGACAACAUCCUGCCACCACUUUCUUUAGUACCGGUUCGUGGCACGAACCGGUGCUAAAGGUUCACCACGAACCGGUACUAAAGAGCUCCUCCCGCCUAGCCGUUGGAACCGGCACUAAUGGACACAUUAGUGUCGGUUCUGUUACAAACCGGGACUAAUGUGUCUCACAUUUGACCCUUUUUCUACUAGUGUGAACAAGUUUUGUGCAAUAUUGAACUACAAAAAAAACAAGUUAGCACUACAAACACCAACAACAAGCAUGAUGAACAUGGAUGAAAUGGCACUUACCCUAUCUUCAUCAUUAGUGCCACUUGGGUUCAACUUGUCAACCGCCUUUUGUGCGGCCGCCCACUUUUGACAAUCUCGGCUGAUUGUCGACCACUGGGAGCGAAGAGAUCGUUCCAAGCAGUCAAUUUCACUCUUGUUGUGUAGAUCAAAGUGCUCCUUCAUCAGGUUCCAAUAAGCAUCUUUACUUUGAUCACCUCCAACGGAUGGAUCCCUCGACACUUGCAACCAAGUAUUGCAUAGCAAGACAUCUUCCUCAUUGGUGUAGUUGCCUCCUCUUCCUUUCGGUGCGUCGACAAUGCCCUCACCAUCCUUGUCCACCUCAAACACAUGGUCAUCAAAAUGCAUGUCAUUGGUUUGAGACCAAUGCAAAUUGUUGGAGCCAACACCCAUAGUUGACAUAUAUGCCUCAUCGUUGAAACUACAAAGUAUAUACAACGAAGCAAAUAAGCUAUCUAUAUGUAUGCAUUCAAAAAAUACAACAACAAAAAGUUGGCGAAAUUUUACACCUUUGGGGCAUUUCCUCGAACACCUUCUGCGCGUCGGCCGCCGGCUCAACAAGUGAGCUCGUCCGUGCUUCGGUAGCCGACGCACCCCUCGCACGCCCUGCAAGCUUCUUCCUCGACGGCUUCGAGGAGCCGGAGCCGUCCGCCGCCUUGUUCUUCUUCGCAGAUACCUUGCCCUUCUUCGGCCGCGCCGCAUUUGGGAGCUUCGAGAGGGGGGCACGUGGCUUCACAGCGGGCACCGGCGCGACGCCACCCGCCGCCGAGGUCAUCCGUGGCGGCAUGAAAAGGCCACACACUAUGUCGGUGCUUGAAGGAGCUCCGACAGAGGAGAAGCCAAAGCUUCCCGCGCUAGGGUUUGCGGCAGCGGCAGAGGGGUUGUGGGAGUAGGAAGGGGUGAGGGGGGUGCCAACACGGGCGUCCAUCGGGCCGAUUCACCGGCGGCGGCGCGGGCGGAGCGAAGGUGGCGCGACGGAGAGAGUGCGGCGCGAUUGCUCGCGUGUGCGGCGCGCGGAAGCGGGCGUACAAAAUACACAGCGUGCGAUGGCGAUUUGGACCGCGCGCCCAACUCUAUAUGCCGCGCGCUUAUUGCGCGUCCGCUGGAGCCCCUACAUCGAUUGCGCGCGCUAAAAAGACAAAUUUGCGGCGCGACCCUUAUUUAGCACGGCUGUUGGAGAUGCUCUAAGCAGUGCAGCGGCUUCGGUCGCCAGAGGUCGAGAGGAGUGAGGGGAGGGGGGGUCGAUGGGGAUUUUUUGGGAGGGCUGGCUGGGCUAGGUCGUUCGAUGUCUAAUGGGCUGUCUGGGAAUCGGGACCCAAUUAACUAAUAUCCUUCCAAGUUCAUGAAUGAAUCCUUUAAAUCUUUAUUUACUACUCCUUUUCUACAAUCAUUUUCCUCAAUUUGGAAUAAGGAAACAAUUCAGAUUUUGAUUUCUCCUUGUUUUCAUUCAACAAUGAUAAUUUCAUUUCAAUUUAAGUACCAAUUUUGGAACACACGCUGUCAAGAAAUAGGCAUGUACAUACUCUCUGUGCAUGGCAAUAUUAAUGUGCCAGUUUAUUUGGGCUGAGCUGAGUCCUGAAGGUAGGACGCACAAUCUUCUUUGAAACAAAUGCCCUUUGUAGUUAACUUGGCAGUGGUAGUAGCAUCAUUUAGAUUUCUAGUGCAAUCCAAUAUUUCAAUUUUUAUUUUGUUGGCUAAGUACACCUCUAUGCAACUUCCACAACAGAAUAUUCCAAACUAUAGAAUGGUCUCAGUGUACCAGUUUUUCGAAUCUCCAUUGAAAAACUUGAAGGAAGAUGCUCGCCAAAUGGUCGUCAACUAUUUUAAAAACUACUUUGACUUAUAUGGAGAACAGUAUUAGUACUGUAAAACUUGACCAAGAAAGCUGAUGUGUAACAGCUAUUUUUUAAUACUGUUAAAACAAUAUACCUUUCGAGAUGUAGCUAUGAUCUCCAAAACGAGUAAGAACUUUUUCAUAUCAGUUAUCGUUACCUAGUAUACCAUGUUCGGAAAGUUUAAUCGUAUAUGUUUUGUAGCUCAUGCAUUGCUACCAUUUUCAUGAGCAUGGAUCUGUUACAAUAGGAUGAAACAAAUUAUGAGGCUGUGUGAUGUAAAUGUGGAUAUAUAUCACAGGUGCACAGCUUUGGGCUUUCGAGCGAUCCAGGAAGGUAAACCUGGAAGCUGGAACAUAAGAACUUCAUUGAUGUCUCUUUAGUCUGAAACUCAAUGCGACCAUAGUUAAUUUCCUUCUACCAAAUUCCUUUCAUUCCCAUCUAUAAAAAGUUUCUUUUUAUGCAUGUUCAGUGCUCAAUUCAAGUAUGCUCACCAAGGGAUACCUUUUUUUUGACAUUUUGGUGCAAAGUAGCUUAAUUUACCUCUCCUACUGUUUUCUUCAGAAUUAGAUGUUGAAAAUGGUGUUGGAACUCUAUUUAAUUUUUGCUGCAUUCUUAGUUGCUAUUAUUGAUCAUCAACGGAAGAGUUGAUAAAAUUCAAAUUUAGUUCUCAAUUCUUUUUGGUUCAUUUAAUUAUAAAGAUCUAUCUUCCUAGGUCGACGGUGGUCCAACCGCACCCGUCUUUAAAACAAUAGAGUUUGGAGUCCCAUGUGUUAGAAAUUUCAUACCAUUUAAACAAAAUGUAGAAAAGAACAAGCUAUGUUUAUCUAUGACAUUAAGCAACAGCCAAUGUUUAUCUGCCGCGUUUAUAAAAAGAAAUCUUUAGCUAGAGCAUUAAAACUAACCAAAUCUUUAGCUACAACAGUUAAGGCUUCCCUAUCUUUCGCUACAACAUUUAAAACUAGACAUGGCAUUUAAGACUUCCCUAUCUUUAGCUACAACAUUUAAGACUAGACGAUAAAGUCACUAGCUAUGUUUGGCAAUGUAAAAAUACAACAAUUUGGAUAACCCAUUCAAUUUGUGCUUGUUACUGAUGAGUAAUUACAAUACUAGUUACAGUUCUGCUAUAUAUAUGGACCGGGGUAAGUAAUGGAUACAUAUCAAAACCCAGUGAAUUUCUCACACAAUGGGGAAGCACAUCAAGCACAAUGCCCAACUUGUUGUCUUGCUUUCCAUGGUUCUUCUAAGUUGCCUGGUUUCUUCAGCCGUACAAGGUAAUGAACAAUUGUAAAUAGUUAUUUCAUGAACUUUCAGUGUUCAUCCUUAUGUUUAAAGUUUGUUUCGUCAACCUUGAGUAUGCACCCCUUGGAAAGAUCUAGAGUGGUUUUCUACAUAGGCAUUAUCUACAUGUUCACAUGCAAAAUGAAAUUACCUUCAUGUUGAGCUGACAUAAAUUUAUUUGAUUUUCACUUCAGUGACGACAAGAGGAGCAACACAGCGGCUAUACGGCCUAACGAUGACCCUGACUGUGUGAGAGAGACGAAGUUGAAGUGGCCGCGGAAACGACAGUACUGCUGCAACUAUUUUGCAUAUACUGGUCCAUGCUACGAUGACUAUACUGUCUGCAAAGCCCAUUGCCCGUGAUUCAACACAAUUCCCAUGAAUAGUUUUCAUGUAAUAAGGAAGAGAUGAUAUGCAAUAAGUUUUCCUAUCAACAUUUACUUUUCCAAUUGCUUAAGUGAAUAAAGAUAUGAUUUCCAAAAUUAUUAUGGUGCUUGUACUUAUCCCUAUCAACUGUUUUAUCAAAAAUACAUUUUUCGUGCAACGGAGACA